Molecule: long non-coding RNA, 96008 nt
Filed under: Physcomitrium patens
Lineage: Eukaryota; Viridiplantae; Streptophyta; Bryopsida; Funariales; Funariaceae
Description: long non-coding RNA (PPAT_LNC010645)
Source: RNAcentral
UGAGUUAAGAUCAAUAGUUCAUUCAUUAGUUAUUAAGGUUUAAAUUUGUUGUAGGAAUUAUUAGGAUUUGAUUUAGGAUUUAGGAUUUGAUUAGGAUUUGAUUUAGGAUUUAAAGUUUGGUUUAGAGUUUAGAAUUUGAUUAGGAUUUGAUUUAGAAUUUAGGAUUUGAUUUAAGAUUUAAGAUUUGAUUUAGGAUUUAGGAUUUGAUUUAGGAUUUAGGAUUUAAUUAGGAUUUGGUUUAGAGUUUAGAGUUUGGUUAGGAUUUGAUUUAGGAUUAGGAUUUGAUUAGGAUUUGAUUUAGAGUUUAGGAUUUUAUUAGAAUUUAUUUAGGAUUUAAGAUUUAGUUAGUUUUUAGCCUAAAGUUUGAAUGAAGUCAAAUAGGAUUUUAACUAGGAUGAAAUUUUGAUUGAAUUGAGAUAUAUUUGAGAUAUAUUUGUAAUCAUUCUAAUAUAUUUUUAAGAUUUUUUAUUAUUUCUUUGUAAUUCCUUUGAGGUUUCUUUGAAUUUGAUUAAAGCUUGCUUAGUAUUAUUAUGAUCUAAUUAGAAUUUAGUUAGUAUUUUAUUAGAGUUAGGAUUUUAUUAUUGUUGUUUCCAUUCUACCUUCUAUAGCCAAAUGCCCAAAGCAUUCAUAAGCAAGACUUCACAUAUUACAACACCAUGUCAAAAAAAAAGUGAAAAAAUAAAAAUAAGGUAGUACAUAUAUUAAAAAGAAAUUAGAAUGGCUUAUUACCAAAAGACAAGAAACAUAAGACUCUUAAAACUAGACUAGAAGCAAGAAAGGAGUUGAUAAGAGUGAAGAGGGCUUCACUCUUGCUUCUAUAUAUACUAUCUAACUAAGAACUAUGUGGUGAUGUUCUAUAGGUGUUAAGGACCAUAUACAAGACAAAGAUUCAAGACCAAGGAAUAGAAUUAACUUGAGAUUAGAACAACAACUAGAUACAAGGCAAGAAGAUCUUAGCUAAACCACAAGAAGUAAAUUGUCAAGAUUGAGGAUCCCUUCAACCUCCACUCCUAUAUAUAUUAGGUCCUAGGAAGCUUCUUGAAAAGUUUUUAUAAGGCUUGAAAACAAAGCAAGUCUAAGAUACUUCUUUGGCAACUUUCUAAAUUAUCUAAAGCCUUCUAGAAUCUUUUAGGUCUUCCUAUGACCUUCUAGAACUUUCUUAGUAUCUAUUAAAACCUUUCAAAACCUUUUGGAAUCUCAUAGAACCUUCAAGAGCCUUUCUGGAACCUAUUGGUAUAUUCUAAAAUCUUUUAGAACCUUUUAGAAGCUUCUAAAACCUUCUGGAACCUUCUUCAAUUAUAUGUCCAUGAUAUCACCUCCCCUUCUAGCUUCGAGGUCUUUGAAAAGUAAUGCUAUAGCAAGUGAGUAUAUGCGUAAGAAGUUGAAGAUCUAUGGCAUAGUAUCUGAUAUAUAUUUCAAUUGUUUUUUGUGAGGUAAAUGAUUUAUAGGCCCUUGUAGCCAUGGAUAGUGCCGUAAGCUUUCUACUUGUGAUGAAGCAUGAACUUUGAUAUCUUCAUUAUAGAAUUUGUUUACAAACACUCCUUCUAGAUGUCCUUCAUAGGUAGGUUCUACCUCAAACAGAAUUACCAAUGACCUAUUAUUAGAUAUUGUUCCAUGUCUUUGUGAUUCAGGCGGCUCUUCAUCUUGGGGUCAUCUUUGCGAGCUACUUGGUUGAGAUUGUAUGAUUGGUAGGGCAUCUAUCUCUUGACUAUCUAUAUCAUAUAAAAUAGAUAAGACCAAAAGAAUAUAAACAGGCUAUGUUCAUGAACUCAAACUAUUGACUUAUAAUAUUUUAAACAUUUGACAAUAACUGCCUCUUCAGAGGUUACAUCCUCUCCUUCUUUAUGAAGUCAGGAACUUAGAAUCUUCAUAGUGAAGCAACCUUAUCAAGCUACUGUUUUUCAUUAUGUUGCUUUUGGUGUAGAUGGAUGUUAUUGAUGGAACCUUCGAACCUUCAUUCGUGCAUUUAUAAGAUUGUCAACUAGUUCCUAUGUAUAAUCAUUGAUAUCAUAUCUGUACAAAUGGACCAUAUAUUUAAGCCUUUUAUAUCUUAUCCUUAAAUUUAAUAUCUCUUCUAUCUCAAAUUAAACAUGAUCAUUGAUUGCAACCAUUGGAAGUGGAAGUUGUCUUUGAUCUGAUAUGUUUGAUUCUUUAUACCUUUCCAAAAGUGAAACAUGAAAGAUUAGAUGAAUCUUCAUGGAUGAAGGUAACUCCAAGUGAUAAGUUACGUUAUUAAUUUAUUUCUAAAUCAUAAAUGGUCACAACUUUCAAUCAUCCAACUUAUCAUAUGGCCUAUCAGUUUUUAUAUUACAUCAAAGAAGCCACAGUUUGUGACCAACUUGAAAUGGAAGAUAUUCCUUUCUAAAUUCAUCCACCAAUAACUUGUAAGGUUGUUGAGUCCUUUCUAGGUGAGUCUUCAUGGUUGCUUGAAGUUUGGCCAGCUUUGUAGCAAACUUCUCUGCUACUAGAUUUACCGACUUUGAAGACUCUAUCAUAUCCAACUUUAGAUGCUGACCAUAGUUUGAGUAGAAUGGCAUUUACUACGUAGAUGCAUGGAUUAUGUUGUUAUAUGCAAACUUUGCCAAUGACAAGUAAGAUGUCUAAUCAUCUUUUUAAUAAUUGAUGGUAUAUCUCAAAUAGUGCUUAGGAAUUUGGGUAACCUGCUUUGUUUGGUCAUCAAUUUGAGGGUAGAAGGUAGAAAAAAGGUUGAUGUGAACCUUAAUAAUCUUGAAGAGUGCCUUGCAAAACCUUGAUAUAAAUUGUGAUCCACGAUCCGAUACAAUAUCAUCUGACAAUCCAUGGUAAUGAUAGACAUUGUCAAUAAAGAGACUUGUCAUCUCAUCACUAAUAAUUGGCUUCUUGUAAGGUAUAAAAUAUGCCAUCUUGAUCAAACAAUCAACAACUAUGAAGAGAGUAUCAAAUGAGCUUGAUGGUGGAAGAUCUGUAAUGAAAUCCAUAGAGAUAGAUGAUCAUGGUUGUCUUAGAUAAAAAGAAGUUGAAGAAGUCCAUAUGACUAAUGUCGAGGGUUCUUUAAUCUUAAACAAGUAUCACAUAAUAGUACAAAUUUCUUAACGUCCUUUUACAUUUUAGGCCAUGAAAAGUCUCUAGACAGAAGUUCCAAGGUCUUUUUGAAUCCAAAAUGUUCAGCUGCAGGGAAGUCAUGGCAUAUUUGAAGAAUGUGUAGGCUAGUUGGUCCUUCAAGAAUGAACAAACUUUCUUCAAAACAUAAGAGGUUGUCUUCAUACUUGAAUUUAGAAGACUUUUUAAAAAGAUUUUUGGCAAGACGUUUGAUAUUAAAAAUAAGAAGAUCCAUGUUUGAAGCUUUACAAAUCUGAUAAAGAAAUGAUAAAUCCAUAGGCAUUGAUACAUUGGUUGCUCAAAGAUAAAAUUGCUCAAGUUUUAACAAGAUUGCUCGAAGAUGAAAUUACUUAGGUUUUAAUAAGGUUGCUCAUUGAUGAUUAUAUGCAACCUUGCUUUCUUUUGGUUCAAAGUAGGAACGUCUUGAUAAUACAUCUAAUAAUCUUUGUUGGCUUUAAAAUUGAUACAUUGUCGUAUGGUAUAAUUUGAUAUCUAGGAAUAUACUAGAUAUCUAGCUGUAGAGAGUGUAGCUUAAACCUUUAUAUGAAUCUUAUCUUAGCUUCCAAAAUUCCUUUAUUUUGCAUAAAAUUCAAAAUAUAACAAAACCCUUUCAAAUCAUAUUUUUGCUGUAAAAGGUUUACUCUUUCCAAAUUUUAGAAAUUCAUAACUCUUUAUCUAACCAUUCAAUUUAUUUAAAAUUUAUAAAGUAGAUAGAAUUCACCCUUAAGUUUUACCACAAAAAAAAACCAAUUGCAAAUUCACUUCCAAUCUUCUAGCAUCUAAAAAAUCCUAGCAGAUGUUCUAAACCCUAAAUUAUAAGCACCCGAACACUAUUUUCUUAAUAUCUCAAGAAUCCAAUAUUAAAAUAUUAUAAAACUUAUGUUUAAAGUUUAUUAACAUGAAAUUACACAUUUCUUGAAAUUUUGAGCCAAAACCUUAUCAAAUUGAUAUAAUAUAUAAGAUAUAGCUCAAGACACAACCACUAGUAAAUCGGGUCACUUACUACCCUUAGAUUGCAUGUGCUGACUUCAAAAUCUAAUAACUCCUUCAUUCUAACUUAGAAUCCAGAAAGCAAUAUGCAAAAAGUAUAGCUGCAAAAAUACUUUCUUCAAUCGCAGUCGCCAAUCCUCAAUUGCUGUCUGUAUGCGUGCGUUAUGCCAAAAAGAGUGACAAUAGCUUCCAAAUCAACUCAUUAACUUUGAGCACCUAUAUCUCCUUCAUAUAAACUCCAAAUCAUACAAAACUUGCACCAAAACCAUAGCCAAAAAUCUAAACUUGCUGAUCCUAGCCUUCAAAGUUCAAAUGAUUCCAAAAAAUUAACCCUAAUCUCUAAUAUGGCCUCGGGCAGCCUUCUCAAAGUCCAUUGGUCAUGAUUUUUGACCAAUAGGAAUGGAGAUUUUCAUCAUCCAUCUCCAUUCAUCUAUAUUGGUGCCUUAAUUACUCCCUUUGCUAUCAAAAUCCUCCUUCAUUUUUUUUUUUUUUUUAUAAGAUUUAUAUAAUUUAUAAUCUAAAAACCAAAUCAAAGAACCAAAAUAAAUUUCCAAAGGUCACCAAUGUCUCACAAAGAUGACUCUAAAUAUUUAGAAGUUAUUAUCAACCAAAACCAAUCUUAAGAGCCACUAUCAAAAGAAAAUUAAAGUUAUACAAAUUCUAUAGUAAUCGUUUUAAACAACCUCUUUUCAAAGUAAUAAUCAAAUUAUAUUCUAAAAUCAACUAAAAUCUACUAAUAUGGCUCUCACCAUAUUACUUAAUAAAUUAUAUAAUAAAUACAUAAUUAUAUUAUUUUCAUAUAGUAGCUGAACCACAACAUGACAAUGUGAUACAAAAGGCAAAUUGUGAUAAAGAUAUACUGUAACACGCUUCGUGACAAUUCAAAACUCGGGCUAAUAUGAAAUAUUUAAGGUUCUUAUGAUCUAUAUAUAUAGUCACCUAAUGAGCGGCACUUUCAAGAAAGUAGUGCCAUUCUUGGAAAGAAUCUAUAAUAACAAACAACUCUUUAUCGUGGAUUUUAUAUUUAAUUUUUGCAGCUAAGAAUUUUUUAGAAUAGAAUAUAAUUGAAUGAAGUUUGUUAUCUUUUCCAUAUUGCAACAAGAUUGCUUCCAAUGUGUAGUCUGAGGUAUCAGCUUCCAUAAAAUAAGGCUUGUUGAAAUCUGGAUGUAUCAAAAUUAGAGCUAUUAUAAAAGCACCUUUUAAGCUUUGAAAAACUUUCUCUAUUUUGGGGCCUUGGUUGAGCUUUUCUUUGCAUAUCAACCACAUAAGUGGAACAACAAUCUUGGAGUAAUUCUUAAUAAAAAUCAUGUAGAAGUUUGUAAAUCAAAUAAAGUAUUGAACAUCACAUACAAUUUUUGGCUUUGCCAAACCGAUGAUUGCUUGUACCUUUUUUGGAUCCAUAAAAAGGCCUUUGUUGGAAAUAAUAUAUACAACAAAUUUGACUUGAGGUGCAUGAAGUACACACUUCUUCAGUUUUGCAUAUAAUCCAAUAUUUUGUAGUUUUUCCAACACAAGGCAGAUAUGUUUUUUGUGGUCUUUUGGAUUCUUGGAAAAGAUUAGAAUAUCAUCUAAAUAGAUCACAACAAAGUAAUCAAAAUUUUCACAAAAUAUAUCAUUUAUUAAAUAUUGGAAUAUGGCUGGUUCAUUGGUAAGUCCAAAAGACAUGACAUUAUAUUCAAAAUAUCCAUACAUAGUGUGAAAUGCUGUCUUUUAUUCAUCUCCCUCUUUAAUGCAUACCAAGUUAUAAGCGCCUUGUAGAUUAAUCUUUGUAAAGAUCUUUGCUUGGCUUAAUUGAUUAAGAAGUCCAAAUAUCAAUGGCAAUGGACAUCGAUUUUUUAUUGUGAUUUUAUUAAGACUGCAAUAAUCGACACACAUUCAUUAAGAUCCAUCUUUUUUUUUUACAAAUAAUAUUGGAGUAUCAAUUGGUAAUUUGGAAUGUCGAAUAAAAUUCUUAGCUAGAUUUUUUUCAAUGUACUCUUUUAAAGUCACAAGCUCAUUAUAGGAUAAAUUAUAGAUGGAUCAAAUAGUGGUUGAGCACCUUCUUAAAGGACAAACACACAAUCAUGAUGGAAAUAUUUUGACAAGAUGUCUACAUUUUUCUUUUCAAAUACAUAUAUAAAAUCCUUAUACACCUUUGGAAUUAUUGUUGUAGCAACUACAGGUUCCGAUUGUGAAUUUGCAUAAACAAUAAACGUAAUACUUUGUUUGAUCACCUUCACAAAGGCUAUAGCUUCAAUAAAAAAAAGUUAUUUAAGAUUUGACUUACCAAAUAUUAGAAGUUUUCUUUUUAUAGAUUUAGAGGUUCUAUAAUCUAUUAGAAGAAAUUCUAACUUUUAAGAUAUCCAAUCUAUCUGUGGAUUGUAUUUUUUAAGCCAUAAGAGUUCUAAAAUGACUGGACUUAAUGGUGAUUUAAUGACAUUCAAUACUACUUAGCUACUAUGGUUGUCAAAGGUUAUUUCCAAUGGAAUCGUUUCAUGGGUGAUGUUUCCAGAAAAUAAAGGUUGAUUAUCUAUUACUUCUAUAUGUAUACCUUUGGAUUUUUUGACCGUACAGAUUUUGUGUGAUCUAAAAAAUUCUUCAUCAAUAAAACAUGCACAUGCUCCACAGUCAAAUAAUACAUGACAAUCUUGUUUUGUGACUCCUAAUCGUAGAAGUAUAGUAAAACAAUGAGAAGCAUUGGCAGAGGAUACAAAAUAUUUUUUGGUUUGUGAUAAUGAAGAAUCUAGCCACACGAUCUUUAUUAUGGCUAGACGCCCUCGUUUUCCUACUAUGCUUUAGAUGAUGUGGUCUCACUCUUCAUUUGAUAUGUAUGUUGGUGUUUCUCUGAACAGUCACUAACUUUAUGGCCAGAUUUUCUACAAUAUAAAUAUAAGCCAAGUUUCCUUCGAUCUUUUUUUUCUUGCUCAAAAAGAGGUUUGAAGUGAAUUCCAUUAAUUUUCAUAUUUUUUGCUUUCAAAUAUUCAUUAGAAUUGGAUGGUGAAGAAAUUGCAAAAUAAUUGGUAUAUACAUGUGGCAUAAUUGAAGAACAUUUAUCUUUUUAUCAUUGAAAUAAAUGGUUAUCGCACUUCACAGCUUGACUAAUGGCUUCAUUGAGUGUUAGAGGAUCUGACAUAGACAACAAUAAGUCCUUGAUAUCAUCUCUUAAUCCCUAAUGAAAUUGGUUCAUCAAUGCAUCUUCUUUCCAAUUUACAUCAUAUAGUAAUUGUCAAAAAUUUGAGGCAUACAUUGAUGCAAAGCACGUUUUUUUGUCAAAGGCUUCAAAUUUUAAUUGUUGAAAAAUAAACCUUAUCAUGUUUACCAAAUGUUUCUGAAAAUGCUACCAAAAAUGCCUCAAAAUUAUGAAGUAUAGAAGAACUCUUUUCAAAUAAUGGAACAGACCCAGAUAAAGCUUUGCUCAAGAGCAUGGUUCCAACCAAAUGAACAUGAGAUGCUUUAGUGGAAUAUUAUUGCAAUUAAAGCAAGGUGAUUAGUCGUACUUGGUUUACAAAGCCACAAACUUAUUUGGAAGGCUAAUCCUUGGUUAUUUCAUUAAUAUUAUUGUCAGAUCAUUGACUUAAGUAGAUGUAUCUCCCAUGUUUAAAAUAGACAUAGUCAUCUAAGAAUUUGGUAUUGAAGAACAAGCAAUUUAAAGUCACAAUACUUAGCAAUAACAAGGUUGUACACAAAAGGGAGUAUGGAGUAAGAUUACUCUUACUUCCAACACUUAUUACUUAUAGGUGGUGGUUGCCUAUGAAUGAGGCAACUUCUAUCGAUGUUACAUCCAUUUUUACUUCAUUCAACUAAAUCCUAGAUUCUUUCUUAACCUAACUGCCUCCUACAAACCUUAGCCGCUACCUACAAAUCCUACAAGCUACCACAAUAAUUUUCUUAUAUUCUUUUGUUGCCUUUUGAUUACUAAUAACUUACCUAAGGUAAUACCUUUUACUAAGUGACUUACUUCAACACUCCCACUUUGCUAUUGAUCAAAGGGCUUUCAAUCCUAAAGCCUUUAUCAAUAUGUGAUGUCUAUCCUUUAGUAAUGCCUUUGUCAACAAAUCAGCAAGCAUGUCUUUCGUUGCAGAAUGCUUCAUAUCAAUCACUCCCAUUUCAAUCUUCUCUCUUAUAAAGUGAUGUUGAAUGUUAAUGUGUUUUAUUCUUGAAUGAUGCUUGGAAUUCUUUGCAAAUGCAAGACAUCCUUAAUUGUCACACUCUAUUGAAGUUGCUUCCAUUUGCAUAUCUCAAAUGUCCUUCAAAAAUUGUCUUAGCCAUAUUCCCUCCAUUGUACCAUAGCUUGCUGCCAUGUACUCCGCUUCCAUUGUUGACCUUGUAAUUGUUGGUUGUCUCUUGCAAUUCCGUGAUAUAGCUCCUAUUCCAACAAAGAACACAUAUUCUAUUUUUGAUCUUGUAUCAUUUGCAUCUCUACUCCAAUCUGCAUCACAAUAACCAUGCAAAGUAAUGUUAUCACCUCCAAGGCACAAUUUGAAGUUCAAAGUGCCUUUUAAGUACCUCAUGAUCCUUUUGAUGGUUGUCCAAUGGAUUGAUCCAGCCUUUGACAUGUGUUGGCUCACAACACUUACUACAUAUGCAAGAUCCACCCUUGUGCCAACCAUUGCAUAUAUUAGUGACCCUACUACUGGCUUAUAUAGAAUUCCUUACAUUUUACCUUCAAUUUUGGUAAAUUCUUCAUUUGUGAGCUUCAUCAACUUCAAAUUGGCCUCCAAAGGUGUUUUAAUAGACUUACAGUCCUCCAUGUUGAAUUAUUUUAAUACCUCUUCAAUAUACUUACUUUGGCUCAUUAUAAUGGUUUUUUAAUAUGAUCUCUUAUAAACUCCACUCCUAAAUAAUAGUGAAGCUCUUUCAAAUCACUCAUGUCAUACUCUCUUUUUAACUUUGCUUUCAAUCAAUCCAUCAUCUUCAUAGUAUUGGUUAAGAUAAUUAGAUCAUCAAUAUAUAAGAUAAUUAAUAUGAAUUCAUUUGAUUGCAUCACAUACAAUGAAUGAUCAACCUCACCCCUUACAAAUCCUUCACUCACAAAGAAAUUAUCAAUGCGUUGGUACCAUGUCCUUGGAGAUUGCUUUAGUCCAUACAAAGAUUUUUUCAACUUACAAAUAAGAUGUUGAUUGCCUUCUUAAACAAAUCCUUGAGGUUGAUCCAUGUAGAUGUCUUCUUUCAAGCUUCCAUUCAAGAAUGCCAUCUUCACAUCUAUUUGAUGCAUUUCCAAGUUCAUUGCUACCCCAAUCGCCACAAUAGUUCUAAUGGUGGUGAAUUUGGCCACAGGAGCAAAUGUCUCAUUAAAAUCAAUACCAACAACUUGUGAGUAGCCUUUAGCAACCAUUCUAGCCUUGUAUCUCAUAAUAUUAUCUAUUGCAUCCCUUUUUGUUUUAAACACCCACUUACAACCAAUUAAAGAUCAAUUUGGUGGAAGUUGAGUCAAUUCCCAUAUUCCAUUGUCCAUGAGUGAUUUGUAUUCUUCUUCUAUAGCAUUCUCCCACUUUAUAGCAUCCGUGGACUUCAUUGCAUCAUAAAAAUUCAAUAAAUCAGCAAGAACAACAACAUUUGCAUAUUCUUCACUUAUUUGAGGAAAUAUGUGGUCCUUCUACCAUUCACAACAUGGUUUUCUUUCUCUCAAAGGAUAUCUUCUUUCAUUUGGAGAAGCUUCAUCUUCUUGUACUUCAUGCUCUCUUCCAAGCUUCUUCUUCCUUAAAGCUAAUAUUUUCUCACUUAAAAGUUGAUAUUCCUCUUCAUCAUCAUUAUCAUCAAUAUCUUUAUUGUAUUCAUUGCUGAUUCUAACAAUUGAAGGCACACUAUGGUCUACUUUCUUUGACACUUCACCUUGAUUUGCAUUUCUUCUAUCUUUAUUGUCACCAUCAUCUUCUUCUUCUUUUUUUGCUGAAAUUGAUGAUGUGUCCAUAAACACACCGUUACUCCCACUUGGACACAUUUCCAAGUGCUCAAAAAUACUAUUAUGUUCUAAAAACUCAACAUCACGACUUUUGAUGACCUUAUUGGUCUCUAAACACAUUAGCAUGUAUGCCUUUGUACCUUCACAAUAUUCAACAAAUACACAUUUUGUACUCUUUUCAUCAAGUUUGGACCUCAUGCAAUCUGGUACCUAUGCAUAAGAAAUGCAUCCAAAGAUCCUCAUGUGUGAAAUACAAGGUUUCUUGCCACAAUAAGCUUUUUGUAGAGUCAUUGAUGUGAGUACACUUAUAGGGCACCUAUUCCUUGUGUACACUGAAGCAAUCACAGCUUCAGCCCAAUACUCAUGCUUAAGAUGUUGUGCAUGAAGCAUACUCCUUAUCAUCUCUACAAUAGUGUGAUUUGCUCUUUCAGCAACUCCAUUUUUUUGUAGAGUGUAAGAAGUAGAGGUUUCUCUUAUAACACCUUGAAUCUUCAAGAAUUCAUGAAAAUACUUUGACAUGUAUUCACCUCCAUUGUCCGUGCACAAUACUUUGAUUUUGCACUUACAUUGUUUUUUUUAUAAGAGCUUUAAACUCCUUAAAUCUUAAAAAACAUUCACUCUUAGCUUUAAUGAUAUAAAUCCACACUUUUCUUAAAAAAUCAUCAAUAAAUGUAAUAAAGUAUAUUGCUCCUCUAAUUGAUGGUGUCUUCAUUGGUCCACAAACUUCUAAAUGUACAAUCUCCAAUAAUUUGGUUGCUUGUAUUGCAACUCUAUUUGAAAAUGAAUUCCUUUGUUGUUUGCCUUGUAUACAACCUUCAUAAGCAAGUAUCAUGGCAUUGUGGCUGAACUGACUAAGAUCCAAGCCACUUACCAUGGAUUGAAUCUCUUUCAUGCAUUUGGCAUUCAAAUGAUCAAGUCAUUGAUGCUAGAUUCCAAACUUAUCUUGAUCUUCUAAAAAAUCAGCAAAUGAAGCAACUUCAACUCCAUUCACCUUCUUAUAAUUGAUGAAGUAGAGAUUUCUAUGUCUAAGGCCUUUGGCAACAUGUUGUCUAUCCAUUGUCUUCACAAAGCAUCCAUUUAUGUCAAAUUGAACCUUACAACCAUGUGAUAUAAGUUUGCUCAUCGAAAGGAGGUUCUUUUUUAUCUUUGGCACAUGUAAGACUUUCUUCAAUCUGAUCUUCUUGAUUUGGUCCUUCACAAUAAUCUCCACAAUAAUUAAGCCAAUUUCAAUGGCUUGUACAAUGCCAUUGUCUCCCAACCAAACUUUGGUUCUUGGAAUUUCUUCAUAAGUAUCAAAUAAAUACUUAUCUAGUAUCAUAUGCUUAGUAGCACUUGAAUCUAUAAUCCACUUAGACAUCACAGCCAUAGAGGCUCUUUCACUUGCCAUGAAAGUAUAGUCAUCUUCACCAAAGUUAUCACAAGCAUUGUUUACAUUCUCUCUAUCUCCUUUCUUGACUUUGUAGCAAUUUUUAGCAAAGUGACAUAGUUUUUUACAAAUAUAGCAAUUUUUUAUAUUAUUCUUUAAACUAUCAUGUUGGUGAGAAUAGCUACCUUUGUCUUGUCUUGAAAAUAGAACCAAAUCCUCACUUUGAUGCUCUUUUUCUUUUUUCUUGGUUAUUUCAUAGGUAAGUCUUGACAUGACAUAGUUCAUAGUAAGCUCCUUUAUGUUUAUGGAUUCCAAUGCCACAAUGAGGUAGUUAUAGGAUCCAGAAAGGCUCAUGAGUAAUGUCAACAUAAUUUGUCUAUCAUCAAUUGGUGUAUCAAUAACUGCUAGUUGGUUUGCAAGUGCUUUUAUGUUGUUGACAUGAGCCAUGAAGUCAUCUCCUUCUUCCAUCUUUAUUGUUAAAAAAUCCUUUCUUUUCUAUAGAAUGUUGGCAAGAUUUUUACUCUCAUACAUGUUGCAAAGAGUCUUCCAUACUUUCGUUGGUCGAGUGCAAGUAAUUACAUGUGAAAAUUUGGCAUCAUCAAGAUUUAUUGCAAUCAUGCCAAAAGAAUUCCUUUCACAUCGUUUGUACUCCUUCUUCACCUUCACAUCAGCAUCAUCACUUAGAGGGUCUUCACUUUCAUCAACAAUGUCCCAAAAGUCUAAUGAAGCCCACAAGAGUUCCAUUUUCUUCUUCCAAUGGUAGAAGUUGUUACUUCUAAACUUUUCAAUUAUUCUCAAAUCCUCACCUUCACUUGCUGUCAUAUCUAAUGAAGGAAUAUAUCAAAGAAAAUCAAGAAAAAGAAAGAAUGAACUUUCAAAAUCAACAAAAAGAUGUUGCUUCCUUACAAACCCAAAAUGCCUUCUUAAUGAAUAAACUAUUGUUUACACUCUUCAAUCACUCUCAAUUUUACUUAUAAGACUUCUCACAAGUCUGAUAAUCGCUCAAAUAAGCUUUGCCUCUUUUUAAUCACCUCUCUUUUUUCACAAAACAAUUAUAACUUCACAAAGCACGUCUAAUCACAAUAAGAGGGUCUCUUAAGGAGAUUAAUACAUAAAAACACAAAGUUAGAGUACCAAUGAAGAAACUCAAUAAAAAAACACAAGACAAGUAUUUUUAAACAUCAAUCUAAGGUAUCUAACAACUUCUAAGAUUAUGAAUGCACUUAUCAACAAGUAAGAGCAUAACUACAUCAAUAACUAGAUACAAAAGAAAAUUUAGAAGAUACCAAAUCCUAACAUUAGCAACAACCAUAAGAUCUAUUCUUAACACCAAUAAAGACUUCAAAGAACUUCAAAAUUUACAACUAAAGGUGUGUGGGCCCAUAACCUAUUGAAGAACAAGCACUUUGAAGUCACAACACUUAGCAUUAGCAACGUUGCAUACAAAAAGGAGUAUGAAGUAAGAUUACUCUUACUUCCAAUACUUAUUAUUUAUAGGUCGUAGUUGCCAACCAACGAGACAACUUCUAUCGAUAUUACAUCUAUUUCUACUUCAUUCAACUAAAUCCUAGGUUCUUUCUUAACCUAGCCUCCACCUUAAAAUCCUAGCCGCUACCUACAAAUCUUACAAGCCACCAUAGUAACUUCUUUAUACUCUUUUGUUACCUUUUGAUCACUAAUAAUUUACCUAAGAUAAUACCUUUUAUUAAGUGACUUUCUUCAACAUUUGGAACCUUUGUUGUGAUUUGAUGUGGUAAUUGAAGAACUUCGACUCCUUGACUAUUAUGUAUGAUUAUGUAUAGUUUUUUAUUCUACUUUAACAAAAUCUUUGUUUUAAUCCUCAAUGCUUCAAGAACAUUAAUAAUAGAAUCUAGCUUGAUAUCUUUUAAGUUUGUUAUAUUGACUUUUCUACUUUUUGCCAUAAAAAAUCAGAGAAACAUAUGCCUCCAAAAAAAAAAAACUUGAUUUAUGAUAUAAAGAAAAGAAACCUAAAGUAUAUUAAGAAAAGAACAAUUUUAAUCUAAGGGAGGAUAAUCCGCAACCUCUAAAAUACUAUAGUACUUCCAAAAAGAGGGAUAAUCCACUCUCUGUCAAAAAAGACUAAGCUCCUAAUAUUAUUUUAUGGAAGUCUCAACAAACUGUUAGGGACCAUAUAUAAUACAAGGAUUCAAGAUCAAGGAAUGGAGUUAACUUCAUAUUAGAACAACAACUGGAUAUAAGGCAAGAAGAUUUUGGCUAGACCAUAAGAAGUUAGUUGUCGAGACUGGAGAUCUCCUCAACCUUGACUCUUAUAUAUAUUAGAUCCUAAGAAGCUUCUUGAGAAGUUUCUAUGAGGCUUGAAAACAAAGCAAGCCUAAGAUCCUUCUUCGACAACUUCCUAAAUCAUCCAAAGCCUUUUAGAACCUUUUAGGAUCUCCUAUAAUCUUCUAGAACUUUUUUAGAAUCUAUUAGAAUCUUUCAAAACCUUCUAAAACCUCCAAAAAUCUUCAAGAAUCUUUGUAGAACCUACUAGUAUCUUUUGGAAUCUUCUAGAACCUUUUGAAAUCUUUUUGAAUCUUCUUCAGUUGUAUGUCUAUGACAAUAGGACUUCUAAUAUAUACUAACUUUGCAAGAUACAUGCCUUAGCUUAUAAAGUAAGUUUUUUAUAUGUGGGCCACAUAGUUAGCUUGUUCUUUAAGCUAUAAACAUGUGUAGCAUAUGGCAUCUUACUGAUCAUGUUUUUAACCUAAAAAAUCAAUUAAAGAUAUCUAUAAAGUCAAAAUAAUGUCUAUAAAGCUUCUAGGAAGCUUAUAUAGAAGAUAUUAUGGAAUUGAUCUAGUUUUACCUACUAUUAUCUAAAUCAUAUAAGUAAUUAUUGGUUUACAUGUAUAUGUCUAUGACAUUACCUUCCCUUUUAGGGACAAGUUUCGUGAGGAGCGGUCUUCAUAUGUUGAAAAAAUGUAAGAUACAACAAAUUGUAUUUGCCACCUACUCCAAUCUUUGUUUUCUUCGAAGAUAGUUGAUAGGCCCUCUUAUUUAUUCAUAGUGUUUCAUACUAGGGCUAGAAGACUACUCUGUUAUUUGAUCAUUGUUGAAGCUUUUAUAACUUCCUUCAAAUAAAAUAUUUGGAACAUCGUUAGGAAUUAUUCCUACCUAAAAAAAUUAUCAAACAUUGAGAGUCUCUUUCAACGUCGUGAUACCAAAUGUAUUGUAUCUCACCAUCUAUUCAAAGAAGAAUAUAUUCUUCUUGAGAAUCUUCAUCUCGAUUGCAUUGUCUUAAAGUUUGUGAUAAUUGCAAUGUCUCAUCUGGCAAGUCAGCAAAUGAAGGCUCUUUAGUUGAAUCUACUGGUUGUUGGUUCUCCAUCUCUUUAGUGAUACAAAUACAAAGAAGCUACAAAGAAGGAUUGAAAGUAGAAUGUUAUCUUACUUAAAUCUUAUUUUUUUUGUAGGGAAGGUCUUCAUCUUGAUUUUCAUAGAUAUUGUCAAUGGCAAGCCUCUCUCUUCUUUGAUGCAUUUACAAGAUUCUUUGCUAGCUCCCAUGUGCAUAACUAAUAGUAUAUCUGUGCCAAUGAAUAAGAUAUUAUAACUUAUUUUGGCAUCGCCUUGAGUCUAAGACUUCUUCCACUUCAAAUUCUUUAUUAUUGUCCACUUUUAUAGGAGGAAGUGGUACUUAUCUUCUCCUUGGUAUGUCCAUUGUCUUGUAUGGUUCAAGAAGAGACAUGUGAAAUAAUAGAUGGAUCUUCAUUGACUCUGAUAAAUAUAAACAAUAUACAACUAGAUUAAUUUGUGUAGAAAUAAGAAAUGGUCCAAGCCUACAAUAGUCCAACUUGUUACAAAGAUGAGUAGUCUUAAUAUUGUGAUAAAGUAACCAUACCUUAUCACCCACAUGGAAUGGUGGUUGUUCCAUUUGAUAGAUAUCUGCAUUGAUCUUUUAUUAUUCUUGAGCCUCUUUUAACUGGGCCUUCAUUGUUGUAUGUAACUAUGACAAAUAAUUUAUCAAAUCUUUUGCUGCAGAAUUAUCAACUUCUAAAAAGUUAAAAGUAUCAAUUCAUAGAUAACCAUAAUUGGCAAAGAGAGGUGUUUGUUUUGUAAAAGAAUGUACUGUGUUAUAAUAAAUAAACUCUACCAAUAGCAAAAGAAUUGUCUAAUCAUCUUGUUAGUAGUUGAUAAUAUAUCUUAAAUACUACUCUAAAACUUGAUUAAUACGCUUUGUUUGUACAUUAGUUUGAGGAUGGAAUAUUGAAGAUAGUUUUAUAUCUACUUUUAGAAUCUUGAAAAAAGUCCACCAAAAACUUAAUACAAAUUGAGUUUCCUUAUCCGAUAUAAUAUCCUUGGAUAAUCCAUAAUGCAAUAGACAUUGUCAAGAAAGUUUUUAGCUGUUUCUUCACUGAUGAUAGAUUUUGUAUAUAGUACAAAAUAUGCCAUGUUGAUAAUACAAUCUACUAUUACAAAUAUAGAGCCAUAGGAACCUGAGAUUGGAAGAUCCAUGAUGAAAUCCAUAGAAACAAAAGACUAUGGUUGUUCUGGAAUAAGUAAUGGUUGAAGAAGUCCAUAAGGUUAAUGACGGAGAGUUUUUGAUCUUGAACAAAUGUCGAAUGAGUGAAUAAAGUCUUUCACACCCUUCCACAUUUGUGUCCACUAAAAAUCUUUGGAUAUUAGCUCUAAAGUCUUGUUGUAUCUAAAAUAUCCUAUUAUUAGAAAUUUAUGAUGUACUUAAAAAAUACGUAAUUGUGCUUCUCCUUUUAAAAUAUAUAAUCAACCUUCAAAAUAGAAUAGGUUAUUUUUGAACUCAAACUUAGAAGUAUCUUAGAACUUAGAAGAAAGAUUCUUGAUAUUGUAAAUAAGAGGAUCAGAAGACAUACUUGAUUGGAUUUGUUUUACAAGGGUUGAAUCAACAAUCAAUUUUGAUUUCAUUACUCAAAGAUGAAAAUACUCUGAUUUCAAGAAAAUCAUUCUUUGUUGAUCAAAAGAUGCAUUUCUUUCUUCUAGUGCAAGUUAAGAAUAUCUAGAAAGGAUAUUUGACUAACCUUGUUAUUUUUUGAGUUGAUAUAUGAUCUUGAAAUCAAAUCUUGAUAAAAACAUGCUCCAAUGAGCUCAAUGAUGAUUCAAAAUACGUGCUGACAUGAAGUACUUUAAGUUCUUAUAGUCCAUAUAUAUGGUGACUCGAUUAGAAGUGCCUUCUAGAUGAUGAUGCCAUUCUUGAAAUGAAUCUAUGAUUACAAGAAGCUCUUUGUCGUGGAUUUCAUAGUUAAUCUCGACUACUAAAAAGUUUCUGGAAUGAAAAACUAUUAGGUGAAGUUUAUCAUCAAUUCCCAUUUGUAAAAAUACAACACCCAAAGAAAAGUAUAAUGUGUCUAUUUCCAUAAAAAAUAUCUUAAAAAAGUCAACACAAUACAAGAUUGGUACAGAAAUAAGGACUGACUUCAAAGCUUCAAAAGAUGUUUCAGUUUCUUUACUCCACUCAAGUUUGACUUUGGAAGUCAAAUAUAUAAGUAGGGCUGCAACUCGAGAAAAGUAUUUAAUGAAGUUCCGAUAAUAGUUAGUAAAGCCCAAAAAAUAUUGGACAUCUCUUACCGUUUUUGGAAUCUUUCAAUCCAUAAUAGUUUGAACUUUCUUAAGAUCCAUCACAAGUCUAUCAUUUGAAAUCAUGUAUCCUAAGAAUUCGACUUGAGUAGUAUAGAAUACAUACUUUUUUAUCUUAGCAUAGAGUCUGACAUCUCUUAAUUUUUGUAACACACGAUGAACAUGAAGUUUAUAUUCAUCUGUAUUCUUAGAAUAGAUCAAGAUGUCAUUUAGAUAACAAACAACAAAAUCAUCCAAAAAUUCUCAAAAAAUAUCAUUCAUUAGAUGUUGAAAAGUUGUUGAUACAUUUGUAAGUCCAAAAGGCAAGAAAUUGUAUUCAAAAUAUCCAUACCUAGUUCAAAAUGUAAUCUUCUAUUUAUCUCCUUCUUUAAUACAUAUUAGAUUGUAUGCUCUCCCUAGAUCUAUUUUUGUAUAGAUCUUAGCUUAAUUCAUUUAAUUAAGCAAUCCAAAUAUCAAAAGUAGACAGUACCUAUUCUUGAUGGUGAUCUUAUUGAGUCUUUGAUAAUCAACACACAUCCACAAUGUUCUAUCUUUCUUCUUCACAAAUAAGAUUGGAGCUCCUGUUGGCGAUUUGGAAUGGCAUAUAAAAUUCUUGGCUAGAUUUUCUUUAAUAUAUUCCUUGACUUCAGCUAAUUCAUUUUGUGACAAACUAUAGAUUGGUCCAAAUGGCGGUUGUGCUACUUCUUGAAGGUCAAUUGAAUAGUCAUAUGGAUAAUGUUUUGGAAGAGUAUCCACAUUCUUUUUUUCAAAUACAUCUUGAAACUUUUGAUAUUGGCUUGGAAUGCCACUUGAAGUCUUUGUAUCAUUAGAAAUAGGUGUAGCGUGAAUGACAUAAUGUGAUCCUUCUUUUGCAGCAUGCAAGAAAGCUCUCGCAUAUACAAACAAAGGUUUUAUUAUAUUAUACUGAUGACUUUUUAUUGGAUUAAUUUGAAUCUUAGUUAUACUUUUAGAGAAGUCAAGAGUACAAAAAAUCUAAUCUAUACAAGGAUUGUAUUUUUUUAAUCAUAAUAAAUCUAAAAUGACUAGAUUAGAAGGAGAUCUAAUUAUAUUUAAGAUUAAACAACUACUAUUACCAUUUAUUGCUACAUCUAUAAGAAGUGUUUCAUGAAUAACAUCUCCUAAAGACUACAGACGACCAUCUAUGACUUCUACAUGAACAAAUUUAGUUUUUUGUACUAACAAUAUUUUAUGACUUUUAAUAAAUUCUACAUCUAAGAAACAAGUUGAGGCCCUUGAAUCUAUCAAGGUGGAGGAUUUAUAAUUAUUAGGACCUAAAUAAACAUCUAUUAUUAAAUAAUGAGAGGGUUCUGAAAAGAGGAUAGGAGCUUCAUUAGAAAUUAUAUAAGAUUUCAGCUGCACAGUCUCUAUUGUUGCUAGACAAAUUUAUUUUUCGACACAUUGUCUUCUUUGAUAGCUAUGCUCCUCAUUUUGUGGUUUUAUUGCUUCUUUAGAGAAUUUUGAGUAAUGCGUUUAGGUUUUCUAUAAUAUAAGCAUAAUCCUUCUUGACUACGAUGAAUCUUUUUUUGCUCUGUAAGAGGUUUAAAACAUACUACAUCAAAUUACAUAUUUUUUACUUCUAAAUAUAUGUAUUAAAGAGAUGUGGUAUUGCUAUCAAAUUGUUGUAAUAUUGAGGCUUACUUAUGCGACUCUGAGAUCAAAAUUCAAAAAAUUGAUUAUCGAACUUCACAACAAAGUCAAUUGCUUGACUCAAUGUUUGAGGAUCAAGUAAGUUGAGCAUCAAUUUUUUUACUUCAUAUUGUAAUCCAUAGAAAAAUUGGCUAAUAAGUGCAGUAUCAAUUCACUUGAUAUUAGUUGUAAGUUGUCAAAAUUGUAAAGCAUAUAAUAUUAUAGAUCGAUUGCUUUGUUAUAAAAUACAAAUCUUAUUGGUUGCAACAUAAGUUGUAACAUAUUUUCCAUACAUGGAUCCAAUUUUUACCAAAAAUACCUUCAGAUAUCCAAUAUUAGAUCUUAUCAUUUAAGAAAAGAUGAAAAAUACGAUAGUGCUGAACUUAAUAGAAGUAUAUCAAUGAAUCUAACUUGUGAUGCUAGAAUUGGAUAGCUUUGAGGUUGAAGUUCAAUCGUAAGUUGUAUUUGAUUGAUAAAUCUUCAAAAUUUGGAUCUUAUAUGAUCAAACUUCUCAGACAUGGCAACUCUUGAUUUUUUAAUACUUGAAGGAUGUUCUACUAUAGGUGCAGGGACAUGAUUUGGUGUAGAUGUUCAGGCACCUCUAAUCAUCUCUAUAUCCUCACUUCUUGUAUUCUUGUUGAUCCUUGUGGUGGUAAGCUAAGUUGAUGCAUUGCAAGCAUCAACUCCCUCAAUUGCUCUUACAUUUGUGCCAUUGUACUCUUCAUUUCAAGAAGCUCUUUUAUAAUAAUAUUCAAAAAAUAUCUAAUACUGCUCAAAUCAAGUAGAAAAAAGGACUUUAGAAUAAAGAAGAUACUAAUCACAAUAUCAGUUUAGAAGAGGGUAAUUUAUAACUUCUAAUAUACUUAAACUUGAAGAUGAUGCAUAAACCAAUGAAAUCCAUGUCAAAGAAAAAGUGACAAAAUAAAAAUAAAAAAGUACGUAUAUUAAAAAAAAACUGGAAUGGCUUAUUGUCAAAAGACAAGAAAACUUGAGACUCUUAAAACUAAACUAGAAUCAAGAAAGAAAUUGACAAGAGUGAAGAGGGCUUCAUUUUUGUUUCUAUAUAUACUAUCUAAUUAGGAGCUACGUGGCAAUGUUCUAUAGGACCUCUAAUAUGUAUUGACUUUGCAAGAUACAUGCUUUAGCUUACAAGGUAAGUUUUCUAUGUGUAAACCACAUAGUUAGCUUGUUUUUCAAGCUAUCAAUAUGUGUGGCACAUGGCCAACUUGUUGACCACAUUUCUAACCUAAAAAGUCAAUUAAAGACACCUAUAAAAUCAAAGUACCAUCUAUGAAGCUUUUAAGAAUCUUUUAUAGAAGAUAUUAUGGAAUUGAUCUAUUUUCAUCUACUUUUAUCUAAAUCAUAUGAAUAAUUAUUGAUAUAUAUGUAUGUUCAUGACACUUGGUACAUUUUCAAACAAGAAAAUACAUAAUAUGACAAUAUUAUAGAUAUUUUGAAUGGCUAAUUAUAUCUUUUGGCCUCAGAAAUAAUCUAGCCUCUUUUAUGGAUCACAAAAUAAAUUGUUUUAGGACCUGUUAAACAAGUAUGUAAUUGUCUUCAUUGAUGAUAUCCUCAUAUACGAUAAAAUCCUUAAAGAACAUGAGCAACAUUUAUAAGAAGUGAUGGACUAGCUACAAGAUAAUUGCUUCUAUUACAAACAAAAUAUGAACUUUGGAAGUUGGAAGUCACCUUUUUGAGGCAUGUUGUGUCCUUUGAAGGCAUGUAUAUAGACCAAGAUAAGGUGAAAGUAGUGGAGGAUUGGCCAUCCUUAAGGAUGCUUUUAAAGUCCGCUCAUUUUUAAGCCUUGCUAGAUAUUAUUACUAUUUUGUUUGAUGAUUUGCUCUUAUUGUUGCCUCAUUAAUAAACUUAUUAUAGAAAGGUGCCUUAUUUGAUUGGAAACUAGAGCAACAAAGUACCUUUGAUAAGUUAAAAGAAACACUCAUUAUUGUUCCAAUAUUGCAACUAUAUGAUCCUAACCUUCUUUGUAUGCUUGAUAUUAAUGCUUUUGACUUUGGUAUUAGAAAGGUCCUUCAACAAAACUUUGGUAGUAGUCUUUAAGUUAUGGCAUAUGAAUCACACAAGCUCAAAAUGACAAUGCACAAUUAUUCAGCAUGUAUUUGAGAACAAAUAGCAAUUAUACAUGCGACAAAGGUGUAGCAAUACUAUUUAGUGGAGGAGCUAGAGGUUGUUCAGACCAUCGAUCCUUGCUACACUAUUUACAUGUAAAAAAUAUUAAAUUACAACAUCAUCGUUGGAAAGAAUAAUUAUAACUUUUUGAUAUUUGGCUUGAGCACAAGCAAAGAUGACAACAUAUUAUGCCAAACAACUUACUGUGGGAACAAGAUUUAAAAGAUGAAUUAAGAGACAAAGUAAAAAUUGCUGCCAUUAGAAGUGUCAUUUCAAAUCUAACCAAAGAGAUAGAAUAGAAGAAAGCUACGUAUAUGAAUGCUUAUUUUAAGAUGAUUAGUGAUCGGCUGAAGGUAGGUGAUAUAUUGUAUUAAGAUUACAUUUUUAGUGAUGGAUUGCACUAUUUCAAGAAGCAGAUUUAUGUACAUAAUAAGGCUAUACUUUGGACACACAUAUUUUAAGAGGGACAUGACAUCUCAACAUUUGGACAUUUUUAACGAGAGAAGAUUCUAGAAUGGAUUUCAAAGGCAUAGUUUUGGGUAGGUUUGAAUCAUGAUGUUUAAACCUUUGUAUAUUCUUGCAAAUUAUAUCAAUAUAAUAAAACACGCAAUCUAAUGUCUCCUAAAUUAUUACAACUAAUUUUACUAUUUAUGGUACUUUUGAAGUAGAUGAUUAUAGAUCUCAAUACGUGUUUAUUCCAAAUGUUUUAUAAUCAUAGCACAAUUGUUGUCUUUACAGAUCAAUUCUUAGAGCAACUUCACUUGGCCAUAGUACGCUUGAAUAUUGAUGCUCAAGUGCUUGCACAAGUCUUUUUUGAUACUAUGUCAGGGACAAGAACUCGAUAAAAAGAAAUUCAGACAAGUGAGCCUUCACUCGAAGAAAGGUAACAAAAUAUAAAUAAACAAGUAUGUAUAUUGAAAGAGAAACUAGAAUGGCUAUUGCCAAAAGACAAGAAAACUAGAGACCCUUGAAACUAGACUAGAAACAAGAAAGGAGUUGACAAGAGUGAAGAAGGCUUCGCUCUUGUCUCUAUAUAUACUAUCCAACUAGGGACUACGUGGCGACGUUCUACAGGACCUCCAAUAUGUGUUGACUUUGUAGGACACAUGCCUUGAUUUACAAGGCAAGUUUUUCUACGUGUGGGCCACAUAGUUAGCUUGAUCUUCAAGCUAAUAACAUGUGUGGUAUACUUGUUGACCACGUUUCUAAUCCAAAAAGUCAAUUAAAGACACCUAUGAAGUCAAAGCAGCAUCUAUGAAGCUUCUAAGAAGCUUUUAUAUUAAAUACUAUAGAAUUAAUUUAUUUUUACUUACUUUUAUUUACUUCUACCUAUUUAUAUAUAUAAUUACUAACUUAUAGGAGUAUGUCUGUGACAUUACCCCCCCUUCUAGGCACGAAUUCCACGAGGAGCGGUCAUCAUAUGUUGAGGAAAUCUAUGAUGCGACGAAUUAUAUUCGCCACAUACUCUGAUCUUUGUUCUCUUCGAAGAUGAUUGAUAGGGCCUCUCAACCAUUGGUAGUGUCCCAUAUUAGGGCGGGAAGACCACUCAGUUAUUUGAUCAUUAUUGAGGCCUUCAUAACUUCCUUCGAAUAGAACAUUUGGAAUACCAUCAGAAGUUGUUCCUAUCUCUAGCAAAAUCACCAAACAUUGGGAGUCCCUUCCCAAAUCGUGAUACCAAACGCAUUGUAUCUCGCCAUCUAUUCGAGGAAGAACAUGUCGUUCUUGAAGAUCUUCAUCUCGAUUGUAUCGUCUUGAAGGUUGUGACAAUCAUAAUGUCUCAUCCGGCAGGUCAGCAAAUGAAGGCUCUUGAGUCGAAUCCAUUGGUUAUUGGUUCUCCAUCUCCUGAGCGUCACUAUUGCAAAGAAGCUACGAACAAAGAUUGAAAGUACAAUGUUAUCUUGCCUAGAUGUUGUUUCUUUUGUAAAGAAGGUUUUCAUCUUGAUUUUGAUGGAUGUUGUCGAUGAAAAGCCUCCAUCGCCUUUAUUGCAUUUACAAGAUUCUUUAUUGGCUCCCAUGUGCAUUCACUAAUAUCAUAUCCGCACCAAUGGAUAAAAUAUUCUAAUUUAUUUUGGCGACGCCUUGAAUCUAAGACUUCUUCUACUUCAAACUCUUCAUUAUUGUCCACUUCUAUAGGAGGAGGUGGAGCUUAUCGUCUUCUUGGUAUAUCCAUUGUCUUGUAUGAUUCAAGAAGAGACAUGUGGAAUAUUGGAUGGAUUUUUAUUGACUCCGGUAGAUAUAAACGAUAUGCAACUGGAUUGAUUUAUGCAGAAAUAGAAAAUGGUCCAAGUCUUCGAUAGUCCAAUUUGUCACAAGGAUGAGUGGUCUUGAUAUUGCCAUAAAGUAGCUAUACCUUAUCACCUAAGAUGAAUGGUGGUUGUUCUUUUCGAUAGACAUCUGCAUUGACUUUUUGUUGUUCUUGAGCCUCUUUUAACUGCACCUUCAUUGUUGCAUGUAGCUCUGAUAAAUGAAUCGCCAAAUCUUUCGCAGCAGGAUUAUCAAAUUUUAAAAAGUCAAAAGUAUUAAGUCAUGGAUGAUAACCAUAAUUAGUAAAGAAAGGUGUUUGUUUUGUAGAAGAAUGUACCGUAUUAUUGUAAGCAAACUCUGCCAAUGGCAAAAGAGUUGUCCAAUCAUCUUGUUGGUAAUUAAUGGUACAUCUUAAAUAUUGCUCCAAAACUUGAUUAACACGCUCCAUUUGUCCAUCAGUUUGAGGAUGGAAUGCCAAAGAUAAUUUUAUAUCUACUUUAAGAAUCUUGAAAAGAGUCCGCCAAAAUCUUAAUACAAAUUGAACUCUCUUAUCUGAUAUAAUAUCCUUGGGUAAUCCAUGAUAGCAAUAGAUAUUGUCAAGAAAGAGCUUAGUUGUUUCUUCACCUGUGAUAGAUUUUGUACAUAGUACAAGAUAUGCCAUCUUGGUAAAAUGAUCUACUAUCACGAAUAUAGAGUCAUAAGAACCUGAGAUUGGAAGAUCCGUGAUGAAAUCCAUAGAAACAGAAGACCAUGGUUGUUCUAGAAUGGGUAAUGGCUCAAGAAGUCUUAAAGGUCGAUGACGAGGAGUUUUUGAUCUUGAGCAAUCAUCACAUGAUUGUACAACAUCUUUGACUGCCUUCUACAUUCGAGGCCACCAAAAAUCCCUAGAUAUCAGCUCCAAAGUCUUAUUAUAUCCAAAAUGUCAUGUUGCUGGAAAGUUGUGACAAGCUUGAAGAAUACGUAAACGUGCUUCUCCUUUUGGAAAAUAUAGGCAUCCUUCAAAAUAGAGUAGGUUGUUCUUGAAUUCAAAUUUAGAGGGAUCAUGAGAUUUAGAAGAAUUAUUCUUGAUAUCAUGAACAAGAAAGUCUGAAGACAUACUUAACUGGACUUGCUUAAGAAAAGUUAAAUCAAAAGUCAAUGUUGAUUUUAUUGCUCGAAGAAGAAAUUGCUCUGGCUUCAAGACAACUGUUUUUUGUUGUUCGAAAGCUGCAUUUUCUUCUUUUGGUGCAAGAUAAGAUCAUCUAGACAAGGCAUCAAACAAACCUUAUUGUUUUCCUGGCCGAUAAGUGAUGAUGAACUCAAAUCUUGAUAAAGACAUGUUCCAAAAAGCUUGACGAUGAUUUAAUAUGUGUAUUGACGUAAAAUACUCGAGGUUCUUGUGAUCUAUAUACAUGGUGACUAGAUUGGAAGGGCCUUCUAGAUAAUAAUGCCAUUCUUGAAAAGAAUCCACGAUUGUAAGAAGUUCUUUGUCAUGGAUCUCAUAAUUGAUUUUUGCUGCUGAGAAUUUUCUUAAAUGAAAGGCUACUAGAUGAAGUUUGUCAUUUUUUCCCAUUUGUAAUAAAACCACACCCAGAGCAAAGUCUGAUGCAUCUGUUUCCAUAAAGAAUGCUUUCAAAAAAUCAACAUGAUACAAGAUUGGUGCAGAAACAAAUGCUGUCUUCAAAGAUUCAAAAGUAACUUCCGCUUCUUGAUUCCAUUAGAGUUUGUCUUUACAAGUCAAACGUGUAAGUAGAGCUGCAAUUCGAGAGAAGUCCUUAAUGAAGAUUCGAUAGUAGUUGGCAAAUCCCAAAAAACAUUGGACAUCUCUUACCAUUUUUGGGAUCUUCUAAUCUAUAGUAGUUUGAACUUUCUUAAGAUCUAUCAUAAGUCCAUCAUUUGAAAGGAUAUAAUUUAAGAAAUCGACUUGAGUAGUGUGGAAUACACACUUUUCUAUCUUGGCAUAGAGUCCUGCAUCUCUUAAUUUUUGUAACACAUGAUGAACAUGAAGUUCAUGUUCUUCAAGAUUCUUAGAAUAGAUCAAAAUGUCGUCUAGAUAACAGACCACAAAAUUGUCCAAAAACUCUCAAAAAAUAUCAUUCAUUACGUGUUGAAAAGCUGCUGGUGCAUUUGUAAGUCCAAAAGGCAUGACGUUGUAUUCAAAAUGUCCAUACCUAGUUCGAGGUUCUUGUGAUCCGUAUACACGGUGACUGGACUGGAAGCGCCUUCUAGAUAAUGACACCUUUCUUGAAAAGAAUCCACAAUUGCAAGAAGUUCUUUGUCGUGGAUCUCAUAAUUGAUUUCUGCUGCUGAGAAUUUUCUUGAAUGAAAGGCUACUGGAUGAAGUUUGUCAUCUGUUCCUAUUUGUGAUAAAACCGCACCUAGAGCAAAGUCUGAUGCAUCUGUUUCCAUAAAGAAUGCUUUCAAAAAAUCAACAUGAUACAAGAUUGGUGCAGAAACAAACGCUGUCUUCAAAGAUUCAAAAGCAACUUCCGUUUCUUGAUUCCAUUGGAGUUUGUCUUUACAAGUCAAACGUAUAAGUAGAGCUGCAACUUGAGAGAAGUCUUUGAUGAAGAUUCGAUAGUAGUUGGCAAAUCUCAAAAAAUAUUGGACAUCUCUUAUCGUUUUUGGGAUCUUCUAGUUUAUAAUAGUUUGAACUUUUUUAGAAUCCAUCAUAAGUCCAUCAUUUGAAAUGAUGUAACCUAAAAAAUCGACUUGAGUAGUGUGGAAUACAUACUUUUUUAUCUUGGCAUAGAGUCCUGCAUCUCUUAAUUUUUGUAACACAUGACAAACAUGAAGUUCAUGUUCUUCAAGAUUCUUAGAAUAGAUCAAGAUGUCGUGUAGAUAACAGACCACAAAAUCGUCCAAAAACUCUCAAAAAACAUCAUUUAUUAGAUGUUGAAAAGCUGUUGGUGCAUUUGUAAGUCUAAAAGGCAUGACGUUGUAUUUAAAAUGUCCAUACCUAGUUCGAAAUGCAGUCUUCCAUUCAUCUCCUUCUUUAAUGUGUACUAGAUUGUAUGCUCCCCAGAGAUCUAUUUUUAUAUAGAUCUUAGCUUGAUUCAACUGAUCAAGAAGUCUAGAUAUUAAAGGUAGUGGAUACCUGUUCUUGAUAGCAAUCUUGUUGAGUCCUCGAUAAUCAACACACAUCCACAAUGGUCCAUCUUUUUUCUUCACAAAUAGAAUUGGAGCUCUUACUGGAGAUUUAGAAUGGCGUAUGAAAUUCUUGGCUAGAUUUUCUUCAAUAUACUUCUUGAGUUCAGUCAACUCAUUUUGUAAUAAACUGUAGAUUGGUCCGAAUGGCGAUUGUACUCCUUCUUGAAGGUCAAUUGAGCAAUCAUAGGGAUGAUGUUUCGGGAGUGUAUCCGCAUUCUUUUUUUCGAAUACAUCUUGAAAUUCUUAAUAUUGGCUUGGAAAGCCACUUGAAGUCUUUCAACCAGUAGAAAUAGGUGUGGCAUAAAUAAUAUAUGGUGAUUCUUUCAUAGCAUCAUGCAAGAAAGCUUUUGCACCUAUAAAUACGGGUUUAAUUGAACUGGACUUAUGACUCUCUACUUGAUUAACUACACUGUUAGUUAUACUUUUAGAAAAAAUAAGAGUUUGGAAAAUCCAAUCUAUUUGAGGGUUGUAUUUUUCUAACCAUGAUAAAUCUAAAAUGAUUGGAUUAGAGGGAGAUCUAAUGAUAUUAAAUACUACAAAGCUAUUAUGACCAUUGAUUAUUACUUCUAUAGGAAGGGUUUCGUGAGUAAUAUCCCUAGAAGACAAUAGACGACCAUCUAUGACUUCUACAUGAACAGGUUUAGUUUUCUUUAUUAAAGAUAUGCUAUGUCUUUUAGUAAAUUCUUCAUCUAAGAAAUACGUCGAGGCUCUUGAAUCUAACAAGGCAGAGGCUUUCUAAUGUUUAGGUCCUAAAAUAAUAUUUAAUGUAAAACAAGGAGAGGGCUCUGAGGAGAGAAUAGGACCUUUACUAGAUGUUGUGCAAGGUUCCAACCGCACGAUCCCUAUUGUAGCUAGACAAACUCGUUUUCUGACAUAUUGUCUUCUUUUAUAGCCAUACUCCUCAUUUUGUGAUUAUGUCGUUUCUUUGGACAAUGUUGAGCAGUGUGCUUUGGUUCUCUAUAAUAUAAACAUAAUCUUUUUUGAUGACGACGAGUCUUUUCUUGCUCAGUAAGAAGUUUGAAAUAUACUGCAUCAAUUUGUAUAUCUUCUACUUCCAAAUGUAUGUGUUGAAGAGGUGUUGGUGUUGCCAUUGAAUUAUAAUAACAUUGAGGUCGGUUCUCAGAUCGGAAUUCAAAAAGGUGAUUGUCGCAUUUCACAGCAAAGACAAUUGCUUGACUGAAUGUUUGAGGAUCAAGUAAGUUGAGCAUAAAUUUUUUUAUCUCAUAUUGUAAUCCGUAGAAAAAUUGGCUAAUAAGUGCAGCAUCAUCCUACUUGAUAUUAGUUGCAAGUUGUCGAAAUUGUGAAGCAUACAAUGUUACUGAUCGAUUGCUUUGUCGUAAAAUACAGAUCUUAUUGGUUGCAAUACAAAUUGUAUCAUGUUCUCCAUACAUGGAUCAAAACUCUGCCAAAAAAGCCUAUGGUUAUCUAAUAUUGGAUCUCGUCGUUCAAGAAAAGAUAAAAACUACGAUAGUGCUGAAAUUGAAAGAAGCGUACCAAUGAAUCUAACUUGCGAUCUUGUAGUUGGAUAGCUUUGGGAUUGAAGUUCAAUCACAAGUUGCACUUGAUUGAUAAAUCCUUGAAACUUGGAUAUGGUGCCAUCAAACUUCUCAGGUAGGGCAAUUCUUGGUUCUCUAAUACUGGAAGGGUGUUCCACUAUAGGAGAAAGGACAUGGUUUGGUGCAGAUGUUGAAGUAGCUCCAACUAUUUCUAUAUCUUCACUUCCUGCCAAUCUUAUUGCUCCUUGUGGUAGUAAAUUGAGUUGAUGCAUCAUAAGCAUUAACUCUCUCAAUUGCUCUUGCAUUUGUGCCAUUGCAUUCUUUAUUUCAACAAGUUCUGCCAUGAUAACACUUAAAAAAGAGAAGAUGUCUAAUAUCGCUCAAGACAAAUAGAAGAAAGGACUUGAAAACAAAGAAAAUACUAAGGACAAUAUCAAUUUAGAAGAGGGUAAUCUGCAACUUCUAAUAUGCUUAUAUCUUAUCAAGAAAAAAGGGUAAUCCACUCUUAAUCAAGAUUAGACAAAGCUCUGAUAUUGUAGGUGUACUCUUGUUAAUCUGUCAAGGAUAAGAGCUCGAUAAAAAGAAAUUCAGACAAGUGAGCCUUCACUCAAAGGGACUACGUGGUGAUGUUCUAUAGGACCUCCAAUAUGUGUUGACUUUGUAAGACACAUGCCUUGACUUACAAGGUAAGUUUUUCUAUGUAUGGGCCACAUAGUUAGCUUGAUCUUCAAGCUAACAACAUGUGUGGUACACUUGUUGACCACGUUUCUAAUCCAAAAAGUCAAUUAAAGACACCUAUGAAGUCAAAACAAUGUCUGUGAAGCUUCGAAGAAGCUUAUAUAUUAAAUACUAUAGAAUUAACUUAUUUUUACCUACUUUAUUUACUUCCACCUAUUUGUAUAUAUAAUUACUAGCUUAUCUGAGUAUGUCCGUGACAUACUAUCUUUCAUCACCAUAGAUUAUCUUGUGUCAUUGUUUGAAAUUGAAAUCCACGCUUCACAAGAAGUUUUUGACAAGUCUUGUUUAAGCUAUUAAGCACACGACUUGCCAUGUCUAUAGCCUUCUAUAUCCAUAUAGAUAGGCAAACAAAGCAUGUAAAUUGGACCUUGGAAGAUAUGUUGCGAGCAUUUUUGGUGGUUCAUGAUAAUGAUUGGAAUGAAUACUUAGCAUCCUUGGAGUUUGCUUAUAAUGAUAGUAUUUAAGCAAGUACCAAUCAUUCAUCAUUUUUUUUUAAUACUAGUUAACAUUCAAUUAUGCUAGCAACUCUUUAUCAUCCCAUCGACAUCAACAACUUGACAAUAAAGGAAUUUAUACAAUGACUUACAACAAUCUUAUAAGAGACACGAUACCAUCUCUUUAUUACACAUAAUUGAUAGAAGUAGUAUGCGGAUAACCAUUGGCAAUACAAGACCUUUUGGGAGGGUGAUUAGGUAUUACUCUCCAAUGCCAACUUGCCACUUGCUAUAUCAAUCCAAAUCAAUAAACUAGCACUUUGGUGGCUUGGAUCUUUUUGCAUUUCUACAGUGAUUUUUGAUGUUGCAUACUACCUUAAGCUUUCACUACAUAUUUGGAUCUAUCUAGUCUUCCAUAUUUUAUAACUGAAGAAAUUUCAUACGAAGCCAAAGCACUUUCUGGAUCAAUAUUAAUUACCACCACCACCGGUUGAAGUUGAUGACCAACAAGAAUAUGAAAUAAAUAGCAUUUUGGAGCAUUGCUAUCUUCAUUGUGGCAGUCGACGUCUACAACUUCAGUACAUAUACAAAUAUCUUAUCUAUAUCCUAUUACAGUUAAUUCUCCUCUACUAAUGUAAUAGGAUAUGGAUAAAAUAUUUGUAUAAGAAUAUUUGUACCAUGGCACUUUCUAAAAUUGGGAUUAGGUUAUUAGAUUAGGUAGGAUCCAUUAUGGAACACUCUAGAAAGAAUUUAGGGCAGUUAUUUAGGUAGGGCCUACCAUAGAAUCUUUUAGAAGGAGUUUAAGGUGGUUAUGUAAGUGGGAUCCACUACCUAAGAAUAUUCUAGAAAGUCCAAGGUGGUAGAACAAAGUAUAAAUAAGACUUAGUAGGGUCUUUUGGUCAAAUAUGGCUUCAAACCUUCUUUGUUAGUAAAGUUUGGUUUUGCAUCUUUCUAUUUAGUUCUGUUUUGUUUUAUUUGUGUUUUGUUCAAUUUUGUCUUCCAUGUCUUAUUCUAUUUAGUUUUGUUUAGUUUUGUUCUAGUCUAGUUUGUCUUAUCUUGUGAUGAGGUUUUAUGUUGCAAUGGGUUAAAAAGGACUUAGAUACUUGAUAUAGACUUUUUCUGUUUCAAUGCUUUUAUAAACUACCAUCAAAAUCUUAGAUCUAAUUACAAGUGGAAAAAUAAAUAAAUGCAUAUAAAUUGUUAAGUAUUAAAAUGACAUUGUCAAAAACAAACAAGCUAUAAAAUAAAAUAAUAACAAUAAUAAUAAUAUGGAAAUAAAAAUAAAGAUAAAAAAAUUAAUCAUAUAAUCAAAUUCUUUGAAAUACAUCAAUCUAAAGCUAACAAAGACUAGCAAUGUCCAUAGCCUUUAUUACAACACCAAACCACCAAAUUUAACAUGCAAAAAUUGCAAUCCUCAUACAAAACUUCAAAAAUAAAACAACCAAAACUUGCACACUAUAUCCCAAAGAAAAUUUUGAUAAGAAUUCUACUACAAUAAGUACCUUAUUCUACUACAACACAAAUACAUCAAAACUCUAUAUUAUAUUGCAAAUUCAAUUCUAAACAAUAAAUAAGAAACUUGUGUACAUGUGUAUGCAAGGUAGGACAAAAACUCCACACUCACAGAUGGUAAAUUUGAAGGGAAGCUAAAAGUGAAAAAAAUAAGGUAAAUCUCUCCAAACCUAAUUGAGGAUUUCGCCAUCUCCUCUUGUCCACCCCUAGGCUUAAACCCUAUAACCCUAAACAUAAAUCCUAAAAUCCUAAACCUAGAUCGUCAUGCCCCUAACAAAAUGGGGGGGUUUUUGGGUCAAACCAGGCAACCCAAAUCUGUCUCUGCAAAUGACUGAACCCAUUUUCCCUUGUUAGUGAAUGCUUUCAACACAAUUCGGAACCGUCCAUAAUUUUGGCCUAAUUUGUCGCUGGCGCUCAAAGCUUGAGCGUUCGUAAGUUGAAGGACAAGCAUUCGUCUCAAAAAGCCUUUCGACACGCCAUAUCGUAUCUCUCUUCAUUACCGACAAUUGCGACGUUGUGAAAGUUUAGUUCCUGGUGAUGCGCGGCAUGGAAACCAUUCCGAAUUCCGAAAGUAGUGCGUGCUCUGUUCCGAGCCCACUUUUUUCUGGAAGUGGGUCCAUUUUUGUUUCGGAAGGAUAGAUGGAUGGAUUCGUAACUUAGGUCUUGGGGGGUCAUGAGACCUAUGUGGUGGAUGACUCUGCGCCGACGUUGUUCAUGGGCUGGGAAAGGAGUUGACGUUGGGUUGAGGAAGUGUGGAGUUGGUUCAGUGGAGGUCAGCUUGGCUUUUUCCCUUUCGUAGCGUCAUCCAUGGAUACGAUUUUCCUAAGUAUUACUCGCGACUACUUGCUUCAAUCACCACUUUGUAAUAUGCGCUUGGAAUUGCGCGGAGCGAUCAAUCAAUGAGUGGAACAUGGUCGUGUCGACGCACUGCAGGUGGUGAACAUGCUGCAGCUGAUCUUCACAGAGUAUUCUUGAAUGGUGGCAAUGAAUGAAUGUGCCCAACACCUGGUUGGUUUUUAGUUUCCUGUGAAGCUUACUCAGCUUCAAAAAUGCGCACUGGAGUUUUCUUUCAGCGUUACUCGAACAGCAUGGACGUCGUGUGUUGCCAACCCUUGAAUCCGCUGUAGUUUCUAGUCUUCCUGGCUGAAUCUCAUCAUUAGGUUGAUCUCAGCUAUGGUACUCCUCCCUCGAGUUUACGCUUGAGAACAGUCUUCGUCCCUGCACUUGUGCCGAAUUUGCAAGGUGAUGAAUCCAGCUUAGGCGGCAGGGAUUCAAUUUCUAGUAAUCGAGAUGAUCUAGUAGGUCUGAGCCCUCUUCUAGUGAUAACGGUGCGGGUUCCGGAAAUUCAAGGUCAGAUUCUUUACUCAUUCUCAAGAAAACAGCGGAAUGAAUCAGUAGUGAAAGCUACUGGAAGUCUAUCUCAAUUUGCAUUGAGAGGGAGCUAGGUUAAAAUUUUAAAAUAAAAUAAAAAGAUAAAAAGGCUGGGUGCAUCCGCAAAACAAAAAAAACUAUACACUUCCUGUGUCUCCCAGCGAUCCGGCUAAGAUUGAUAUUCUAAAUCGCUGGACAAUCUUAUCAAUUCCUGAUUGCACAAGUUCUAAAUUAAUUUUCUUCAAUUACGUCUAGCAACAGAGUGUUGUGGUAUAAUCCUCUGUCGAACAUUUCCAAAGCGGUGAAAAGCCCUCCAGUGUCUCCAUCGUGGAAAAACCUUUGCUGGAAGUAAAACCUUUGACGGGAAAUGUGAGCAUGGUUGAUCAAGAUGCUUUGGUCAAAGGGAUGUUUAGAAACCUCAAGUUGCAACGUGCGGAAUGUUUCCUGGACCUGCUGGCAUAUCCGAAGCAGUAAGAUUUUGUUUUGACCCUCCUGUUUCUGAUUGGUGAAAGGCUGUAGGUAUCUGAUUGAAAAUUUCUAUUGUUUAAUAGCUUCAAAGUCUACUUUCAAUACAAAUAAGGCGGCUGGUAGAAGUAUGGAGGUGAUCAAAAUGUCAAGCCUGCUCACCAGGUGGAGGCCAAAGAGAGGAAAAGAGCAAGAGAGACUAAGUCUAUGAAGUUUUUUGAUAAUUACGAGGACAAGGCGGUUUUGGAUUAAGCCCCUACAGUUGAACCAAUGUGAAAGGACAAGCAUUGUUUUCCAAUUUUUUGGGUCCACUAUGAGUUCUUUCAUUUCAUUAAUUCUGCCAUAGCGAAAGUGCUGAUAGCUUCUGAGGGUGUUCCAGUGGUUUACUAAAUUCCCGUGGUGUGCUCGGUAGUCUAUUUUCUAUGUACAGCUUCGGUCUGCAGAACAUGGAGCAGGGACAGAUUUCGAUUGACAGACGUUUAAGAAAGACUCAAGCGGCAAUAUUGAGACAUGAGAGACGAGAUUUCUUUCCUGUAAAUUUCAAUCCUUGAUAAAGUUUGGGGGAUUUCUACCUGUAACAGUUCCUUUUCAGCAACAAUUAGAUUCAGGUUUCGCAAAUCAUAUUUGGAUGGUGAAAAGACCAAUAAAUUUAAUUUUUUGCUUUAGGGAAAGAUGUUAUUUCUCGUUAUCUGUAGGCGAGACAUGCAUGUAACAUGAAAGAAAAGCAAAAACGCACAAAAAAUACAGAUACCUAAAGUUCAUGUUUUCAUACUUCAAAGGAACGUAAAAUUGACGAAACAAAAUUUGUGUUUGCAGGAAGAUUUGCGCGGAGAUGUACAGAGUCUGUCUGCUUGGAUUUUCCAAACUGGAGAGACAUUCGACAUAGACGUUGACUCAAAACGUUCUAUUCUCUUCCUGUAAUGAUCAUCGUAGUUCUGGAAUUGAUGCUCACUUAGAGCACUUGCAACUUAACAGGCUUAACUAAGAGAGGUUGAACGUAGGCAAACCGGAUGAAUUGAAAGUCAAGCUUGUAUAACUGUUAUCUCACCCCGACUGGACAGUAAGCAAGAAGGAUCGCCAGUCAUUUUUGGCUUCGAGGUGAAUCCCGCAGUCUUUUACUCGCGCUUUUCGGAGUCAACGGUUGAUUUUAUGCUUUAUUUUGUAUUCGAAAUUAAGCUCCAGUAUUCUGUUUGAAUGCUAUGGCUUGUGGAGGGUUGCUGCAAAACCGAAAGUAACUUCAGUUUACAAAUGGAACAUCUCCAUCAACCUCAACAACGUCAACGCUAUUGCUGAGGUACAUAACCGUGUGCAAAGUCACUGAAGAAUCUCCAAGUCAUAAGGAGCCGCAUAUGCCAACUCUACCGUCAGCUUUCAACCGCAUGUUUCUAGAAAUCCUCGCCUUUGUAUUAGUUACGUUACAAAACAGUUGAUGGUUUCACGUGCUUGGUAAAGAUAACGUGUUGGAGAAAAGUUAUACAAAAUUAGUGCUGAUGUACAUCACUUCGAUGGAUGUAAAACUAGUUGGCAUUGCAAUUACACGUAACAUAUUUCCAUAUGAGUACUCGCGUGAUGAGAUUCUGGCUCUGCUCUGCCUGCUCUGCUCUUUCAAAAGUUGCGCUGUGCUGCUCCUGGUAAUAUUUUGGUAUCUGGUGUAGAAUAUGCAUGGUCCGAAAUUUGGUGUUAGAGACGGUAAGGUUCAUUGUUAGAAUAAGUUAGGAGAUAUUGAUGAUGAUUUUUCGCUGAAUUGGAAUAGACAGAAAAUGAGUGUGUCCAUCACUGCUGAGGUAUUGUUGAAUGUUUUCAUUGAGGUUGGUAACUUCUGUCUCUCAUGGGAAAUGAACUUUGUUACAUUUUGGGUUCGUAAUGAUUAACUCACAAAUUCUUAUGACUAUACUGUAAUAUCUUUUUGCUUGCUUCUAUGUUUAUUAAAGUUGGACUGAACAUCUUGCCACAGAGGCGCCUGUAGAUGGAUCAAUCAUUACACAAACAGUAAUUGGAAUGCUACACAGUACUCCUCUUGAAACUUUCCAUUGGUAAAGAUAAAGAGAAUCACAUGUCAUUUUCAUUCUAAUGCUGAUCUCACAUUGCACGAGGAAAAGUAACAAAUACACUCCCCUUCACAGAUAUCUAAAGUUAUAGUCUUUUAUAUGCGAAGUUUAUAACCAAAGUUUCGUUUUUCCUUGUCAAUGUUUUGCAUGGAAUGGUAUUUUUUAUAGGAUUUUAUUAAUUAUUGCACGUGAAAUGAUUGACAAGUUCUUUUAGGUGUGGAUUAAAGUGCAAUUUGAUAUGGUGCCAACAGUACAUGUUUUUGUCCUUAAUACACAGUAAUUCUGAAAGAAUUUGAAGGAAAUCAAAUGCUGGGUUCAGAUAGCAUCGUAUCAACCUCUAUUGUUCCGGUAAGGUACAAUAGCUUUUAGCGUACAAUAUAGAUUUGACUCUAAGUGUCUGUUGUAAUAAAAUAAUUCUAGCACUUAGUGUAAAGUGUUUCCUCACGUUCUAGGUGAAUGUACAAUACCUUAGCAUUGUCAGUGUAUUCGUCAUGGUGUUGACACUACGUUUGAUCCCUGUUCAAAUAGAUUUACUUUUCAUAAGUUGUAACAAUGCAUGAUAUAUACUCUGCUGUUAGCUUUCCACGUGCAGUAAAUAUAACUAUGAGGUCAAAGUGAGGGUUGAUUUCCAGUUGGCACACGUAGGCCACGCUGCAGCAAAUGCGAGCACGGUUGGCCACGACGCAUUACCACUCUAUCAGAAAGACUUCGAGCAUUACAAUAAUGCGGUUGAAUGCCAAAUCUGCAAGAGGUUUCGUUAGAAAUAGAGUAUUCGCGCAGUUUCAGCAUACAGGCAUUGGGAAACAGCUCAGUAAGACUCAUCGUUGGUAGAGAAUUAUUUCGUCUUGGGGAGCUUUCACUACUGUCACAUGCAUGUUACUCUUGAAGAUUAACUUGAACCCAAGCGAGACAAUAUGAAGUGUCAUUCCCAGCCAAAAAUACGAUUCUGAAUUCUACAUAGUACUUGGGCCACAUCGUGUAGACCGUUCUACAAUUCGAGACUACCGCCAGAGUUCCGACACCUGUUCUUUCCCUUUCGAGGUAAAUUAUUCCUUCCACUUCGUAGGCUUAUCUUGCAAUUGGUCACUCUUACAACGAGCAUUUUAUUUCACUAAUCUACUCAAGGAUUCAAUUUUAAAAACCCUUGCAUAAAAAUGAAAAAUAAAAUAUACUAUUAGCUUGUGCGCAACUGUGAUGAUAUUCCACGUGACAAAACAUAGCGUGCACACACUACACAUUCGGGCAUUUCCAUGAUCGGGAGUAAUCUUCAUCUAUCAAGUACGAGUGAAUUUCUAAACGGCAGGCCAGAAAACGUUACAUCAAGAACUGCGCCUUACUGCACGGAAACAAAAACAAGUAAAUGAUCAACUCUUCGCGUAGAUACCAUGUCAACAGUGCGCUCUAGCCAAACCAUUUGCAACCUGAUUCCUGUGUACCUAUUACAACAAAGCCUUAAUUCACAGCUCAGUGCUUCGAGAGAAUAUACAAGCGGCAUGUAACGCGCCAUUUUCUAAAUACUACAAAAUCCCUGCAAACUCAGAUUUGACAGAAGUCGUAAGUAAAAUAUUCGCAAAAAAUCUUCAGUUACCAAAAUUAGUGACACCGUACUCACAGUUCUGCAGAUAUCUCCGGAGUUGCUUCCGAACUGACCAGACACAAACCCGCUUGCUACGCCGCUGGACAUGAAAAGGAGCACUGAAAUCAUAUUCCGUGUACGCUUUACACACUCGGGCUGCCGAAAAGAAUAUUCUAAGAUGCUGUAGUAAGCACAGCACCUGGAUGGUCGUCAGCCGAGGCGAGUCCUUGUAUAAGCCCGUUGCCCACUCACUUCUUGGAGAAGUGCAUCUCCGUAUCGGUAGAAUUUCAAAAUCGGUUCCCAUCUGGUCAAGCUCAGGGAUCUCUAAACAAUGUGGGGAUCCACACGGUGCAGUACAAGUGGAAAGAUAUUCGAACCCUUCCGCCUAACUGUUCAAAAUGGUGAACCGAUUCGCUCAAAGCGAUGAUUAAUUUUUUUAUGACUUCCUCUAAAUAUCUAUCUCCCUGCGUCCCCAAUACGACUUGAUCCAUAAACCUUUGCAUGAGCCUGUGCGACCUGGGAUUCAGAUUUUGAAAAACGACGGAUGUGAAGAUGCAGUACUCCAAGAUGAGGGUGGGCGACAUGGCGAAAAUGCGACGUCUUCUUCAAUAUUCAGAUGGUUGAAAAACUGGACCACAAGAGUGCGACUCUGUUUCCAUUUCCAAAAUCGAGUUCCUUGAAUGCAAACCCCAACUGGUUGAUCGAACCACAUAACCCAUUUUCUCAACUGGAUACGAUCGCUCACGACAAACGAACUGCAACUUUCUCAACAUUCUCUACAUCGAUUGCAAGACAUCCAAAUCUCAACACACAAUUUCCACAUGAGAGAAUUCAACAUUACUUUCGUUCCAAUUUCAGAGACGGGGAGGCAGCUCCACAGUUGAACGAUAAGUAUCAAACAAACUGUUGCCCCAUCAAUGCAAUUCGCCACCCAGAGUUGGUGACAAAACGCAAUUUAUGGACAUUUGGAACUUGUCUCUACGCUCCACAACAAAAUCGGAUUCCCGUUUUUCAAUUGCAUCCCUUUCAACUUCUAGUAACAACUACCCAAAAAAAAACCCCAACUAACUAACUACCUAACACACAAACAUAACAACAAAAACACAGAAACACGACGAAAACAAAUAUUAAAAAAAUGAAACAACUCACAUUGUAUCUCGAACCGGACCCUGAAGGGAAGAGUACAAUCUAAAGAAGAAAAAAAACAAGACAGCAUUGUAAAAUAAGAGGGAGCUAAGAAUUUAUAAUCAUGACACUACACACACACACUCCCCAGAGCACCUUAUUCUCAGGCUACCUUUGGUGGGUGACCAUCACGGACGACCUGCUAGCACCAGCCCAAGGCAGGUGAUCGGUCAUGCGAUGCGCGCCGAAAGGAACUGAAACCCGGAGCUCAGCAACUCGGGUUUUGGGUGUUGACACCCAGUGGGAAAAAGGAGGGGGGAUUCGCAAAUGUGUUGGCAACUGGACAGGGCGGAGGUAGCCUUAUAGGGUGGGGGAGUGCGGCGUCACCUGGCGCUGUCUUACUAAGUAGGACGUGCGAAGCCCCCAUAAAUAAGUGUUCUAGCCACGCUGGGCGAGAGGGACGUCGCAACACACGCUCUCCACGUCCAUAGGCCCCGCGCACUACCAGGUUCGUAAAGUCCACAAAUAUCAUGUCCACGUUACAAAAUUGUUGUUGUUAUUAUUAGCAGCGCGAGAGUAAGUGAGUCCCUUCAAGCUCAUGGCUAGUUGCGUGGGCUCCGUUUUGGGGGGGGGGGGGGGGGGGGGGGGUCCCCUUUACGAUCCCUAUAAAGGGUUUUUUCCUCCACGUCCUCUUUCGUACCCCGAUUCUCUGCAGCUUUUGCUUCUGCCGCCUUCAGCGCAUUUUUUAUAGCCUCUGCUUCGGCUGCCGAUGCCUCUACCAGGGACUCUACUCCUUUUCUGUGGGUCCUGAAAAAAACAUCCAGCCUUUCAAAACUUUGACAAAAAAAUGAGAGUUUAUAGACCCCAAGAUUCUACAUAAUCACCCUGAAAAAUCCCUGCUAGAGCGAAACCCACAAAAAAAAUACCCGUCAGAUCACCAGAUUACAACCUCCCACCACUAAAUUUGGGCGCAAAGCGAAGCCCCCCUCCCACGGCUUAACGCUAAAAAAAAUCUCCAAAGNNNNNNNNNNNNNNNNNNNNNNNNNNNNNNNNNNNNNNNNNNNNNNNNNNNNNNNNNNNNNNNNNNNNNNNNNNNNNNNNNNNNNNNNNNNNNNNNNNNNGACAAAUUGUGGGAUACAAUGAAGGCCUUCUUCAUCAUAUUUGCAUUAAAAAGAAUAUGUAUCAGCUUGAAGUUUGUUGCAUAACUUAAGUCUAUUUAUCUAAUUAUCUUGGAUGUGAACUUAUAGUUGGUUCAUAUUGUUUGUAACUUGCAUCCCAACAAAAGAUUAAGAAAAGCAGGAACUAAAAGAAAGAGGAAAAAAUAAAUAAAAUGCAAUAUGUCAUUUGCAUGAUCUUUCCAAUUCAAGUAUCAUAACAAAGGAGAUGAUUUUGAUUAAUCACUCUUUGAGUUAUUUUUAUUGCUACUCUAGGGUGUCAUCAUAACAAUGGCUUAAUAGCAAUCGAAGAUAUGAAUGAAGUCAACAUCUAAUACUUAAUAGAAAAAGAUUUCUUGAAACAUAGCACAAUUUUUAAUUUUUGUAAUGGAAGUUGAAUAAUAUUUUGUUUUAUUUUUUCCUAAAUGAAUGUGCAUCAUGGACAUAUAUUUUUACUCCAAUAAUUACUUAGAUAUUAUGAAUAAGUAAAAAUAGGUUAAUUUGAUAAUAUUGUAUAGACAAGCUUCUUAGAAGCUUUAUAGAUCCAAUUUCACCUUUAUACAUGUUUAUAGGUGAUUGAUAGAUUAGAAACUUGGCCAACAAGUUAACUACAUGUUGUAUAUAUUGAUAGCUUGUAGUAUAAGUUAACAAUGUAACACACAUAUAAGAAACUUGCUUUGUAAAUUAAAACAAGUGUCUUACAAAUUAAACAUGUAUCAGAGGUUCUAUAGAAUGUCAUCACAUAGCUUUUAAUUAGAUAGUAUAUAUGGAAGCAAGAGUGAAGCGUUCCUUAUUCUUAUCAAUACCUUUUUUGUUCUUAGUCUAGUCUUAAGAGUCUGUAUUCUUCUUGUCUUUAGCAAUAGCCAUUCUAGUCUUAAUAUUAUAAUACCUUAAAAUAAAUAUUUAUUCUUCUUGAGCUAUAUAAGAGUAUUCUAGGAUUCUUCUUGUUUUGAUUCAUAUCUUUGACAAUUUGAGAAGAAUAAAGAAUUGAUUGUUCUUCUUUUGAGUUUUAAAAAAAAUAGAAUAUUCUAUCUUUAUUAUUGUAUUUGAAUGUUGCAAACUACUUACUUUUAAACCUUCAUUCUUUAUUUUUUAAAUCUUGAUUUUUUUCCUUAAAGAAAGCAAAUCACCUCUUUUUGUAGAAAUUUUCAUUUGACAUUAGAGGUUGCAGAUUAUCGUCUUCUAAUUUGACUUAUGGAUUUAUUAAAUUUUUUGAAAUGGAAGAAAAAAUCAUAUAUGCUACACUUGGCAGAAAUAAGAAUAGAUUUGUAACUAUCUAUCAAGGUCAUGAAUCUGGAAGAAAGAAAUCCUUAAUAUACUCUUGUGUUACUCAAAAAGACUAAGAAAUUAUUCAAAGAUGGUAAUAUAUUGAAUUAGAAUGGCUAUUUCCAAAGACAAAAAGACUUGAAAGUCUUAAAAUAAGACUAAGGACUUGAAAAGCAUUGACAAGAAUGAAGAAUGCUUCACACUUAUCUCCAUAUAUACUCUUAACUACGAGCUAUAUGACAAUGUUCUAUAGGACCUCCAAUACAUUUUGACUUUGCUAGACACAUGUCUUAACUUGCAAGACAAAUUUUCUAUGUAUAUGCCACAUAAUUAGCUUGUUCCUCAAGCUAUUAACAUGUGUAGUAUAUGAUUAACUUCUUGAUGAAGUUUCUAACCUACCAAUCAACUAUAAACAAGUAUAAAGUCAAAACCACAUCUAAAUAUAAAGCUUUUAAGAACCUUCUUUUGAAGAUAUUAUGAAAUAUAUAUAUAUAUAUAUAUAUAUAUAGUUACUUUUAUUAAAUUAUAUAGGUAAUGAUUGAAAAAAAUACAUAUUUUCAUGAUAUUAUCUUCUCUUCUAAGAACAAGUUCUAUGAGGAGCAGUCAUCAUCUUUUAUAGAACUUGUUGUUCUUUAUUUUGCUUUUAAUGGAUAUCAUUGAUGAAAAGUCUUAAUUCUCUUCGCUGCAUUUACAAGAUUUUUUGUUGGCUCUCAUUUAUAUUUAUUAAUGUAAUAUCCAUGCCAAUGAACAAGAUAUUCUUAUCUAUUUUGGCGAUGCUUUAAAUCUAAGACUUCUUCCACUUUGAACUCUUGAUUAUUAUCCAUUUUUAUAGGAAUAGGUGGCAUUUGUCUUUUUUUUGAGUUAUCCACUAUCUUAUAUGGUUCAAAAUGAGAUAUAUGGAAUAUGAGAUGGAUCUUCAUAGACUUUGGUAGAUAUAAUUAAUAAGCAAUAUAAUUAUCUUAUUCAUAAAUAAGAAAAGGUCUAAGCCUACAAUGGUUCAAUUUGUUACAAUGACAAGUAGUCUUGAUAUUACUACAAAGUAACCAUAUUUUGUCAUCUACGUUGAAUUAUUGUUGUUCUUUAUAAUAGGCAUCCACAUUGAUCUUUUGUCAUUCUUGAGCUUCCUUUAAUUGCACCUUUAUUGCCAUAUUUAGCUUUGAUAAAUAAUUUACUAAAUCUUCUACCACAGAAUUAUUAACUUUUAAAAAGUCAAAAAUAUCAAGUCAUGAAUGAUAAUCAUAAUUAGCAAAAAAAGAUACUUAUUAUAGAGAAGAAUAUAUUUAAUUAUUAUACGUAAAUUCUACUAAUGGCAAAAAGGUUGUUCAAUCAUCUUGAUGAUAGUUGAUGGUAUAUUUCAAAUACUGCUCUAGAAUUUAAUUCAUUCAUUCCGUUUGCCUAUCAGUUUACAAAUGCAAAGCCAAAGAGAGCUUUAUAUCCAUCUUUAAAAUCUUCAAAAAAAAUCUUUCAAAAUUUAGAUACAAAUUGAAUUUGUUUAUCUAAUAUAAUAUCCUUGGAUAAUCCAUGAUAGUGAUAGAUGUUAUCAAGAAAAAACUUAGCCAUUUUUUCACUUGUAAUAGAUUUUGUAUAUAGUGAAAAAUAAGCCAUCUUAGUAAAAUGAUCUACUAUCACGAAUAUAGAAUCAUACAAAUAUGAAACUAAAAGAUCCGUGAUAAAAUUCAUAAAAACAAAAGACUAUGGUUGUUUUGGAAUAGGUAAUAGUUGAAGAAGUCCAUAAGAUUAGUGAUGAGAAGUUUUGGAUCUUAAAUAAAUAUCACAUGAUUGUACAAAGUUUUUAAUUGCCUUCCAUAUUUGAAGCCACCAAAAAUCUCUAGAUAGUAGCUCCAAAAUCUUAUUGUAUCAAAAAUGUUUGGCUACUAAAAAAUCAUGACAAGCUUGAAGAAUACGUAAUUGUGCUUUGCCUUUUAGAAUGUAUAAUUAUCUCUUGAAGUAAAUAGAUUAUUAUUAAAAUUAAAUUUAAAAAAUAUUAUAAGACUUAAAAUAAUUAUUUUUGGUAUCAUGAACAAGAAGAUCAGAAGACAUAUUUGAUUGAAUUUGUUUGAGAAAGAUUGAAUCAACAAUCAAUGUUGAUUUUAUUUCUCAAAAAUAAAAAUGCUUUGGCUUCAAGAGAUUCAUUCUUUGUUGAUCAAAUGUUACAUUUUUUUUCUUUUAGUAGAAGAUAAGAAUAUCUAGAAAUGACAUCUAAAAAACCUUAUUGUUUUUUUGGUCAAUAAGUGAUCUUGAAAUCAAAUCUUGAUAAAGACAUGCUCCAACAAGCUUAACAAUAAUUUAAUAUAUGUAUUGAUAUGAAGUACUCAAGGUUCUUGUGAUCCAUAUAUACAAUGACUAGACUUGAGGCACUUUUAGAUAAUGAUGCUAUUCUUGAAAUGAAUCGAUAACGGCAAGAAGCUCUUUGUUUUGGAUUUCAUACUUAAUCUUAGCUCCUAAAAAUUUCCUUGAAUAAAGAAUAACUAGAUGGAAUUUGUCAUAUACUUCUAUUUUUAAUAAAAUUGCACCUAUAGCAAAAUUUCAUGCAUUUUUUUCUAUAAAGAAUGCUUUAAAAAAGUUGACACAAUGGAAGAUUGGUGCAAAAAUAAAUGUUGUUUUUAAGAUUUUAAAAGAUACUUUAGUAUCUUUGUUCCAUUCAAGAUUGUCUUUAUAGAUCAGAUGUGUAAGAAGAGCUGUAACUUGAAAAAAGUUCUUAAUGAAGAUUUAAUAAUAAUUAGUAAAUCCUAAAAAAAUAUUACACAUCUUUGUUUAUUUUGGAAUCUUCUAAUACAAGAUAGUUUGAACUUUUUUAGAAUCCAUCAUAAGGUUGUUGUUUGAAAGGAUGUAUCCUUAGAAGUCAACUUGAGUAGUAUAAAAUACACACUUACCUAGCUUGGCAUAUAAUCUUACAUCUCUUAGUUUUUGUAACACAUGACAAACAUAAAUUUAUAUUUUUUUGUGUUCUUAGAAUAGAUUAUGAUGUCAUAUAAAUAAAAAAUAAAAAAAUCAUCAAAAAACUCACAAAAGACAUCAUUCAUUAGAUGUUGAAAAGCAAUUGAUGCAUUUGUGAGUCUAAAAGACAUGAUAUUAUAUUCAAAAUAUCCAUACCUAAUUCAAAAUACAAUCUUUCAUUCAUCUCUUUUAUUAAUGCAUACUAAAUUGUAUAUUCUUUGUAGAUCUAUUUUUGUAUAGAUCUUUCCUUCAUUUAGUUGAUUAAGAAGUUUUAAAAUUAAAGGUAGAGGAUACCUAUUAUUGAUUGUGAUCUUAUUUAGUCCUUGAUAAUUCAUACACAUCAAUAGAGAUCUGUCUUUUUUCUUCAUAAAUAGGAUUAGAUCCUUGGUUGGAGAUUUAAAAUAGUAUUUGAAGUUUUUAGCCAAAUUUUCAUCAAUAUAUUCUUUCAAUGUAACUAAUUUAUUUUGUGAUAAGUUAUAGAUCGGUCUAAAUGGCAGUUGAGGUCCUUCUUGAAGAUUGAUGGAACAAUCAUAUGGAUAAUAUUUUGAAAGAAUAUAUAUAUUUUUCUUUACAAAAAUAUCUUGAUAAUCUUAGUAUUGGCUUGGAAUGCUACUUAAAAUCUUUUCUCCAUCAACAAUAGAUGUGGCAUAUGUAGCAUUUUUUUUUUUUUUUUAUUGCAACAUGCAUAAAAGCUCUUAUACCUAUCAAUAAUAGUUUGGAUGUAUUGAUCUUAUAAAUUUCUACUUUUUUAAAAAAAUCUUGAGUUAAAUUAAGGAAAAAAUUAAGAUUAUGAGAAAUCCAACCUAUUUAAGAAUUAUAUUUUUUUAGCUAUAAUAAUCCUAAAUUAAUUGAGAUAGAUGAAAAUCUAAUCACAUUAAAUAUUAUUAAACUAUUAUAAUUACUAAUUAUUACAUCUAAAUAAAUAAUUUUAUGUAUAAUAUUUCUAGAAGGCAACAAAUAACCAUCCAUUAUUUUUACAUGCAUAGGUUUGAUUUUUUAAUUAACAAUAUAUCUUAUUUUUUGAUAAAAACUUUUUCUAUAAAAUAAGCUAAGGCUCUUAAAUCUAAUAAGGCUUAGACUUUAUGAUUUUUUGGUCCCAAAAAAACUUCUAUUGUAAAAUAAGGUUUCUAUUAUAGCUAGAGAAUUUUAUUUUUUGAUAUCUUGUUUUUCUUGAUAAUCAUGCUUCUUAUUUUGUGAAUGUAUUGUUUCUUUGAGGAAUGUUAAAUAAUAAGCUUGGAUUCUCCAUAAUAUAGGCAUAAGUCUUUUUGAUAAUGAAAAAUAUUUUUUUACUCAAGAAGAUGUUUAAAAUAUAUUGUAUCAAUUUGCAUAGACUUUGACCUAGACAAGUAAGCUUUCAAAAUCUUAGAAAGUAUCACUAUAGCUUUAUUUGUAUUUUUCCAACCAAAUCUUCAUUCUUAAUGUCUUUAAAAAAAUCAAUUGUCGCAUACAAUAGCUUGAAUAAUAAAUUGCUCCAAUGAAUCUGUUCUUGACAUUGUAAAUAAUAAAUCUUUAGUAUUAUCUUUUAUUCUAUAUUUAAAUUGAUUGAUAAGGGCUAUAUCAUUCCAAUCCAUGUCGCAAGCAAGAUUUUGGAAUUCAACACCAUAUGUGGUAGUUGAAUGUGAUUCUUAUUGUAACAAUACGAGUUAGGUCUUUACUACCCUUUCUUAAUCACUUUUUCUAAAAAUUGCUCCAAACACUUGUAAGAAUGAAUUCAAAUCACAAAGCAGUUGUGAAUCUUUUUCCAUCAAAUGUAGUAUACUAAAAAAGAACACUCCUAGAGAGAAAUGCUUCAAUGAAUCCCACUUGAAUAAAUCCAUCAUGCUAUUGAAAAAGAUGCAACAUUAGAUAGAUCUUUACUUAUUGUAAAAAUCCUCAAAAUUUUGAUUUAAUUCUAUUAAAUAUUUUUAGCAUAUUUAUUUUUUUCUCUCUUAUACUUAUAGUAUCAAGACUCAUUGAAUUCAAUUGUGAACUUGAUUUGCUUGUUUCUCUUAAUUAUACAAUUUUUGGCACAAAAUUUGAAUUUUAUUCUUGAUUUCUUCUAUAGGCAUAGGAAUAGUGCUUCUAUAAUUUACAUUAAAAAUACAAGAUAUUUUUAUUCUUAAAGUCUUGAUAAGCUUAUAAAAAUUUGUAAUAGUUACAAAUCUAUUCUUAUUUCUACUGAGAGUAGCAUCUAUGAUCUUUUUUUCUAUAAAUAAUUCAAAAAAAAAAUUCAAAAUAUUAAAUUAGAAGAAGAUAAUCCAUAGCCUCUUAUAUCAAAUGAAAAUUUCUACAAAGAGGGAUAUUCCAUUCUCUUUAAAGAAAAAAUCAAUAUUAGAAAAUUAAACUUUUUGUUUAAAAGUGGAUAGUUUAUAACCUUCAAAAUACAAUAAUAGAAGUCAGAUAAUUCAUUCACUUCUAAAAAAAGAAAAAAUAAUAAGUUAGCACUCUUUUCAAAUUAUCAAGGACAUAAAUCUUAAAAAAACAAAUCCUUAAUAUAUUCUUGUAUUACUCAAAAAGACUAAAAAAUUACUCAAAGAUGAUAAUAUAUUGAACUAGAAUGGAUAUUUUUAAGACAAGAAGACUAUAAAGUCUUGAGAUAAAACCAAAAACAAGAAAAUUAUUGAUAAGACGAAGAAGAUUUCACUCUUGCUUCCAUAUAUUCUUAAUUAAGAACUAUGUGGCAAUGUUUCAUAAGCCUUCAACAUGUGUUGAUUUUGCUAGACAUAUGUCUUCAUUUGUAAGGAAAUUUUUCUAUAUAUGCAUUGCAUAUUAGCUUGUUUCACAAGCUAUCAACAUGUAUGGCAUGUGGUUAAUUUGUUGAUCAAGUUUUUAAUCUAUCAAUCAAUUAUAAAUACGUGUAAAGUCAUAAUCGCAUCUAUGAAGCUUUUAGGAAUCUUCUUUAAAAGAAAUUAUGAAAUUAAUCUAUAUUUAUCUACUUCUACCUUAUCAUAUAAGUAAUUAUUCAAAAUAAUAUAUAUAUUUGUAAUACUAUUGCAGAUCUUCACAAACUUGUCAACACUCUUAAGAUAGAAAUUUCAUGUAUCACCAAUACCAACCACAGAAGCAUUAUUCUUAUGUAUAUGAAAAAAGUCGAUAGUCUAUGCCAAAAAGUUGUGCAAUUGAGAAAAAUAAGUAGACUAAGCUUACAACCAAAUCUAAGAAGUCUUACUUUUACAAGUACAAAAGAAACAAGGAUUAGUAUGCUUGAAAAGUUUAAUGGAAUAAAAUCAAAAUUUUAAAGAUUUGUGUAACAAGUAAAGUUCUAUCUAAAGUUACAUCCAUUCCAAUACCCUAAUGGAUUUAUUCUAGUUGGAUUCACAAGCACACUUCUAUCUAAAAGUACUCUCUUUUGAUUUGUAUCUUUGAUGGAAAAGAAUUCAUAAUUCUUUUAUGAUUCAAAUUCAUUUUUAAAAGUAUUCAGGAUUGGAUUUGGAAAAAGUGAUUAAGAAAAAAUAAUAGAUAUCAAGCUCUUAUAAUUACAAUAAGAAUUACGAUUAUCCACUAUAUAUGAUGUUAAAUUUUAAAACUUUACUUGUAACAUGGACUAAAAUGAUAAAGCACUUAUCAAUCAAUUUUCAUAUGACUUGAAAGAUAACAUCAAAGAUUUAUUAUUAAUAAUAUCAAAAGAAAAUUCUUUAAAAUAAUUUAUUACUUAAGCCAUUGUAUGUAAUAAUCAAUCAUUUAAAAGGCUUUAAAAUAAAGAUUUGAUUAGAAAAGAAUAAGUUAAGUAACAAUGGCACUUCUUAAGUUUUUAGAAAUUUAUUUAUUAAGGUCAAAACUAAUGCAAAUUGAUAUUAUAUAUUUUAAAUUUCUCACUAAGUAAGAAAAGAUUUAAUGUUGUUAAGAGAAUUUGUACUUAUAUUAUAGAAAAGCUAAUCUCAUUGCUUAAUAUUACCCAAAGAAGCAAUACAAUUACAAAAUAAAGAGCAUGGUUGCUAAAAAAGACAAUAUGUUAGAAAAUAAGUUUCUCUAAUUAUAAUAGUAAUCAUGUGGCUAGAAUCAUGUACAAUACCUAAUAAAGAUCAUAUUCCCUCUUUAGAUACUUUAUCUUGUUUUAUAAUAGAUGUAUAUUUAGGGCCUAAAAAUCAUAAAGUCUUUGCCUUAUUAAAUUUAAGAGUAUCAACUUAUUUUUUAAAUAAUAAUUUUAUCAAAAAUUAAGAAAUAUUUUUAAUCAAAAAAACUAAAUCCAUACAUUUAGAAGUCAUAAAUAGUUUUUUAUUAUCUUUUAGAGAUAUUACCUAUGAUACUAUUUUUUUAGAUGUAAAAAUUAAAGAUUAUAAUAGCAUAAUAAUAUUUAAUAUAAUAAGAUCUUCUUUCAAUUUAAUUUUUUAGGAUUAUUGUAGUUAAAAAAAUAUAAUCCAUAGAUAGAUUAAAUUUCUCAUAACCAUGAUUUUUUUAGUAUUUUAAUCCAAAAUUUUGUUAAUCAAGUAAAAAUAUAUAAGUUUAAUACAUUCAAAUUCUUAUUAAUAGGUGCAAGAGCUUUUAUACAUGCAAUAAAAAAAAGAUUAUCUUUUGUUAUAUAUAUUGUAUCCAUUUUUGAUGGUAGAAAGAUAUAAAGUAAUAUUUCUAAUUAAUAUUAAGAUUUUCAAGACAUAUUUGAAAAGAAGAACAUAGAUAUUCUACUAGAGCAAUAACCCUAUGAUUGUUCAAUUGAUCUUCAAAAAGGAGCUCAACCACCAUUUGGACCAAUCUAUAGCUUAAUGCAAAAUGAAUUGGUUGUAGUAAAGGAAUAUAUUGAUAAGAACUUGACUAAAAACAUCAUAUGCUAUUCAAAAUCUCUAAAAAAAUAUCUUAUCUUAUUUAUAAAUAAAAAAAAAUGGAUCUUUGCAAAUAACUAGAGACUAUCAUAGAUUUAACAAGAUUACCAUUAAGAAUAGGUAUUUCUUAUUUCUACUUUUAGAACUUAUUGACCAAUUCAAUGAAGUAAAGAUCUAUACAAAAAUAAAUCUAUGAAGAAUAUACAACCUAGUUUACAUGAAAAAAGAGAUGAUAGAAGAUUACUUUUGAAACUAGGUAUAGAAAUUUUGAAUAUAAUAUCAUAUAUUUUAGAUUUAUAAAUAAAUCAAUUACUUCUUAAUAUUUUAUGAAUGAUAUUUUUCAUGAAUUUUUUGAUGAUUUUGUCAUUUGUUCUUUAGAUGACAUUCUAAUCUACUUUAAGAAACUAAAAGAAUAUGAACUUUAUGUUCAUUGUGUGUUACAAAAAUUUAGAGAUGCAUAAUUAUAUGUCAAGAUGGAAAAGUGUGUAUUCUACACAACUCAAGUUGACUUCUUAGGAUACAUCAAUUCCAAUAAAGGCCUUAUAAUGGACUCUAAGAAUGUCUAAACUAUCAUGAAUUAGAAGAUUCUAAAAACAAUAAGAGUUAUAAAAUAUUUUUUGGAUUUUACUAAUUACUAUUUAUUUUUCAUCAAGAACCUUUUUUAAGUUGCACCUUUACUUAUACAUUUGACUUGUAAAAAUAAGCUUGAGUGGAAUAAAGAAGUAUAAGUAUUGUUUGAUGCUUUGAAAAAGGAAUUUAUUUCUAUACCAAUCUUAUAUUGUGUUGACUUCUCCAAGAUAUUUUUUUCAUGAAAAUAGACAUAUUAGAUUUUGUCUUAGGUGGAAUAUUAUCACAAAUAGAAAUAGAUAACAAACUCUAUUCAAUAGCUUUCCAUUCCAAGAAUUUUUGAACAACAAAGAUAAACUACAAAAUCUACAAUAAAGAACUUCUUGCAAUUAUGGAUUCUUUUUAAGAAUAGCGUUACUAUCUAGAAGGUACUUCUAAUCUAAUCAUCAUGUAUAUAAAUUAUAAGAUCCUCAAGUACUUCAUGUCAACAUGUGUUUUGAAUUGUUGCUAUGCUCGUUGGAGUAUGUCAUUAUCAAGAUUUGAUUACAAGAUUACAUAUUGACUUAGAAAAAAAAAAAUGUUAGAUGCACUUUUUAGACAUUCUUAUCUUGUACCAAAAAAAGAGAUGUAGCUUUUAAUUAACAAAAAAUGGUCAUCUUGAAGCUCAAAUAAUUUCAUCUUUAAGCAAUAAAAUCAACAUUGACUAUUGAUUCAAUCUUUAUCAACCAAUUCAAUCAUGUAUUGCCUUUAAUCCUCUUAUUUAUUAUAUUAAGAAUACUUCUUUUGAGUUUCAUGAUACUUCUAAGUUCAACUUCAAAAAUAACCUAUUCUAUUUAAAAAAUUGCCUAUAUGUUCUAGAAGAAAAAGCAUGUUUACAUAUUCUUCAAACUCAUCAUAACUUUCUAGGGCUAGAAUAUUUUGGAUACAACAAGACUUUGGAGCUCAUAUCUAAAGAUUUUUUGUAGCUACAAAUAUAGAUGGUUGUGAAAGACUUUGUAUAAUCAUGUGACAUUUGCUCAAGGUUAAAAACUCCUUAUCAUCAAUUUCUUGGACUUUUUCAAUCAUUACCUAUAUCAAAACAAUUAUAGUCUAUUAUUUUUAUAGAUUUUAUUGUAAAUCUUUCAAGUUCAAGUUUAUAUAACUAUAUAUUCAUGAUCAUAGAUUGUUUCUUUAAAAUAAUAUAUUUUCUAUUAUAUACAAAAUCUAUUUCAAAUAAAAAAAUAGCUAAGCUUUUCCUUGACAACAUCUAUUGCUAUCAUGGAUUAUCAAAAGAUAUUAUAUUAAAUAAAAAGAUACAAUUUAUAUCAAGUUUUGGAGAAAUAUUUGAGAUGUACCAUCAACUAUUAUUAAGAUGAUUAGAUAAUUUUUUUGCCAUUGGCAAAGUUUACAUAUAAUAAUUUGAUACAUUCUUCUAUUCAACAAACAUCUUUUUUUGAUAAUUAUGAUUAUCAUCUAAGACUUGAUACUUUUGACUUUUCAAAAGUUAAUAAUCUUGGGACGAAAGAUUUGACAAAUCAUUUAUUAAAGCUACAUGCAAUAAUAAAGGCACAAUUAAAGGAAUUUCAAAAAUAACAAAAGAUCAAUACAAAUACCUAUUAUAAGAAAUAACCAUAAUUCAAUGUGAGUGACAAAGCAUGAUUACUUUGUCAUAAUAUCAAGACUAUUUGUCCUUGUGAUAAAUUCAAUUAUCAUAGAUUUAGACCUUUUCUUAUUUGUGAAUAGAUCAAUUCAAUUGCUUAUUGAUUAUACUUACUAAAGUCAAUAAAGAUUCAUCUUGUAGUCCCCAUGUCUCUUUUUGAAUCAUAUAAGAUAUUGAACAUACCAAGAAGAAGAUAAGCGCCACCUUCUUUUAUAGAAGAGAAUAAUAAUGAAGAGUUUGAAGUUGAAGAAGUUUUAGAUUCAAGACAGUGUCAAAAUAGAUUGAAAUAUUUUGAAUAUUGGCAUGAAUAUGAUACAUGGGAGCUAGUCAAAUAUCUUGCAAACAUAUCAAAGAAGGUUGAUACUUUUCAUUCAUGACAUCUAUCGAAAUUAAAAUAAAAGAUAGCAAAUCUUUAUUAUAAAAGAACUGCAAUUUAAAGAAGAUUGCAUUUGAUCUUUUAUCCUUAUUUGUAAUUUCUAUGUAUUUAUGGCACUCAUGAGAUAGAAAACCAAUAGCCAACAAACUCAACUUAGGAGCUAUUUUUUAUUGACUUAUCACAUGAGAUAUUGCAAUUAUCAUAAUCUUGAAGACAACCUUCAAAAACAACAUGCUUUUCUUCAAAUAGAUAGCAAAAUACAACGCAUGUGGUAUCAUGAUCUUAAAAAAGACUCCCAAUGUUUGGCAAUUUUAUUAGAGGUAGGAACAAUUCUUGAUGGUAUUACAAAUUUUUUAUUUCAAGGAAGUUACAAAGGUCUAAAUAAUGAUCAAAUAACAUGGUGGUCUUUCCACCUUGGAAUCAAACAUUAUUAGUGGCUAAGAAGUCCUAUCAACUACUUUCAAAGGAAACAAAGAUCAAAGUAUGUACAAAUACAAUUUAUCGCAUCUUGGACUUCCUCAACAUGUGAUUACUAUUCUUUGUGGAACUUAUCCCUAGAAAUGAGGAAGAUAAUAUCACGGAUAUAUAUAUAUAUAUAUAUAUAUAUACUUCAAUAAUUAUCUAAAUAUUAUAAAUAGAUAAAAAUAGGCUAAUAUGAUAAUAUCUUAUAAGGAAGCUUCAUAGACCUAGUUUUACCUUUAUAUAUGUUUAUAAGAGAUUGAUAGGUUAGAAACUUAGCCAAUAAAUUAGCUACAUGUUGUACAUGUUGAUAGUUUGUGGUAUAAAUUAAUGAUGUGGCGCACAUAUAGAAAACUUACCUUGCAAGUUAAGACAUGUGUCUUACAAAUUAAAGACAUGUUAGAGGUCUUAUAGAACGUCAUCAUGUAGCUUCUAAUUAGAUAGUAUAUAUGGAAGCAAGAGUGAAGCCUUCUUCACUCUUGUCAACACCUUUCUUGUUCUUAGUCUAGUCUCAAGAGUCUAUACUCUUCUUAUCUUUAGCAAUAGCCAUUCUAGUCUUAAUAUUAUAAUACUUUUGGAGUGAAUAUUUAUUCUUCUUGAAUUACACAAAAGUGUUUUAAGAUUCUUCUUGACUUGAUUCAUGUCCUUGACAAUGUGUUUGAUCAUGUAUUGAACUUCAUACCAAUUUGUAUAUAUGUAUAAAUAAGAUUUUCGAAAAAGAUUGAGGAAAUUGUAUCACAUUAUAAGAUCAAUUAACAAAAUUGCAUAUAAAAUAAUAUAAGAUAGUGAAACAUGCAUGUAUCAUAUAUCCUUGAAUAAACAUUUUCUUGUUUAUAUUUUGUAAUAAGUGUACAUGUGCAUACAAACAUCCUAAUUCAAAGGAGUGUUGUUUUCAAUCCAAAUAUUUACUGACACUUUAUACUAUAUUAUUUAGUUAAAUUUCUGCUCAUUUGAAAAUUAUGUGGUGCAUUUUUAUAUUUCAUUGAGUUUAUAUCAAUUACCUUGGACUUGGUUUCUAAAAGUUUAAAGUAGGCAGGUAGAUAUAUACUUAAGAAUAUAUAUAUAUAUAUAUAUAUGUUGUGUGUGUGUAUAUAUAUAUUUAUAUAUACGGAGAGAGAGACAGAAAGAAUUUCAAUCUCCUGUCUUCUCUAAAGAUGCAAGAGUUUUAGGGUUUCACAACAAAAUUGCUGCUCCUGCACCCGCACCAUUGCUAGCUUUCUGGCAUGGUUUCGAUGAACUGCGGAGCAAGAAGCGCUCAAUCAUUUCCCUCAAAGCGUGUUGCAGGUUACCCACAAGCCUGAGCUGAGGUCUGGCCCUUCCUCGGUUGGAUUUGCAGCAUGGGUGCACCCGAAACGUGCCUCACCGCUUCACGAAUCGCCUGGAGAGCCGUAAAUAACACCCUAGAGAAUCGUGGAUUAAGCUGCGAAUCUUAGCUUGAAUGACACUGCCGUCUGUGCCUCAGCUUGUCCCAUCGAUUCGUGUGCCGAUGCGGGUUUGAACCGCUCCGGUUUUUAAUUCUGGCGGCUUCUAACCUCAUCCCAAUUGUAAGAAGUCUGUAGAAAGCGGGACACAGUUGCACCAUGCACGCACGGCUGCCCGGCUGUCACGCCUACCGAGGCGUCGUUCCGAUUUCGGCUGGCGCAGUAAAACCUGCUCCGCCGGGAAAUGAAAACACCGCAGCAAUGUUCCGGAAUCGAAUUCACAAGCGUGACGAAUCACGUAUGCUUGACACCGAAAUUAAGAGUGACCUGAAAUGUAUUCGCUCGGAGCAAUGCACCGUCUUCUGUUCUGUAGCGACGAUUAACAGUGGAAGAUUGGGUACACUUCCGUGCGGCGACGGAACCAUCAAUUCAUCGUUUUCUGCGACAAGUUUAAUGGAAGGAUAUCAAAGAGUAGCUUGGCUGCGGUCUGCUGGUCGCUUAUCGAAGGAGUCCAAGACCAGUAAGUUUGGUCGAUCAGUCCUCAUGAGAACGCACGAGCGAGGUUUCCAGGCUUCAUCGAGAAACUUUCACUUUAUUUGUGUCGCCUUCUGUGUCUCAUAAUCCAGAUGCAAUAAACCUUACUCACUAUGAAUUCGACCCAAUUUCAUUACGAGUAAGGUAAACGCAAUUAGUGGUGAAACACCAUCUGGGAUCGCGGUAAUCACUGUUCCUUGUCGCCACGCUCAGCUGGGAACCAAUUUCUCCCCCAUCCACUAAUCGCCGAACAUAGAUACGCGUUCUGUAGCAGCGCGCUCGGUUCCGCCGGCAAUGGUGACUUUGCUGAUGAUUCAGCCAGGUUGAAAUGCCUGUAGACUUCCCGAACCGAAUUUCUUUUUUCCUAGCACAUGGCCAAUCUGGGGUAAAACUCAUGUCCGAGCUCUGCUUGCAACAAUCCACCGCUGCUCAGGGCACGACGCGACAGAACUCAACGGGACAAGCGAACUAACGUAACGAACCGACUGGUUCGGUUACAAAGUUCUCCAGAUCCAGACCCCCCGUGCGCCAAAGCCUGUUUGUUUGUGAUGAUUGCGGGGCUGGCACUUGCACCCCCCGUGGACAUCGACGGAGCCCUACAACCCAAUUCUCGAGCCUCCAGGAUGCCAUAUUUACCUACCAAGUGGCCGCUAGUGGGGUUUUAGCAGGGACUGGUCAGGGCGGAUCCGGACCAGGCCCGACCUAAGAAAAGCGGCACGUAAAAAAUAGUGGAAUCUGGAUUAGAACCAGGGCAUGGUUGUCACCACUGGGGGCUGGUAAUUCGAAGCAGGCUACAGCUUUGGUAGAAGAGUUCAGCAAGCUUCUGUGGGGGUACAAGCCAUCCCCCACGUAGCAAUCACACUGUUCUCAUUAUUGCCAACGUUUGCACAAUGGCGUUGCUCGAAACCACAAGCCUCCAUCUCCUGUUCGGCACAGCAUCCCCCCCCCCCCCUCCAAAGUCUAUUGGUGGAAUCCCGGUGGGGGUGGAGUGGCAGUGCAGGGGAAUUGAUGAGGAGUACUGCGUGCAAGUGCACGGGCACGAAAUUGUUUUAUGGCGGUCGCAGUUAUCCAUCACGCUGUCUGCACUUCCAGCACUUUCGCAGCGUCUUUAUAGCAAAUGGUGGGCGCUGAGUGUACACGAUUCCCUUUGAGGUUGCCAAUUUUGAUGAGAGUGCCGUCUGCCGAAGGAUCUGGUAUUGUAAGCUUAGCCCUGGCCCCCUCUUCCUCGCACGUACUAUUCCGCCAGAUUUGUCGUUUCUCCAACUCCAGAUCUUCACCCUCGCGUUACUUUACCGUGAUUUCCACGAAGUCGUGCUACUCCAGGGCUGCUAGAGUCGCUUCACUUCCGCAUCGCGACUGUUCCUUUCCUCAGUGAGCUUGGCAAGCCAGCUAUAACUCACAUUGUUGCUCGCAUCGAUGGCAUCGACACCGGAGACGAACACCUUACCAACCGCAAACUACACCCCAAAAUAGCUUGCACUGGAGUUUUCAAUUCUACAAACUGAGAUACGUCGAGAAUAAAAUCUUACUCACGCAACGGUCAAUUUCUGGGCUCUUCAAUAAAAGGAAAAAACAAGGCAAAAAAACGGAAAAUUCCCAUUGGGAUUAAGUAUUUGGGGGCUCGCUCACGCGAUAGCCCUCUUUGCAAGGAAUUGGCUCAUGACAAGGCUAGCGCAAUCUGCACAUGGAAUAUAUUAUUAUUCACUGUUUCCGCCCCAUUUGUGUAUACGAGCUCACACGAAGGGAAUAAAUCUGCAACUAUAAUCAGUACCCAACGAUCUCUUCAUGAUAUGAUCUUUUGUUCGGAUGUGAGCGAAUUUGACAAAUUGUGCACCCCCCCCCCCCCUUUGUUUGGGUGUGUGAAUAUGGACUUAUUCUGUAACAUGCUUCUUGCUUGAUUGCCUCUGGAAAUGUUCUGCGCAGUUUGUACCCCUCUUUUGUAAUUGUUUAUUUUAAUGUGCAGUGGAUCUUGAAUGUGUCUCAAUUGCUCUAUGCUUGCUUCUAUGCCCCCCCCCUUUUCCCCUUUUUUCUUAACUUGGUUUGCACCUUUCAAAUAAUAUUGCCAAUUUUAUUUGCCAACUAUUUUUCAUAAAUUGUGAACAUUAUUGAGCAUAUAGUAAGAGUGAUUCAGAAUUUUUUCUAGUUGAAAUAUGGCUGUAGAUUUUCUUUAUGAAAAUUCUCUCUAGAUUUGAUUAUAUUAUGUUAUGUGUAUUCUAGCUUAUUUAACAAAAAUUUAGGAAAAUGAAAUAGAUUUUAUCACAUAAUUUUUUUUUUUUUCAAUUCUUUAGUAAAUAAGAUAUCUUCUUCUUUACUUUUGUACAUUGAAUUAGUAAGGAUCAUGUCCAUUAUAAUAUAUUAAAUGCAUAUAUGGAAAGUCAGAUUGUAGAAGAAAUAUUUUAGAGCAACUAAUAAGAAUACAAUAAAUUUAAAAAAGUCUUUGAUUAUUUAAGAUUGUCAAAUAUAGGUAUAAUUAUGGAUAUUUUUUUUACAUUUAUAUUUAUUACUAAAUAGUAGUCCUUUGUUAUUAAUUGCAUACAUGUAUUAGUUGGUUUCUUUGUAAAACUUUUAAGUUUUUAUGUUUGACAUGUAAAUUCCUUUCAUAUUGCUCCACUGUUAGUAUUAUUAUUAUUAUUAUAAUUACUAUUUUCUCUUUUUUCUUUUUUAAUAAACUUCAGAACAAAAUUUUAACAUCAUAUUAAUUAUUCCAAAUUAAUAAAAAAAAUAUUAUAAUUAUUUAUUAAAUAUUAUUAAUAUUGUUUUAAAUUAGAUAGUUCUAAAAUUAUAAAAUACCAAAUAAAUAAUAAUAAUAUAAUUUAAAAAACACUCUUGGAAUUUUUAAUAGUGUAUAUAUAUAUAUAUAUAUAUAUAUAUAUUUUUGUUUUUUUUUUGUAAUAAUAAGAUAAUAAUUUUUUAUAUAAAAGCUACAUAUAUAUCUAUUAUGUAGUUUUUAAAAUAUUAUUUGUUAAGAAAUUUAUUUGACAAUGUCAAAGAUAUAAAUCAAAAUAAAACCUUGACAAAACAAUACAAUAUGGUAUCAUUCAAAGAUAGAAAAUAAAUAAAUAAAAGUUAGAUAUAAGAGAGGAAAAAAUAAGAAUUGCUAUCACUAGUUACAAAGUGGAUAGGGAGUCUUAAAUGAAGAUUGGCACAUAAGAAAGGUGUUAAUAAGACCAAUCAUGGUUUCAAUCUUGCUUCCAUAUAUAUUAGUUAUGAAGAUGGUAUUUUAGAAGCUUCUUCGGAAAACAAAAAUUACAUAGAAAAAUCUUGGAUUAAUACUUAGAGUAGAUUGUUUGUAAACUAGAGUCAAAUCUAUACCUUGAGAUACAAAACCACACAUCUAAGAUAAAUAUGGGAUUCUUUUGUUGAUAGAAGAUAUAUCUUAGAAAUUAGACUUGAUAAAGAGCAAAAUUGAUAGAAUUCCUUUAAGCUUUGUUUAGAAGAGAUUUAAUUAAAUAAAGACUUUGUGAUAACUUUGCAAAGUUGGGAUUGUGUCAAGGACAAGAACUCAAUAAAAAACAAUUCAGACAAGUGAGAAUUCACUCAAAGAGAGAUAACAAAAUAUAUAUAAAUAAGUAUAUAUAUUGAAAGAGGAACUAGAAUGGCUAUUGCCAAAAGACAAGAAAACUAGAGAUCCUUGAAACUAGACUAGAAGCAAGAAAGGAGUUGACAAGAGUGAAGAAGCCUUCACUCUUGUCUCUAUAUAUACUAUCUAACUAAGAGCUACGUGGCGAUGUUCUAUAGGACCUCCAAUAUGUGUUGACUUUGUAGAACACAUGCCUUGACUUACAAGGCAAGUUUUUCUACGUGUGGGCCACAUAGUUAGCUUGAUCUUCAAGCUACCAACAUGUAUGGCACAUGGCCAACUUGUUGACCACGUUUCUAAUUCAAAAAAUCAAUUAAAGACACCUAUGAAGUCAAAGCAGCGUCUAGGAAGUUUCUAGGAAGCUUUUAUAUUAAAUAUUGUAGAAUUAACUUACUUUUACCUACUUUUACUUACUUCUACCUAUUUCUAUAUGUAAUUAUUAGCUUACACGAUUAUGGCCGUGACAUUACCCUCCCCUUCUAGGGACGAGUUCCACGAGGAGCGGUCAUCAUAUAUUGAGGAAAUCUAUGAUGCGACGAAUUGUAUUCGCCACAUACUCUGAUCUCUGUUCUCUUCAAAGAUGAUUGAUAGGACCUCUCAACCAUCGGUAGUGUCCCAUACCAGGGCGGGAAGACCACCCAUUUUUUGAUCAUUGUUCAGGCCUUCGUAACUUCCUUCGAAUAGAAUAUUUGGAACACCAUCAGAAGUUGUUCCUACCUCUAGUAAAAUCACCAAACAUCGGGAGUCCCUUCCCAAAUCGUGAUACCAAACGCAUUGUAUCUCACCAUCUAUUCGAGGAAGAACAUGUCGUCCUUGAAGAUCUUCAUCUCGAUUACGUCGUCUUGAAGGUUGUGACAAUCGUAAUGUCUCGUCCGGUAGGUCAGCAAAUGAAGGCUCUUAGGUUGAAUCCGCUGCUUGUUGGUUCUCCAUCUCUUGAGCGCCACUACUACAACGAAGCUACAAACAAGAAUUGAAAGUAGAAUAUUAUCUUGUCUAGAUAUUGUUUCUUUUAUAAAGAAGGUUUUCAUCUUGUUUUUGAUGGAUGUCAUCGAUGAAAAGCCUCCAUCGCCUUUGCUGCAUUUGCAAGAUUCUUUAUUGGCUCCCAUGUGUGUUCACUAAUACCAUAUCCACGCCAAUGGACAAGAUAUUCUAAUUUAUUUUGGCGCCGCCUUGAAUCUAAGAUUUCUUCUACUUCAAACUCUUCAUUAUUGUCUACUUCUAUAGGAGGAGGUAGAGCUUGUCGUCUUCUUGGUAUGUCCACAGUCUUGUAUGGUUCAAGAAGAGACACGUGGAAUACAAGAUAGAUUUUCAUUGACUCUGGUAGAUCUAAACGAUAUGCAACUGGAUUGAUUUGUGCAGAAAUAGAAAAUGGUCACAACCUUCGAUAGUCCAACUUGUCACAAGGACAAGUGGUCUUGAUAUUGCGACGAAGUAGCCAUACCUUAUCACCUAAGAUGAAUGAUGGUUAUUCCUUUCGAUAGACAUCUGCAUUGGCUUUUUGUUGUUCUUGAGCCUCUUUUAACUGUGCCUUCAUCGUUACAUGUAGCUCUAAGAAAUGAAUUGCCAAAUCUUUUGCAGUAGGAUUAUCAACUUUUGAAAAGUCAAAAGUAUCAAGUCGUGGAUGAUAACCAUAAUUAGCAAAGAAAGGUGUUUGUUUUAUAGAAGAGUGUACCGUGUUAUUGUAAGCAAACUCUGCCAAUGGCAAAAGAGUUGUCCAAUCAUCUUGUUGGUAAUUAAUGGUACAUCUUAAAUAUUGCUCCAAAACUUGAUUAACACGCUCCGUUUGUCCAUCAGUUUGAGGAUGGAAUGCCGAAGAUAGUUUUAUAUCCACUUUAAGAAUCUUGAAAAGAGUCCGCCAAAAUCUUGAUACAAAUUGAGUUCCCCUAUCUGAUAUAAUAUUCUUGGGUAAUCCAUGAUAGCGAUAGAUAUUGUCAAGAAAGAGCUUAGCUGUUUCUUCACCUAUGAUAGAUUUUGUACAUGGUACAAAAUGUGCCAUCUUGGUAAAACGAUCUAAUAUCACGAAUAUAGAGUCAUAAGAACAUGAGAUUGGAAGAUCCGUGAUGAAGUCCAUAGAAACAAAAGACCAUGGUUGUUCUGAAAUGGGUAAUGGCUGAAGGAGUCCAAAAGGUCGAUGACGAGGAGUUUUCGAUCUUGAGCAAACAUCACAUGAUUGUACAAAAUCUUUGACUGCCUUUCAUAUUUGAGGCCACCAAAAAUCCCUAGAUAUCAGCUCCAAAGUCUUAUUAUAUCCGAAAUGUCCUGCUGCUGGGAAGUCGUGACGAGCUUGAAGAACACGUAAACGUGCUUCUCCUUCUGGAACAUAUAGGCGUCCUUCGAAAUAGAGUAGGUUGUUCUUGAAUUCAAAUUUAGAUGGAUCGUGAGAUUUAGAAGAAUUGUUCUUGACAUCAUGAACAAGAGGGUUUGAAGACAUACUUAACUGGACUUGCUUAAGAAAAUUUAAAUCAAUAGUCAAUGUUGAUUUUAUUGCUCGAAGAUGAAAUUGUUCCGGCUUCAAGAGAACCGUUCUUUGUUGCUCAAAAGCUGCAUCUCCUUCUUUUGGUGUAAGAUAAGAACGUUGUCGUGUUGUAACACGAGUAUACCAUAAAAAUAUAAAGAAAGGGGACUUUUAUUAAUGUUCAGUUACCUCGAAUAUUGAGAGCAACGACCAAAUUCGGUGCAAAUACUGAGUGGCCAGGUUCAGUCACCCUGUUACAGUCAGCCGAGGGAUACUGAAAUGCUCCGUUCGAUUCCAAUAACGGAAGUCAGGGGGAAGUAAAAGGACCAAUUCACACGAUGGGUGACCCUGGUUCGAAGAGCCAAUUGGAUCCAAUUUCAAGAAUCCAAUCCGGGUCCUCUUACCCAAUAUGAGACCUGAAUUGGUCGGGCAACCUAAUGCAGUCUAAUUACGGGAAAAUCCAGGUCUUACUACGGGCCUCAGCCAAUCUGACACGAAGGACCAAUUUGAUCCAAUUUUGGGAACAUCCGGAUCUUACUAGUGGACUCUUAGCUAAUAUGAGACUUGAAUUGGUCGGGCGACUCAAUGUGGUCCAGAUUACGGGUUUCGAUUCUGUUUCAGGCUGUCUUGUUCUCUGUGCCGUUUCAGGGAACGUUGUUUUCGGUAAACGGAUCUCUUAAAGGUAAAAAUGGAGGAGAAAGCUCUAACGGCGAGAGCCAAUUUCGGAUCUAAGCCUUGAUGACCAGAGCCAAUUUCGGAUCUAAGCUCUGACGGCUGGAGCUAAUUUCGGAUCCAAGACGACAGAUUGAAGAAAUUCAGAGAAUAAGUUUUAGGGGGGUUUUUUUUUUCAGAUCAGGGAUUUUUUCGAUCGAAGAGCUAGCUUCAAGCUCUUUUCAAGGUUACUAGUUCGGUUUCAUUGGAGUUUUUUGGAGAUCAAGGGGAGAGGAGCUUCAUGCUUCGGAUCGUAAGUACAAAGCGGUAUCGAAGAUUAGCAGAUUGGGUUGUUCGGGGUUCUCUGUAACGUCUAGAGACCUACUGGCUGGAACAAAAAGGACUUCAACAAGCAGUCGAAGAGCAUCCGUAUAGAUUUACGGUACAUUGUUGCAGUCGUUUAUAUUCCAGCAGUCAAAACUGAUAGACUGCUUGACUAUCGGUGAAUCUCCAUACUACCUUCUACAACCAGACGUCCGGUGCAUUUUCGAGCAAGAAAGCACGUAAUACGACAAAAGUGGUGAACCCGACAUGAAAGCUUGAGGUGGAAGGUAUUGGAUUUUGGUUGAUUUUAUCUUUAUUUUAUGAAAAACGAAAAUAAAAAUUUUGAAGGAUUUUUGGGAGGAGUUUCUGGUGAGGAUUCUUCUAAAGGACAAGGUAUGCACAUGGAUCCGUCUAUUGCUAGUAUGUUUCAAGCCUUCUCAUUAUCAAUGCAGCAACAACAAAGCAAUGAUCGAAAGGAAGCUUUGGCAAUCAAAGCAUUGCAAGCAGUGGUCAAUAAAAUUGAUCAAUUUGAUGGGAAGAAUAUUUCAAGGUAUUUAAGAUGUUAUGUUCGUGAAAUGGAAUUAAAUCGGGUUUCUGAGAAGAAAAUGGUUGCACUAUUUGGACUUGCCACGAUAUCGGAGAUAAGAGACCAUAUUACAUCAAUUACGGAUCGUUAUGGGAAUUCAUGGGAGGUUUUUUCACAUGCAUUGAAAGACGAAUAUUUCUUGGAAGAUGUUGAUCGCAUUACUAAGAAGCUGUUUCUGGGAUGGAUUGAACAGCCCAAUAAGAAUUUGCAAGCAACAGAGCUACUAAGGGAAUUUGAGAGGCAGUACUCUCAAUUGUCGAAGGUAGAAAAAUUGACAUUGGAGCCGAACCAAGUUGAUCUAUUUCUUCAAGCUGCUGAUGGAAAAUUGCAAGAAAAAUUAGAACUCCUUCUUGAAGACAAAGAAGAAGAUGAAGGAUUGACAACGAAGUCAAAGAACGUUGAAGAUGCAAUGGGGUUGCUUACAAAAAAAGAAAGGAGGAAGGAUAGGAGCAAUAUUCAGAAAACAGUACAAGCACCCAAAGCUCCAGUACGUACAACACCACCAACAAUGCCUACAGUUCAACCUUCGUCAUCCUUAUCAAAGAAAGCAGAUAUGGGAAUGGAAGAAAUUAUACGAGGAAUGUGAGAUCUUCAAAUCAAAUUAGCAAGACUUGAAGAGAAUACUUCUAUAAAUAAUUCGAAGAAUGUUUCAAAACAAGGAUAUGUACAAAGAUGCAUUUGGUGUGAUGAUGCUUCACACACUAGAAAAGAUUGCAAUGAAUUUAAUAAUAUGAUACGUCAGGGAAUUAUUUGCUGGAAAGAUGGAAAGAUAGCAUUGAAAAAUAGAGAGGAUCUUCUUCAAACCAAUUUUGGCAAGGGAGGAAUGAGAGCAUUGGUUCAAGAUUACUUAAAAGAGCAUGAAACAGUAGUACGAGAAAGUGCAAGUUAUGGUGGUAGAGUAGAUGAUGAAAUUGGUGGAAGUACGGAAACUAGUGAGUUUUGGGCUUCUGCCGUUUCUACAAUGCAAGAAGGGAAAUUACCUCGAGAAGCGUUAUUGAGAACUGCAGCUACAAUACGAGGUAGAACAGGUUGGGAGGAUCCUGUUGAGUCUCUUUCAGUUCAUGCAUAUAUUGCUAAGAGCCAACAUGAAGCUUUGACGGAAGAAAAGAAACGAGGAAAUUUUGAUGAUACUAGAGAAGGAAAUUCUUCUAAGAGGCAAACUCGAGGAAACAAGGCUCGGGAGGCAGCUUCACAAGAAUUGCCUGUAAAGGAUACGUCAGCAUCAUUGGGAGAAAAAACAAAGGAGACAAAAGAUAAAGGCAAAUCAAUUGCUUAUAAGCUAUUUUCUGACAUUGAAGCGGCAACAGAUUUGAAAGGGGUGUUGGAAGAACGUAUAUUAAACGCUAAGGUGGAAUUCACAUUGAAAGAAGUCUUGGGAAUUACACAGAAGGAGUUUCAUGAUGUUAUCAUUGGCAGCAUUAAGCAAAAGAGGCAAUUAAUGGACGAAACUGGAAUGAGUCAUGCUAUUGAUGCAAGAAUAUAUAGAGAUGAAGAACAGCUUGAUAUUGGUUACAAGCAACCAACAAAUGAAAAGAAUGGAUAUAAUCAGCGAGUACGUUUCGAAGAUUCUAGUGAUAAGGAAAUGGAAACUUUGAGCCAUUAUACUCGAAAGCAUUGGGCAAGGGCAACUACUGAGGUAUUGGUGAAAGUAGGAGAUAUAGAAGAACCACUUAUUGCUUUGGUCGACCAUGGUUCUGAAAUAAAUCUCAUGUCUAAAGAUCUUUAUAAGAAGCAAAAAUGGUCAAUUGAUAUGGAACAUGGAUGGGUAAUACGAGCAGCUAAUAACACAUGGGGCAAAUUAUAUGGAGCUUGUCCAGAUGUCAAAAUUUGGAUUAGGGAUGUUGCGACGGAGCAACAUUUCUUCGUUCAAGAUACAACGUCUUAUCCGUUGAUUAUAGGACAACCUUAUAUUACGGCAACACGGAUAGAAACAAAAGUACUUGACGAUGGUUCUGCUUAUGCAAGGAUACGUAGCAAAGAUGGGAGGAAAGCUGUACAAUUUCUAACAGCACCUCCUAAUCAUGAACGAAAUCGAGAUAGGUUGAGGGAGAAACCAUUGCCAAAGAUUGUUGAAGGAUUUAAGGAUUUUGGUGAGGUACCACUGUAAAGCGAGAUUAUGGAGGUACAAAAUAGGAGGUACUCUCGCGAGAUGAAGGUGCCUUUGAUGCGAGUUUUAUUGGUAUAUUGGAGAAUGGAAAUAUUAUGUAUAAGAAAUUUGAUGAUUUUAAAAGAAAAGAAAAAAAAAGAUUAUAUGAUAUUGAAGGACAAUUACGCAAGAUAGGUACAUUGCAAGAUGAUGAGAGGAUUUUGGGUGUUUAUGAAGAAAAUGGACUGGAAGAUUCAUUGGAAUUGAUUACAUCUAUUGGGUUAGGAGAUAAUGAUAAGAUUGUUGAGAUUCAUUUAAGAGAGGUUUAUACCAUACUUGAAUCAUUUCAAGCACCAGAAGUAACUGUAGAGACGAGAUAUAAAACGGCAGAUAAGAAGGUAAAGCCUGUUGCCGAACCAUUACCAGAAGAUUCUAAAGAACAAAUGGGAGAAGCAUCAAAAGAAGCGAAUUUAAGAGAUCCAAUGAGUAUUGGACAUGAGUUUACUGAAGAGACUUUUGAAGAAUUGAAGAUUGGUUCUGAUGGUUCUUUAUUGCCGGAGGAAAUUACUUGUUUCAAAAAGAUGUUGGCUAAACAAGGUAGAUCGUUUGCCUUCGAAUCUCAUGAAAUUGGGUGUGUGGAUCCAAAUAUUAUAACACCUAUGGUUAUCUUCACUGUACCACAUGUAUCUUGGAAUCUAAGACCGAUUCCAGUACCGAGGAUACAUUUACCUAAAUUGGUUGAACUAUUAAAAGAAAAGAUAAAGAUAAAAAUAUUGGAACCUUCAUUAGCGCCGUAUUCUAGUCGAUGGUUUACGGUACCUAAGAAGAAUGGAUUACUACGGUUUAUUCAAGAUAUGCAACCGGUGAAUGCAGUAACUGUCAAAAAUGUAGGAAUUAGACCUAUUGUGGAUGAAUUUGCUGAGGCGUUUGCUGGAAGGGCGAUCUAUUCAAUGGGUGACUUGUAUUCAGGUUAUGAUCAAUUUCAACUUGCCGAAGGAAGUAGAGAUAUGACAACAAUGAGGAUACCACUUGGAUUGGUUAGAAUGUGCACUCUUCCUCAAGGCGCGACCAACUCAGUUGCACAUAUGAUGAAUGGGAUGAAUAAGGUAUUGAGAGAUUUUAUUCCGGAAAAGACUAUGCCUUUUUUGGAUGAUGUUCCUAUAAAAGGGUGCAGAGAAGGAGACAAGGAUGAAACUUUAGAUAUGAUGGGGUGUCGCAAAUAUGUUGUUGAUCAUAUACAAGAUUGUGAAAAGAUUUUAAUUCGGCUUGGAGAAGUUUAUCUUACAUUAUCGGGUAUGAAGUCCGUAUUUGGAGUACAAGAGGUUGUAAUUGUUGGACAUUUAUGUGGAUCUUACGGAAGAAAACCAGAUCCGACUAAAGUUGAUGCAAUUGGAAGGAUGAAAGAGGAUUGUGAUUCUUUAACAGAGGUUCACAGGUUUUUGGGUGCAUGUGUAUUUUAUCGAAUCUGGAUCCCUCAUUUUGCUCACAUAGCGGAUCCAUUAUAUGAACUGUUACGCAAGGGUUACCGAUUUAAAUGGGAAGAAAGGCAUAUUCAGGCAAUGCAAAGAUUGAAGAAAUUAUUGAUGUCACCUCCAAUAUUGAGGAAGGUUGAUUAUAAGUGCAAUAGACCAGUGAUUCUUACUGUGGACGCUAGUCCAAUUGCCAUUGGAUGGGCUGUGAGUCAAGAUGAUUCGAGUGGGAAUAGAUGUGCAGUUCGGUUUGGGGCUAAAGUUUUAAGUAUUCGUCAGCGUGCAUAUUUGUAAGUCAAAAGAGAACUUUGGGGAGUCGUUUCGGCUAUGAAAGUUGAAAGAAAUUAUUUGAUUGAGGUAGUAGUAGUAAUUGAAACAGAUUGCUUGUCAUUGCUUGGAAUGAUUAUUAACUGUUCAACGCCAGAUAUUGCAAUGUUGAGAUGGAUUGGUUAUAUUAAGUCACUAAAUCCAGAAUUUAAGCAUAUUACUAGGAAAGAUAAUUUAGUAGCAGACAUGCUAUCUCGAGCAAGAUACGAGAGGGAGGACAAAUGGUUGAAGACAUUGAUGACGUCGGAUUGAAAUUCUAUUCAAUAUCAAAUCUCAACAGAGAAGACAAGCUAUUUCUUGAAGAAUCUUAUGAAGGAGAAUUAUUGGAUAUUGGUCAUUACUUGAAUACCUUGACUAAGCAGAGAAAUUGGUCUACAAAAGAAUUCAAACAAAUAAGAAAAAAAGCAUAUGGAUUUUUAUUUUGAGAUGGAUUCUUAUGGAAGAGACCGAAGAAAGGAAUUGGGAUGCCACAACGAGUGAUAGGCAAAAGGAAAGAAAAACUAAAAUUAUUAAUGGAGUUUCAUGAUAGUUUAUGGGCAGGGCAUAGAGAAAUCUAGGCUACUGUUGCUAAACUCAAGGAACGAUAUUGGUAGAAAAAUAUGUAUCGAGAUGUGCUCUCAUUUGUAGAGUCAUGGAAAAUCUGUCAAUCGUAUUCUAAUAUCCGACAUCGAGAUGGUCUUCAUCCUACGUAUCCUCUGGCUAUUCAUUUUAAAUGGAUUGUUGACUUGGUUAUUAUGCCAGUUGGGUUAUGGCAGAUGAGAUAUUUGGUUUUAGCUCAUGAAGAUUUAUCAAAUCAAGUAGAAGGAAGAGCAUUGAGGACAAAAUCUAUACAGGGAAUUUGUAGGUUUUUGCUUGAAGAUGUCAUUUGCUGCUACGGAUGAGUAGGAAAAAUCACUGCAGAUCGUGGAGAAUUAAAUGCACAAGAAGCUCGUAAGUUCUUUGAAAGAUGUGGAGUUAAACUAUCACUGACUACUGCUUAUAAUCCGGAAGGGAAUGCAAAAAGCGAACGCGGUCACCCACCGAUUGUAAAAGCAUUAGUUAAAGCUUGUAAUGGGAAAGUUAAAGAGUAGCCACGGCUUUUGUCAUUUGCAUUAUGGACUGAUCGAACAACACAUAGUUCGGUGACAGGAUAUAUGCCAGUAGAACUUAUGACAGGUCGAAAACCAAUUAUGCCGAUUGAAGAAAAGGUACUUACUUAGAGUAUGCUACCAUGGGAAGAUGGAUUGACAAGAGAAGAACUUCUGGCUAUUAGGAUUCGACAAUUGGAGCAAAGAACGGAAGAUGUCCAGAUAGCAUUAGGAAGGUUAAAAAGAGCAAGGUUACAAAACAAGGCGCGAUUCGAUAAGCAACAUCGAUUGAGACCAAAAGCAAUCGAGGAAGGUGACUGGGUACUUGUUUAUGACAAUAGUCGGGAUAAUCAACAUAGUACUUUGCGAAAAUUUUCAAAACGUUGGUUUGGACUAUAUGUAGUUACAACUGUUCAUGAUAAUGCGACUUACUCAUUACGGGAGUUAGAUGGUACAAAAUUGAAAAUACCAAUUGCAGGGAAGCGAGUAAAAAUAUUUAAACGAAGACACGCGGAGAUGAAUAUGGAAGACCUUAAUAAAGGUAUAGAGAUUCCGCAGCAAGAAGAUGAAAGUGAUUUGGAUAAUGAAGGUGACGAAGAUGAAUUGGGCAAAGACGUAGAGGAUAUAUUCUGAAUCAAAUAGCAAUUGGGUAAAUUGGUGCAUACCGGAGGAUGCACAAGUUCAGAGGAGGUAGAUGUCGUGUUGUAACACUAGUAUACCAUGAAAAUAUAAAGAAAAAGGACUUUUAUUAAUAUUCAGUUACCUUGAAUAUUGAGAGCAACGACCAACUCCGGUACAAAUACUGAGUGGCUAGGUUCAGUCACCCCGUUACAGUCAGCCGGGGGAUACUGAAAUACUCCGUUCGAUUCCAAUAACGGAAGUCAGCAGGAAGGAAAAGGACCAAUUCACACGAUGGGUGAGCCUGGUUCGUAGAGCCAAUUGGAUCCAAUUUCAAGAAUCCAAUCCGGGUCCUCUUAUCCAAUAUGAGACCUGAAUUGGUCGGGCAACCUAAUGCAGUCUAAUUACGAGAAAAUCCAGGUCUUACUACGGGCCUUAGCCAAUCUGACACGAAGGACCAAUUUGAUCCAAUUUUGGGAACAUCCGGAUCUUACUAGUGGACUCUUAGCCAAUAUGAGACCUGAAUUGGUCGGGCGACUCAAUGUGGUCCCGAUUACGGGGUUUUGAUUCUGUUUCAGGCUGUCUUGUUCUCUGUGCCGUUUCAGGAAACGUUGUUUUCGGUAAAAGGAUCUCUUAAAGGUAAAAAUGGAGGAGAAAACUCUGAUGAUGAGAGCCAAUUUCGGAUCAAGCUCUGAUGGUGGGAGCCAAUUUCGAAUUCAAGACGGAGGAUUGAAGAAAUUCAGAAUUAAGGUUAAGAAAUGAGAGGGGGGGGAGAAUAAGUUUUUUUGGGGGAGGUUUUGAAGAUAGGAGAGAGCUAGCUUCAUGCUUCGAGUGGGCAAAGAAGAUAGAGAAUUGGGUUUUUUUUCUUCAUAGGGUUUUGAGAAGACUGAGACAAUCGUUGCUGAAGUCAGUGUUGUAAUGGUGAAUCGGGAUUUUUAAUGAAGUGGGUUUGAUUACUCUUGACUGUUUUGUGAAAUCAAGUUACGUCUGUGAUGAAGAGUUAAAAGGGUGUCUAUAGGAUUGAGUAUGCGGAGUGAAUGAAAUUUAUUGGGUUAAUCUAACAAGACAGUCAGUGGAUACAAGAUCAUGAGUAUAAAGCGGUAUCGAAGAUUAGCAGUUUGGGUUGUUCGAGGUUCUCUGUAACGUCUAGAGACCUACCGGCUGGGGCAAAAAGAACUUUGACAAGCAGUCGAAGGGCAUCCGUAUAGAUUUACGGUGUAUUCUUGCAGUUGUUUGUAUUCCAAUAGUCAAAAACUGAUAAACUGCUUGAAUAUUGGCAAAUCUCUAUACUACCUUCUACAACCAGACGCCCGGUGUCGUAUUCUAACACGAGUAUAUCGUGAAAAUAUAAAGAAAGGGGACUUUUAUUAUUGUUCAGUUACCUCGAAUAUUGGGAGUAACGACCAACUCCAGUGCAAAUACUGAGUGGCCAGGUUCAGUCACCCCGUUACAGUCAGCCGGGGCAUACUGAAAUGCUCCGUUCGAUUCCAAUAACGGGAGUCAGCAGGAAGGGAAAGGACCAAUUCACGCAACGGGUGAGCCUGGUUCGAAGAGCCAAUUGGAUCCAAUUUCAAGAAUCUAAUCCGGGUCCUCUUACCCAAUAUGAGACCUGAAUUGGUCGGGCAACCCAAUGUAGUCUAAUUACGGGGAAAUCCGGGUCUAACUACUAGACUCUUACCCAAUAUGAGACCUGUAUUGGUCGGGCAACCCAAUGCAGUCUAAUUACGGGAAAAUCCAGGUCUUACUACGGGCCUUAGCCAGUUUGACGUGAAGAGCCAAUUGGAUCCAAUUUCAAGAAUCCAAUCCGGGUCUCUUACCCAAUAUGAGACCUGCAUUGGUUGGAGAACUCAAUGUGGACCCGAGUAGGGGGUUUCAAUUCUAUUUCAAGCUGUCUUAUUCUCUGUGCCGUUUCAGGGAACGUUAUUUUUGGUAAAUGGAUCUCUUAAAGGUAAAAAUGGAGGAGGAAGCUCUGACGGCGGGAGCCAAUUUUGGAUCUAAGCUUUGACAAUGGGAGCCAAUUCUGGAUCCAAGACAAAAGAUUGAAGAAAUUCAGAGGAUAAGGUUAGGGAAAGAAUGAGAUCAGGGGGGGAUUUUUUUUGGAUCGGGGAGCAAGCUUCAAGUUUUUUUCAAGGUUACUAGUUCGGUUUCAUUGGAGGUUUUUGAAGAUCAAGGGAGAUUGGAGAGGAGCUUCAUGCUUCGGGUCGGGGAAGAAAAGACGGAGAAUUGGGUUUUUCUUCUUCAUAGAGUUUUAAGAAGACUGAGGCAAUUGUUGCUGAAGUAAGUGUUGUAAUGGUGAAUCGGGAUUUUUUAAUGAAGUGGGUUUGAUUACUCUUGACUGUUUUGUGAAAUCGAGUAACGUCUGUGAUUGAAGAAUUAAAAAGGUGUCUAUAGGAUUGAGUAUGCGGAGUGAAUGAAAUUUAUUGGGUUAAUCUAACAAGACAGUCAGUGGAUACAAGAUUGUAAGUACAAAGCGGUAUCGGAGAUUAGCAGACUAGGUUGUUCGGGGUUCUCUGUAACGUCUAGAGACCUACCGGCUAGGACAAAAAGGACUUCGAUAAACAGUCGAAGGACAUCCGUAUAGAUUUACGGUGUAUUCUUGCAGUCGUUUAUAUUCCAGCAGUCAAAAACUGAUAGACUGCUUGACUAUUGGCGAAUCUCCAAACUACCUUCUACAGCUAGACGCCCGGCGCGUUCUCGAGCAGGAUAGCACGUAAUACGACACCAUUGCAUUUUCGAGCAGGAAAGCACGUAAUACGACAAUGUUGUCGUGUUGUAACACGAGUAUACAGUGAAAAUAAAAAGAAAGGAGAAUUUUAUUAAUAUUCACUUACCUCGAAUAUUGAGAGCAACGACAACCUCCUGUACAAAUACUGAGUGGCCAGGUUCAAACACCCCGUUACAGUCAGUCGGGGCAUACUGAAAUGCUCCAUUCAAUUCCAAUAACAGGAGUCAGUAGGAAGAGAAGGACCAAUUCACACGACGGGUUCGAAGAGCCAAUUGGAUCCAAUUUCGAGAAUCCAAUCCGGGUCCUCUUAUCCAAUAUGAGACCUGAAUUGGCCGGUCAACCCAAUUACGGGAAAUCCAGGUCUUACUACGGGUCUUAGCCAAUCUGACGCGAGGACCAAUUUGACCCAAUUACGAGAACAUCCAGGUUACUACUGGACUCUUAUCAAAUAUGAGACUUGAAUUGAUUGGGCGACUCAAUGUGGUCCCGAUUACGGGGUUCGAUUCUGUUUCAGGCUGUCCUGUUCUCUGUGCUAUUUCAGAGAACGUUGUUUUUGGUAAAUGGAUUUCUUAAAGGUAAAAAUGGAGGAGAAAGCUCUAACGGCGAGAGCCAAUUUCAGAUCCAAGCUUGACGGUGGGAGCCAAUUCCGGAUCUAAGACGAAAGAUUGAAGAAAUUCAGAGGAUAAGGUUAAGAGAAGAAUAAGUUUGAAGGGGGGUUUUUUUUUUUUUUUUCUCUGGGAAUCGGGGGGAGCUAGUUUCAAGCUUUUGCAAGGUUACUAGUUCGGUUUUCAUUGGAGGUUUUUGAAGAUCAAGGGGAUUAGAGAAGAGGAGCUUCAUGCUUCAGGUCGGGGAAGAGAAGACAUAGAAUUUGGAUUUUUCUUCUUCGUAGAGUUUUUGGAAGACCGAGGCAAUCGCUGCUGAAGUCAGUAUUGUAAUGGUGAAUCGGGAUUUUUAAUGAAGUGGGUUUGAAUACUCUUGACUAUUUUGUGAAAUCGAAUUACGUUUGUGAUUGAAGGAUUAAAAGGGUGUCUAUAGGAUUGAGUAUGCGGAGUGAAUGAAAUUUAUUGGAUUAAUCUAACAAGACAGUCAGUGGAUACAAGAUCGUAAGUACAAAGCAGUAUUGAAGAUUAACAGUUUGGGUUGUUCGAGGUUCUCUGUAACGUCUAGAGACCUAUUGGCUGGGGAAAAAAGGACUUCGACAAGCAGUCGAAGAGCAUCCGUAUAGAUUUACGGUACAUUGUUGCAGUCAUUUAUAUUCCAGCAAUCAAAACUGAUAGACUGCUUGACUAUCGGCGAAUCUCCAUACUACCUUCUACAGCCAAACGUACGGCACGUUCUCGAGUAAGAAAGCACGUAAUACGACAACGUGUAAGUGGAGCUGCCACUCGAGAGAAGUCUUUGAUGAAGAUCCGAUAAUAGUUGACAAAUCCCAAAAAACAUUAGACAUCUCUUACCAUUUUUGGGAUCUUUCAGUCUAUAAUAGUUUGAACUUUCUUAGGAUCCAUCAUAAGUCCAUCAUUUGAAAUGAUGUAGCCUAAGAAAUCGACUUGAGUAGUGUGGAAUACACACUUUUCUAUCUUGGCAUAGAGUCCUACAUCUCUUAAUUUUUGUAACACACGAUGAACAUGAAGUUCAUGUUCUUUUGGAUUCUUAGAAUAGAUCAAGAUGUCGUGUAGAUAACAUACCACAAAAUCAUCCACAAACUCUCGAAAAACAUCAUUCAUUAAAUGUUAAAAAGCUGUUGGUCUAUUUGUAAGUCCAAAAGGCAUGAUGUUGUAUUCAAAAUGUCCAUACCUAGUUCGAAAUGCAGUCUUCCAUUCAUCUCCUUCUUUGAUGCGUAGUAGAUUUUAUGCUCCCCGAAGAUCUAUUUUUGUAUAGAUCUUAGCUUGAUUCAGUUGAUCAAGAAGUUUGGAUAUUAAAGGUAGUGGAUACCUGUUUUUGAUGGUAAUCUUGUUGAGUCCUCGAUAAUCAACACACAUCCGCAAUGAUCCAUCAUUUUUCUUCACAAAUAGAAUUGGAGCUCGUGCCGGAGAUUUAGAAUGGCGUAUGAAAUUCUUGGCUAGAUUUUCUUCAAUAUACUCUUUGAGUUCAGCCAACUCAUUUUGUGAUAAAUUAUAGAUUGGUCCGAAUGGCGGUUGUGCUCCUUCUUGAAGGUCAAUUGAGCAAUCAUAGGGACGAUGUUCUGGGAGUGUAUCCGCAUUCUUUUUUUCAAAUACAUCUUGAAAUUCUUGAUAUUGGCUUGGAAUGCCACUUAAAGUCUUUUCACUAGUAGAAACGGGUGUAGCAUAAAUAAUGUAUGGUGAUUCUUUCAUAGCAGCAUGCAAGAAAGCUUUUGCACCUAUAAAUACGAGUUUAAUUGAAUUGGACUUAUGACUCUUUACUUGCUUAACUACACUGUUAGUUAUACUUUUAGAGAAAGUAAGAGUUCGGGAAAUCCAGUCUAUUUGAAGGUUGUAUUUUUUUGACCACGAUAAAUCUAAAAUGACUGGAUUAGAGGGAGAUCUAAUGAUAUUAAAUACUACAAAACUAAUAUGACCAUUGAUUAUUACUUCUAUAGGAAGGGUUUCGUGAGUAAUAUCUCCAGAAGACAAUGGAGGACCAUCUAUGACUUCUACAUGAAUAGGUUUAGUUUUCUUUACUAAAGAUAUGUUAUGUCUUAUAAUAAAUCCUUCAUCUAAAAAAUACGCUGAGGCUCCUGAAUCUAAUAAGGCAGAGACUUUGUAAUGUUUAGGUCCUAAAAUAACAUUUAAUGUAAAAUAAGGAGAGGGCUCUAAGGAGAGAAUAGGACCUUUACUAGAUGUUGUGCAAGGUUCCAGCUGCAUGGUCCCUAUUGUAGCUGGACAAACUCGUUUUCCGACAUAUUAUCUUCUUUCACAGCCAUACUCCUCAUUUUGUGAUUGCGUCAUUUCUUUGGACAAUGUUGAAUAGAGUGCUUUGGUUCUCCACAAUAUAAACAUAAUCCUUAUUGACGACGACGAGUCUUUUCUUGCUUAGUAAGAGGUUUGAAACGUACUGCAUCAAUUUGUAUAUCCUCUACUUUUGAAUGUAUGUGUUGAAGAGGUGUUGAUGUUGCCAUUGAAUUAUAGUAACAUUGAGGUCUACUUGUAUGGUUCUCAGAUCAGAAUUCAAAAAGGCGAUUAUCGCACUUUACAGCAAAGUCAAUUGCUUGACUCAAUGUUUGAGGAUCAAAUAAGUUGAGCAUUAAUUUUUUUACCUCAUAUUGUAAUCCGUAGAGAAAUUGGCUAAUAAGGGCAGCAUCAUCCCACUUGAUAUCAGUUGCAAGUUGUCGAAAUUGUGAAGCAUAUAACGUUACUGAUCGAUUGCCUUGUCGUAAAAUACGGAUCUUAUUGGUUGCAACACGAAUUGCAUCAUGUUCUCCAUACAUAGAUCAAAACUCCACCAAAAAAGCCUCUAGAUUAUCCAAUAUUGGAUCUCGUCGUUCAAAAAAAGAUAAAAACUAUGAUAGUGCCGAACCUGAAAAAAGCGUACCAAUGAAUCUAAGUUGUGAUCCCGGAGUUGGAUAGCUUUGGGGUUGAAGUUCAAUCACAAGUUGUACUUGAUUGAUAAAUCCUCGAAACUUAGAUCUAGUGCCAUCAAACUUCUCAGGUAGGGCAAUUCUUGGUUCUCUAAUAUUUGAAGGGCGUUCCACCAUAGGAGAAAGGACAUGGUUUGGUGCAGAUGUUGAAGCAGCUCCAACCAUUUCUAUAUCUUCACUUCCUGCCAAUCUUGUUACUCCUUAUGGUGGUAAAUUGAGUUGAUGCAUUGCAAGCAUUAACUCCCUCAAUUGCUCUUGCAUUUGUGCCAUUGCACUCUUCAUUUCAAGAAGUUCUGCUAUGAUAACACUUAGAAGAGAGAAGAUGUCUAAUAUCACUUAAGACAACUAGAAGAGAGGACUUGUGGACAAAGAAAAUACUAAGGACAAUAUCAGUUUAGAAGAGGGUAAUCCGCAACUUCUAAUAUGCUUAUAUCUUAUCAAGAAAAAGGGAUAAUCCACUCUUAAUCAAGAUUAGACAAAGCUCUGAUAUUGUAGGUGUACUCUUGUCAAUCUGUCAAGGACAAGAACUCAAUAAAAAAUAAUUCAGACAAGUGAGAAUUCACUCAAAGAGAGGUAACAAAAUAUAUAUAAAUAAGUAUGUAUAUUGAAAGAGGAACUAGAAUGGCUAUUGCCAAAAGACAAGAAAACUAGAGACCCUUGAAACUAGACUAGAAGCAAGAAAGGAGUUGACAAGAGUGAAGAAGCCUUCACUCUUGUCUCUAUAUAUACUAUCUAACUAAGAGCUACGUGGCGACGUUCUAUACGACCUCUAAUAUGUGUUGAAUUUGUAGAACACAUGCCUUGACUUACAAGGCAAGUUUUUCUACGUGUGGGCCACAUAGUUAGCUUGAUCUUCAGGCUACCAACAUGUGUGGCACAUGGCCAACUUGUUGACCACGUUUCUAAUCCAAAAAAUCAAUUAAAGACACCUAUGAAGUCAAAGCAGCGUCUAGGAAGUUUCUAAGAAGCUUUUAUAUUAAAUAUUGUAGAAUUAACUUACUUUUACCUACUUUUACUCACUUCUACCUAUUUCUAUAUGUAAUUAUUAGCUUACAUGAUUAUGGCCGUGAUAGAUUGUUUUAUAUAACUUUAUUUUCUAAGAAUAAUAAAAAAAUUACAUUUUAAUAAAAUUUAUAAUUUUUGUAAGAAAUCUAUAAAUAUAUAUUUUUUUAUUAUAAAUAUUUUUAUACUAAAUAUAUAUUUAAAUAUCAAUUUAAAUAUCUUUUAAUAAUGAAAUUAAAUGCUAUUGAAAUUUAAGUAAAUUAAAAUAUCAAAAAUUAGAUAUAAAUAUUAAUAAAGGUUUCUAUGAUUUUUAAGAAUUUACCAAUUAGAUUCAAAUGGUUUUUUGUGAGUUGAUAAUUGGCAUAGUUUUCAAUAUUUAUGAAAAUUUUUAGAGCAAAUUAUGAUACAAAAGAGAAAUAUUAAUAUUUGAGUAUUGAAAAUAAGAUUGAAAAAAGAUAACAACCAAUAUCCAAAAAAAUAAAGAUUUUUUUUGCCUUAUAUAUAAGUUUGAUUCUUUUCAAAUUUAAUUUUCUUUAUAUUAAUUAGUAGAUUAAAAAAUAAAAUUUAUUUUAAAUAAAAUUAGUAUUUAUUGAGAUUUUAAAUCUAUCAUAGAAUUUAUUUAAGAUUUGAUUAAAAUUCAAUUAGGAUAUUUUUAGGAUUUUUUUAAAGAUUAAUUAGGAUUUGAUUAAGAUUUCAUCAUGAUUUAUUUAGAUUUUCUUUACAAUUUCUUUAGAUUUUAUUAAAAAUAUAUUAUUUUUAUUUUUUAUUUUUUUAUUGAUUGGGAUUUUUUAAAGAUUUAAUUUGGAUUUUUAAGAAUUAUUUAAGAUUCAUAUGGAGUUGAUUAGAGUAUGAUAAGAUAUUUCUAGGAAUAAUCUAAGACUGAUAAGGUGUACUUAGAAUAAUUAGAAACUUACUUAGAUUAUUUAAGUUUUCUAAAAAUAUGUUUUCAAACAACUUAUGUAUUAUUUUUAGAUUAUAAAUAUAGCUUUGAGAUAAGAUUAAAUCUUUCCAUAGCUUGAUGUCCAAUAUAUUUCAAGACUAAUUUUCACAUAACACAAUAGUGUUGUAUUGUAGAUUGCUUCUAAUGCAACUUUUUAAAAAUAAAAUAAUUAUAAUUUUUUUAAUAGUCUGAAGAAAUAAUUAUAAAAGUCAAAAUAUUUAAUAUGUAUCUAUAAAAUAUUUUUAAAAUUUCUUAAAAAAGAUAUUAUCUUUUUAAUAUGUUUUAAUUUAUUUCUACCUAUUUCUAUUUUUUUUGUAAUGUAUACAUCUCUUACCUAUCUAAUCUUUUAAAUGACAAGUUUUAUAAGGAACAAGUAAAUUGCUUCAUAAAUUUAUGAUUUGAAGUUUUGUCAAAUAAUAUUAGCAAUAAACUUUAAUCUAUGUUUUAUAUAAUGGUAGUUGAUACAUUCCUUUAACCAUUGAUUAUGUCCCAUAUGAAGGCAAAAAGACCAUCAUGUUAUUUGACUAUUUUUAUGGACUUCAUAAAUAAAUUUAAAUAAUAUAUUUUAUAUGCUAUCAAGUAAAGUAUCUAUUUUCAAUAGUAUCAGUAACCAUUAAAAGUCUCUUCUAAGAUUGUAGUACCAAACAUUAUAUAUUUCACCAUAUAUUUAAAAUAAGUUUUUUUCUUGAAGACCUUUAAUACGAUUUUAAUGUUGUUUAUAUAAAAAACUUAAGUGCUUUAUUUGAAAAAUCUUCAAAUAUAAACAACUCUUGAGAUAAACAUUUUAGUUUUUUAUUUUUUAUAUUGCAAAGAUAUUCUUGAUUUGAUACUUGAAUAUGUUUUUUAUCAUUUUUAUACCAUAUCAUUGAUUAUAAUUGGUUCUUGAUUUUGAUUAAUGUUUUCAAUGAAAAAUAAAAAUAAAUUUUGUUAUAUUUAUAAGAUUCUUAAAUAUUUCUUAUGUAUGUUUAUUGAUAUCAUAUUUGCACUAAAAUAUUAUAUAUUUUUAAUUAUUUUGGCAUUAAUUUGGAUCCAAGUAUUUUUCCACUUUAUUGUUAUCUAUUUUGAUUGAAGGUUGUAAUUGCUUUCUUCUUUGUUUAUAGAUUGUGGUAUAAAGGUCAAUAAAAAAUAUAAAAAAUAUAUAAUAAGUUUUUAUUAAUUAUAGUAGUUAUAAUUAAUAUACAACUAGAUAAAUUUAUUUUUGAAUAUUAAACAAGCCAAGUCUUUGAUAAUCCAAUUUAUCACAAAAUUAAUUGGUUUCAAUAUCAAAACAUAGUAAUUGUAUUUUAUCACCUAUUUUGAGUGGAGAUUGAUUAUUUUUAAAUAUAUUAUUAUCAUUAUUAUUUUAUUGUUCAUAAGAUUUCUUUAAUUUUAUUUUUGUUGUAGUAUAAAGCUAUGCGAUCUUUUGUAUCAAUUUUUUUAUUUUGAAUAUUUUACUUUAAAAAAAAUUAAAAUAUUAAUUAUUAGAAGAUAACCAUAAUUUGUAAGAAAAUAGAUUUUUUAAAUAGAAUAAUAUAACAUAUUAAAAUAUAAAUAUUUUGGUAAUAGCAAUAAAGUUAACCAAUUAUUUUGGUAAUAAUUAAUGAUAUAUUAUAAAUAUUUCUAUGUGACUUGAUUUACUCAUUUUAUUUUUUUAUAUUAAUUUGAGAAUAAAAAACUAAAGAUAAUUUGAAAUCUAUUUUAAUAUAAUAAUAAAUGUUUUUCUAAAAAAAUGAUAAAAAUUAGAGUUUAUAUUAAAAUAUAAUAUUACUUGGAGAUCCAUAAUAUCAAUGAAUGUUAUAAAAAAAAAUAGAUUUUUCUUUUUCCACAAUAGUUUUUUUUUACAAGGUAAAAAAUAUAUUCUUUUUAUUAUAAAAUCUACCAUCAUAAUAAAAAAAAAAAAAAAUAGAAUUUGAAAUUUAAAGACAUGUAAUAAAGUCCAUUGAAAUAAAUAAUAAAGGUUAUUUUGGAAUAGGUAGAAGUUGAAGAAAUCUAUAAAAUUAAUGAUGUGGAGACUUUGUCUUAAAAUAAGUGUCAUAAUAUUGAAAAAAUAUUUUAUCUCUUUUUACAUUUAGUACAACUAAAAUUUUCUUAAAAUUAUCUUUAAAGUUCUUUUCAUAAUUAACUUCUAAAUGAUAUCUAUUAAAUUUAUCUAGAAAUUUAUAAAAUAUAUCAUUCAUCAAAUGUUAGAAUCUAGCUAAAGUAUUUGUAAAUCCAAAAGAUAUGACAUUAUAUUCAAAAUAUCAUAUCUAUUUUAUAAUAAAGUCUUUUAUUUAUUUAUUUCUUUAAUAUAUAUAUCAAAUUGUAGGUAUUGCAUAAAUCUAUCUGAGUAUGGAUAUUGACUUUAUUUAAUUAUCAAAGAAGCAUUGAUGUUUAAAACAAAGGAUACCAAUUUUUCAUGAUUAAUUUAUUGAAUAUAAUAUAGUCUACAAGAUGUUGUUGCAUUUGUAAUAAUAUUUGAUGUAUUGAAGCACAAUUGCACAAAAAUUAUAGCACACAUUAUAAAAUAGGAAGAAGAUUGCAACACAACCCUACUUCUACUCACUAAGCCAUUGCAGACAACAUAAAGAAGAGAGAGACAAAAAAAUAGAAGAGAACCUCUAGCUGCAACUUUCAAAAAUCAUCGAGCUGUAUAAUACAACUAAAAAGGAGGAACAAAUAGAGAGUUUAUAGGUUCUAGGCUGAAUCCCUAUUGACUAUGUCUCUUCUUCAAAGACAAAGGUCAGCCAUAACUAUCGCUAUCUGCUAAUAUCCAUACAUUAUCCAUAUCUAGAUGUAUCAGAUGGGGUACUGUAUUUUGGAUCCAUAUAGCUACAAUAUUUUGGAUCCAUAUGCUAUAUAAUAUGCUAGACUCAUAUACUAUAUUAUAUUGUAUUCAUACUUCAUAUAGAAUCUAAUCAUGUAUUUAUCUAUAUAUUUAAAUCAUAUACAAUCAUAUUUGGACCACAUAUAUUAGAAAUUUGAAGAUUUUUGAUUCUUUUUAGAUAUUCUUAAGAUGCUACAACUGAUGCCAAUUUGAUGCCUUCCAAAAUAUCUUCUAAAAUUGGACUUUUCUAUUAGAAUUUCUAUUCAUAACUACGUUUUAUCUACUAACUUUAUUUUUCUUGUCUUUAGUAUCUUCUACACUCAUCUUUUAUUAAAAAUUGCUACUUGACACUCCUAUUGCAUUCUUUUGUCCUAAAAAAAACCAUAAGUUGAUUUAAUGACUCUUAUAUAGAAAUUAUGUAAGACGACUUACCAAAGAAAAGAACACAGAAUUGACUAUCUAAAAUCUAUUGAUUAAAAAGUAACUUGACUAUUGAAGUUAUCAAUUUUUCAAAGACUACAAUAAGAGAGCUAUUGCUACUUAAUACAAUAAAUUAAGGUUGAUUUUGUCUUAUAGACUAUAUAAGGAAGACAAACAAAAAUUAAAUCUAUUUUAAAAACUAUAGAUUUUAAGAUAAGAAAGAAGCUAAGAGUUUCAAAAAGACAAUAUUCUAAAUUCACAUUCACCAAAGAAGAUUUUAAUAAUAGAUCCUUCAAGUUUCACAUAUUUGUUGGAUUUUCAAUGUUGUCACGGACACAGAAAUACAGGCUCGAGAUCUAACAAGAAGUUCAAGAAGAACUGGCAAGACCUAGAUUAAUCAGAUGAAUACAAGAACAACACUAGAGACGUGAGCUAGAGCUCCAAGAGAUGUGUUGUCGAGACUAAAGAACUCUUCAGCCUCGAUUCUAAUAUAUAUUCUUAUUUAGGAAGCUUCUCAAGCAACUUCUACCAACUAAGAAGCUUCUCAAGCGACUUCCACCAACUAUGAAGCUUUUCAAGCAACUUCCACCAACUAGGAAGCUUCUCAAGCAACUUCCACCAACUAAGAAGCUUCUCAAGCAACUUCUAUCAACUAGAAAGCUUCUCAAGCAACCUCCACCAACUAGAAAGCUUCUCAAGCAACUUCCACCAACUAAGAAGCUUUUCAAGCAACUUCUAUCAACUAAAAAGCUUCUCAAGCAACUUCCACCAACUAAGAAGCUUCUAGAAGGUUCCAGAGACUUACUUUUAGAAGGUUCUAAGGACUAUGUCCCUAACAUCAUCUCCUCCUUUAGCUUCGAGGUCUUUGAGAAGCAAUAUUAUUGUUAAUCAGUACCAACACAAGAAAAUGAAGAUUUGUCGCAUAACAUCUGUUAUGAACUCCAACUAUUGUUCAUGAGGCAAGUGGUUCAUUGGCCCUUGAAGCCAACGGUAGUAGCCCACACCUUCGACUUCUGACCAAGCAUGAACUUUCGUAUCUUCAUUGGAAAAUUGUCCUGCAAACACGCCUUCUAGCUGACCAUCGUAAGCAGGCUCGAACUCAAAUACAAUCACCAGUAAUCGAUUACUUGAUAUCCUCCAUCGUCGUCGUGAUGUAGGCGGUUCUUCAUCUUGGGGUUGCCUUCGUGAGCUAGUCGGUUGAGAUAAUCUGACUAGCAUACUAUCUAUCUCUUGGCUAUCCAUAUCAGAAGGCUAUUGAAAAAAUUCUACUUUAUCAACUACGAGUUUUGGUGGUGCUCUCCCCUUUCUUAUAUUCUUGGGUGAGCAAGCUUCAGAAGGAAGCUAUCGUCGAAUCGGCUUAGGUUUAUGAGGAUGUUGUUGAUGAAACUCUUGUACCUUUUGUGGCACAUUGGCAAGAUUUUCAGUUAGUUUCCACGUUUGCUCAUUAAUGUCAUAGUCGCUCCAAUGAACAAGAUAUUCCAACUUGCCCCACCUUUGUCGUGAAUCCAACACCUUUUCGACCUCGUAUUCCUCGUGGUUCUCGAUCUCAAUACUAGGUGGUGGACAUUGCACUCUUCUAGGAAAGGACGACUCUCGAUAAGGCUCCAGCAGAGAAACAUGAAAGACUGGAUGUACCUUCAUAGAAGCCGGUAAUUCCAAACGGUAUGCCACUGGAUUGAUUUGCUUUUGGAUGAUAAAUGGUCCCAAUCUUCGAUAGUCCAACUUAUCACAUGGUCGCUUGGUCUUGAUAUUCCGUCGAAGAAGCCAUGCUUUAUCUCCAAUUUUGAAAGUAGGUGCUUGAUUCCGAAAUCUAUUUGCAGACGCCUUGUAGGAUUCUUGAGCAGAUUGUAAUUCAAGCUUCAACGUAGUUUGAAGCUCUGAUAGUUGCUUUGCAAGUCCUUCAGCUGCUAGAUUGUUAUUUGUUGACAGACUCAAUAAAUCAAGCUUUGGAUGAUAUCCAUAGUUAGCAAAGAAUGGUGUGUAUUGAGUCGAUGCAUGGAGGGUAUUAUUAUAUGUAAACUUGGCUAGCGGCAGAUAUACGGUCUAAUCGUCUUGUUAAUAGUUGAUGCUGCAUCGUAAGUAUUGUUCCAAGACUUAGUUCACCCGUUCCGUUUGGCCGUCAAUUUGAGGAUGGAAAGCUGAAGAAAGCUUGAUAUCCACCUUCAAUAUCUCAAAAAGAGAUCUCCAAAACUUUGAUACGAACUAGGUUCCUCGAUCUGAUACGAUAUCAUCUGGUAGUCCAUGAUAUCAAUAUACAUUAUCGAGAAAGAGCCUUACUGUGACUUCACUGGAUGAUGUCUUCUUACAAGGAACAAAAUGCGCCAUCUUUGUAAGCCGAUCUACCAUGACAAAGAUGUUGUUAAAUGAGUUCGAUGAUGGCAGAUCCGUGAUGAAGUCCAUGGAAAUUGAAGACCAUGGUCGACGUGGAAUCGGCAAUGGUUGUAGAAGUCCAUAAGGGCGAUGUCGAGGAUUCUUCGAUCUUGAACAAAUAUCACAAGAAAGGACAAAAUCUUUCACAUCCUUCCACAUUUGGGGCCAUCAAAAAUCUCAAGAAAUAAGCUCCAAGGUCUUAUUGAAUCCAAAAUGUCCCGCAGCUGGAAAAUCGUGGCGAGAUUGAAGAACUUGGAGUCGUGCUAGUCCUUUUGGAAUAUACAACCGCUCCUCAAAGUAUAAAAGAUCUCCCUCUACCUUGAACUUGUCAUCAUUAGUACGCUGCUUAAUAUCAAUGGCUACUAGAUCUUCAAUGGUUACGGUACGUACCUGGUUCAAGAAGUCAGCAUCAAUUGGCACAAUAGUAGUGCAAAGCCAAAAUUGCUCUGGCUUCAACAACGUCAUACAUUGUUGAUCAAAUGUUGCUUCUCUAGCCUUUGGUAUAAGAUACGAUCUCCUCGAUAAGGCAUCGGAUAGUCCUUGCUGCUUUCUUGGUCGAUAAGUGAUAACAAAAUCGAAUCUAGAUAGCAACAUAGUCCACCGAGCUUGAUGUCGAUUUAAAACUCGAGCCGACAUGAAAUACUCCAAAUUCUUAAGAUUAGUGUAUAUGGUCAUUGGGUGUGCAGCUCCUUCAAAAACGUGAUGCCAUUCUUGGAAAGAAUCCACUAUAGCAAGAAGUUCCUUAUCGUGGAUCUCAUAAUUGAUUUCAGCAGCAGAGAACUUUCGAGAAUAAAAUGCAACUGGAUGGAGCUUCUUGUCUUCUCUCAUUUGUGAAAGUACAACUCCCAAAGCAAAAUUCGAAGCAUCAAUUUCUAAAUAGAAGGCCUUUGUAAAGUCUGGAUGUACCAAGAUCGGAGCCGUAGUAAAUGUCGUCUUCAGGUCUUGAAAUGCCUUCUCCGCUAGAGGUUCCCAUUCUAGCUUAUUCUUGCAUGUCAAUCGAGUGAAAGGAGUAGCAACUUUAGAGUAAUUCUUGAUGAAGAUUCGAUAGAAGUUAGCAAAGCCAAGAAAGCAUUAUACAUCUCUAACCGUCUUCGGAACCUCCCAGGAUACGAUUGCUUCCACCUUCUUGUGGUCCAUCUUCAAGCCUUCCGUAGUCGCAACGAAUUCCAAAAACUCCAUUUCCAUUUAGUGAAAUAAAUAUUUCUCCAACUUGACAUAUAGUCCUCGCUUGCGUAGUUUCUCCAAGACCAAACAAACGUGCUUUUCAUACUCUUCCUCGUUUUUGGAGAAUAUCAGAAUAUCAUCCAAGUAGAUGACAAUAAAAUCGUCAAGGUGCUCCCAAAAAAUAUCAUUCAUCAUAUGUUGAAAGACUGUUGGAGCAUUGGUAAGACCAAAGGGCAUGACAUUAUACUCAAAAUGGCCAUACCUUAUACGGAACGUUGUCUUCCACUCAUCUCCUUCUUUGAUUUGUACAAGGUUGUAAGCUCCCCUUAGAUCAAUUUUUGUAAAGAUCCUUGUACGUCCAAGUUGUUCUAAGAGACCAGAAAUCAAGGGUAACGGAUAACGAUUCUUCUUUGUUAUCUUGUUGAGGCCUCGAUAGUCCACGCACAUUCGCAAUGAGCCAUCUUUCUUCUUCACAAAUAAGAUGGGUGCCCCAAUUGAUGAUUUUGAAUGACGGAUGAAGUUUUUGGCUAGAUUCUCGUCAAUGUACUUCUGCCAACUCCAUCUGCGAUAGAUUGUAAAUUGGGCCAAAAGACGGUUGUGCUCCUUCUUGUAAGUCUAUGGCGCAAUCAUAUGGUCGGUGUUCCGGUAGCAUGUCGGCAUUCUUCUUUUGAAACACGUCUUUAAAAUCCUUAUAUUGCUCCGAUAUACUUGUUGUCGAGAUCUUCUCUCCGGUAGUUGGAGCCACAUAAAUGACAAAUGGUGUGCCUUCCUUGGAUGAUCUUACAAACGCUCUUGCUCCAAUAAAUAACGAUUUCUCUAUUUGGGAUUUUCUACUAGGCUUACUCUUGGAUGAUUUUGUGGGAAAGGUCAUCUUCCGCAACCUCCAAUCUAUGGAUGGAUUAUGCUUUUCCAACCAAGAAAGACCAAGAAUAAUAGGAUUUGAUGGGGUUCUAAUAAUAUUGAAAAUAAUAUGGCUACUAUAGCCCUUAAACGUCACUUUUAUAGGUUCUGAUUCAUGGGUGACACUACCAGACAAUAAAGGUCGCCCAUCUAUGACCUCCACGUGAACAGGUUUGGAUUUUUGUACUAAAGGGAUCUUAUGACACUUCGCAAAUUCUUCGUCAAAGAAAAAGCAAAUGCUCCUGAAUCUAAUAAUGCUAAGGAUCUCAGUUUUUGAGGGCCAAUAAAUAAAGGGAUUGUAAAACAAAGGGCAGGUUGAGUGAAAAGAAAGGAACUUGAUUGUUGUUGCGAUAUUUCACUAUCCAGCCACACGAUUCCUAUUGUGGCUGGGCAUCCUCGUUUUCCUAAACAAACGCACCCAUGGUCCUGACAAUGCGUCGAUUUUGUUUCUUAGGACAGUUUCCAACUUUGUGGCCUUCUUCACCACAAUAUAAGCAUAGACUUUCCUCCAUACACUGCUUUUUUUCUUUUAGAGUAAGGGAUUUGAUACGUACCGCAUCAAUUUGCAUGUCUUCUACUUCUGAAUGUGAAUUCACGUUGCUUGUCGAUAUAGUUAAGGCAUGGCGAACCGUAUGUUGUCUUGAACGUUGGUCUUGGCGGCGUUGGAAUAGGCGGUUAUCGCACUUCACAGCUUGGCUAAUAGCUUCGUUGAGCGUUCGCGGAUCAGGAAGAGUUAGCAACAAAUCCUUCACAUCGUCCCUUAAACCCCAAUAGAAUUGACUCAUCAAUGCUUCUUCGUCCCAAUUGAUGUCGCAUGCUAGUUGCCUGAAAUCCGAUGCAUAGACUGAUGUAGAGCGCAUCCCUUGUCGUAGUGACCGGAUCUUUGUUGUAGCCCAUCGAACCUUGUCGUGUUCACCAAAUGCUUCCGCAAACGCCUCCAAAAAGGUUUCAAAGUUGUUUAGUAUGGAUGAUCGUUUCUCAAACAAAGAAGCAAACCAUGAUAGAGCUUGCCCUGUAAGUAAGGUUCCAACAAGCUCAACACGUGACUCCUUCGUUAGAUAGCGUUCGGGCUGUAAAACUGUUAUCAACUUGAUUUGAUUGACAAAUCCUCAAAACUUGGAACGCGUGCCAUCGAACUUGUCCGGAAGGCUAACUCGGGGCUCUUUAUGUUGUAGAACUAACGGUGCUUGUCGAACUUGACGCAAAGUUGCUUCUCCAAGUGUAGAAGUUUGAGGCUGGUGCAACCUAGAUUGUGCCAUCUCAGAUGCUCCAUCAUUAUGAAUCCUUGCCACGACUCCUUCAAUUUCUGCAGUUCUUUGCGAUAACGUAGCAAGGGCAUUCAUGAUAGCGUCCAACUUGAACUCCAAACUUUCUGUCAUACUAAUGUCUUGGCCUCCAGCCAUUCUAAGAGAAGGACAGAAAUGACUCUACAAGAAGACAAUAUUGAUUUAGAAGAGGGUACUCCACAACCUCUAAAACGCCUUAAGAGCUUCAAGAAAAGGGGUAAUCCACUCUCUCCAAGAAGAAUAAGACUCCAAUAUUGUAACAAAAGAAGUAUUAGUUUAGAGCAAGGUAAUCAGCAACCUCUAAAAUGCUAGUACACCUUCAAGCAGAGGGGUCAUCUAUUCUCUAACGAAGAAGAAACUAGCUCUAAUAUCUGAGGUGAGUUCAGUCUCGACAAACUGUCACGGACACAGGAAUAUAGGCUCGAGAUCUAACAAGAAGUUCAAGAAGAACUGGCAAGAACUAGAUUAAUCGGAUGAAUAUAAGAACAACACUAGAGAGGUGAGCUAGAGCUCCAAGAGAUGUGUUGUCGAGACUGAAGAACUCUUCAGCCUCGAUUCCAAUAUAUACUCCUAUUUAGGAAGCUUCUCAAGCAACUUCUACCAACUAGGAAGCUACUCAAGCGACUUCUAUCAACUAGGAAGCUUCUCAAGUAACUUCCACCAACUAGGAAGCUUCUCAAGCAACUUCCACCAACUAAGAAGCUUCUCAAGCAACUUCUAUCAACUAGGAAGCUUCUCAAGCAACUUCCACCAACUAGGAAGCUUCUAGAAGGUUCCAGAGACUUGCUUCUAGAAGGUUCUAAGGACUAUGUCCCUAACAAAUGUUGGCCUUUCAUGUACUAAUACUAGAUCAUUGAAAUAGUCAUUUUUUCAAUUAGAUUCAAAUCCAAGAUACUCAAUUACAAUCUCUCAUUUAACCAAGACUUCUACAAACUUUGAAUGUUUUAAUACGACUUGACAUAGAAUUUUUAAUACUUUUUUUUUCUUUUUUUUCUUUUUUUUUUUUUUUUUUGAAAAUUUAGUCAAGUAUUUUUUUUGCCCUUACUUGGAAUUUCUAUAAUUACAUGGCAAAGGAGAUUAAUUAAAAAGAAGAAAGACUAAUAAAUAAUUCUAUUUUUUAGCUUGAAAUCUAAUAUUUAAUUUCUUAAAUUCUAUGUCGUUUUGAUGAUUUUGUCAUUUAAUAAAUUGGAUAAGGAUAAAGAUAAGGAUGAGAUGUUUAAUCUUGUAUGUGAUAAAAAUCACACUCUAUAUUCUUUAUACCUAUUGCUAGAAGCUUUGGUAGGAAAAUCUUCUCCAUUGAAUGUUUGUAAUCAUACAAAAUUAUUGGAGAAGACUUCUUUUACCAAAUAGAGUCCCAACUAUAUGGCAUCAAAUUUUCUUAGAAAAUCUAAUCUCAUAAUAUCUUAUAAAAGUACUAACAUGUCUACCUUAAGAGUUUUAACUAUAUAUCUUUUGUCAAAGGCUAUUUUUCUUCUUUGUUGUAUAGCCUUUAUAUUUCAAUUUUUUUUUUUUCCCAGCUUCAUCCAAAUCUUCUAAUUGUUCCAAUCAAUCUAUUAGAGAUUGUUUAAUUGACAAUCUUUCUAUCAAGGCAAUUUGAACAGAAGGAAUUUUCAACUCAAUUGAUAAAAUUACUUUUAUUCCAUAAAUCAAGGAAAAUAGGAUGGCUUGGGUGGUCACCUUAAAUGUAGUCUUACAAGCCUACAAGGCUGUAGGGAGAUUUAUAUUCCAAUCUUGUUUGGAAGUUGUUAUAAUUUCCUUGAGGAUAUUAACUAAGGUUUCAUUUAUCCACUCUAUAUGUCCAUUAGCUUCAAAGUAAUAUGGGGUAGUUUUUUCUAUGGUCAAUUUUGAAUUAUAAAGUCAACUCUUUCAUCACUUCAUUAAAAAAUGCUCAUCUUUAUCACUAAUUAGGAUCUUUAAACAUCCAAAUUUAAUAAUAAUUUACUUGUAAAAAAAAUUGGCUACUUGCUUAGUAUCAUUGACUUUAAUUGCCUUUGCUUUAGCCUAUUUGAUAAGAUAUUCAAUUGCUACCAUUAUGUAUUUCAUUCCAUUAGUAGAAUUAGAAUAAAACUUCCUAAAUAUAAUCAAUUCCCUAUUUUUCAAAUGAAACUAAAAGUAAGGACACAUAAAAGGGCAAACUCAUCUUUAAGUCAUUUCUAGCAUACCAUUGAUAUGCAUUACAUAUUUUAGUAUAUUUAUGGAUGUUUUAGAAUAAGGUGGACCAAUAAUAGCUGAUUCUAAGGAUUUUUUGUCCAAUUAAGGUUCCCAAAAAAUGUCCUCUAUAUGAGCUAUUGUGAUAUGUCAAUGAAAUGGUAGGAAUUUCUUUUCCUAUCACACACCUCCUUAAUAUCUCAUCUAUUCUACAUCUAUACAAUUUGAUGCCAACUAUGUCAAAGUGCCUACCAUUAAUUUGUACAUUUUGACAUUUUAUUUUAGAAAAGUUAGAAGAUAAGAUUUGGAUUGUCAGAAACUUGGUAAUCAAUUCAUACCAAGUAAAGAUGGUUAAAACAAUAAAUAGACUCUUAUCUAUCAAGGUAUUGUUAAUUGGAGCUUCACCAAUUUGUUCUAAUAACAUAAAUAAAUGAUUUGCUUCCAUAUGCAUCAUUAUUAGCUUGUAUUCUAUCAUAUAAUCAAAUUCUUCUAGUAGAAGCAUCUACCUUGUUAGUCUACCAAUUAAAUCAACCUUAUUUACAAGGUACCUGAUUAAUAUGUGGUCUACAAAGAAUACUACUAGAUUCAAGAGGAAGUAAUAUCUAAAUUUCUUGACAAAAAAAACCAUGGCAAGGCAUUUCUUUUAUGUUAUGGUGUAAUUCCUUUCUGCACAACUUACUACUAUAAAGGAAGCAUUACAAAGCACAUGGAAGGCUAAUGACCAAUUUAGUUGUCUUAAAAUUAGAUAUAUGCUAAGUUUUGCCUUGAGAAUGUUAAAUACCUCUUAACAUUCUUAAGGCAAAACUUAGCAUAUAUCUAAUUUUAAGAAUUUUUCAUUCCACUCAAAUUUCACAUUCUUUUGUUGAAGUCAAGUAAUGGACAUAGAAGUGAUAGCAUAAUUAUAUAUCACUUCCCUAUACCAUCUUAUGUGCUUAAAGGUUCUUUGUACUUCUUUUAUUGUUGAAGGAGGAUUUAAUUCCACAAUUACCUUGACUUUCUCUAAAUCAAAUUUCCUACCAUUUUCAAACAUCACAUAUCCUAGUAGGACUAUCUUUUUAAUUGUUAGGAAUAUCUUAUCAAGAUUUAAGGCAAUUUUAACUUUCCUAUACCUUUGAAGACUAACUUUGACACAUUCAAGAUGUAUUAUCUUGAAAGACUGGGUGCUAAAGUCAUCAAUGAAUACCCUAAAUUCUAAACCCUAAACCCUAAACUCUGAAUAUUUCAAUAGUACAUUGACUCUUUCAGUCUCUACUAAGGAAAUUAAGGAAAAGUACUUGAAAAAAAUUGGCAUUUCAUUCACAAUCCCAAGUGCCUGCUCUGGACGAUGCAGUUGCAAAUUCAGACAUUAAUCAACAACAGAAUCACAAUUGAUUUGCUGUGGUAAAAAUAGUUGCUUCAUUAGGACAAAUGUAUGAAGUGAACCAUUAAAUCACAUUCAAUGGGCAUGAAAUAGAAUUGGAGAAAAGAUGGAAAUAAUGUAUCGGGAAGGAUCGAGCAUGGACCCCAAACAGCCUCCCAAGGCAAGAGCCAGGUACCUAGAUAUCGAUCACCUGAGGAGAGGAUUCGGAACAGUUCGUUUAGUCUGAAUAGAGCUCACAAAGGACAGUCAACAUUUCAUCACAAAGACUUCCUGAGAAAGGAAAAUAUUGAAAAGAAAAAUAAGAGUUAUGUAAAAACAAUAGCUCGGAGUCUUCAGUUUUAUCGUGAGUAAGAAUUAUCAGCUACUACGAGAACCAUCAGAUUCUGAGAAUUUCGAGUGUGCAGCGUGAUCGAUAUCCAUAGCCAAUAUGCAUACCGACACCGCAAGCAAACUACUUCCAUCAAACUGACCACUGCACAUUGCUGUAAAUAGAAGAAUAUACCUUUAUCUAUUCAGACUAAACGAAUAUUUCUCCCUUUAUUAAUUUACACAGAAACAGAAAAUUAAAUAGACUUAAAUAUUGUCAGUAAUUCCAUUUUAGAUGAUCUUUAUCCAAAGUACAGGGGUAACAUCCAUUCAAAUAACUUCAGAAUUCUUUCCAUUGGACUGCAAAAAAAGACUACGUGAACAACUGUCAGGCGCAUGCAUCAAUAAGAAGAGGCACCGUGACGAGUUUUUGAAACACGACUACUAGAAAUAGACCCGGCUACUUCCCAAGUAAGAACAGCAAAGGUGGCAAUAUUUUCAGCUAAAUUUCCAAAACCAGGACAUAAGAAGAUUCUGACUAGGUAACACAGUUCUCUACAUUUUACUUGUCCCGCAUCGUAUCGACUACCUUUCCUCUUCCUUUAAGCUUAUCUUUAUCUUUUUCCUUAUCUUUCUCUCCGUCUUUCUCUUCAUCCUCAUCUCUCUCCUUAUUACCACCCAUUAACUCAUCUACACAAAAGCAAUACAAUUCCUGAUGUAGUUGUUGCCAUUGCUGCCCAUUAUUCAAAGCCCGGCGCAACUCCGAUCUUAAUCUUUCAAGUUCCAUUUGCAUAGCUGCCGUAGAUCCACGUUGCUGUCCGAAACAAACCUCGAGUUAGUGCAGUCUUAGGAUGCGAAUCAAGGAACAUACUUAUGUCCAAAAGUAUUGAAUAAAACUGCUGGAGUAUCGAAAUAAAUAUAGGGUCAUGUGAAGCAAAUACUAACCUCUAGCUCUUUAAUUUGGCGUUCCAUGGCAACGUAGCUAUAUGAAUGACCUUCAAAAUCUUCAUCUUCUGGAUACGAAGAAGGAAGCACAACAAGGGGUCCUUCCCAAGGGUUCGCAUCAUGAGCCACCGCAUCUGACGCAACAUACUUGCUUAAUGGAGCCACUGGAAUUGUUGGAGCUCGCCUAUUCACAGAUCGCCCCGGCUGUGAACCAUGAGAUUGUACUAAAGAUCGCGGUAACACUAGCAAGCAACUAAUGGGUCCUGUGUUGAUCAAACAGACAGUGAUUUUAGCAUCCUUACAAGAAAGUGCACAUGUUUCCACUUCACGACGACAACAAAACAAAAAUUAGACACUACUUCAACAGGUUAGCGUUCACCCAGCGGUUGUCGAAAACAUCCGAUAAGAAUGGUCUGCUGAAAACAACUUGCUUCAUCACACGCUUCGAAGGUGUUAGUUUUAUCACAAACAUUGACAAAGUAAUUCAAGUUCCCGGAUCUGUUCGACACGUGUAAAAAAUGGUUCAGGGUCUAACCUUUAGAUUGUGCGAAGGUUCUCAGAACUUGACGACUUGAUGUGUCCCAGAGACGUGCUGUGCAAUCCUCAGAUCCAGAAACCAGCGACACUCCAUCCAUACUAAAGGCCAACGAUGUGACUGCACGACUGCUCACACCAAAAUAAACGGCUUCAGUAAAAAUCCACACUGUUCAUUCUCCCGAGGCCACUACCAUAAACAAAGAACUGCACUAUCACUUCAUAAUGCAAUAUCAUAUCGCGAUUAUCGACAAUUGCAAAUGCAACCCUUAACCGCAAAACCACCAUUUUAUGACGCAGGAAUCAGGAAAUUUGGGUUGUAAUUACAAUCGGAUUCGGUAACAAACAUGGCAACGGUGGCAGCUCAUGUAAGCAAAAUAGUAGAGAAAGUUUACUAUUUACCUGUGACCAAUAAGAGCGGCAUCCGUGCCAAGGUUCCCAUCGGCCAAAAUUCCAGCCGUGGUAGGCACUCCAAAAUUUAGAGCGGUAGUGAAAAUCCUGCCAUCAGCACCGCCGGCAUACAACGCAUAUUCACCAGGAUCUAAUACAAUAGCAUUCAAUGCUGUCGGGAAAACGAUUGACCUCAGAAGAGUUCCAAGAGCAAGACUCCAGAUCUGCGAAAAUACAACCCACUUCUGUGAGAGAUGGAGAAACUUGAACACAAAUAACAAUUUCACCAAAUUUAGAUCCAGGCUUACUAGAUUGAAUGUGUUAAACCUUUCGAACAUAAUACAGGUUCAAAAAAAUCAAUGAUACAUCCUUCUAAGAGAUAACUACAAAAGAUUCAACUUCCAUAAAAGUCAACCUUUUGUUUUCAGUGAGGGCUACACAAGAGAAGUACUUCUAACACGCAGCAGAAAGAGCCGAAGACAUGAUGAAGGAUCACCUUGCAUGUGUGAUCCAAAGAGCAGGACACGACAAUAGCACUAGAGCCACCAGAGCCCGAAACAAGUCCUGUAACUGGCAAGGUGUGGUCAGACCACCCAUACAUCGCAGCAACUUGUCCGUCUGCUCCUUGGCCAUCCUCUCCCAUAUCCAGAACCCUGUACAGAAAGUACACACGCUAACUACAAGAAACGGGUGCUUCACAUACUUCAAAACCUAAUAUUGCUGUAGGGGUUUAGGGUUUAAGCUCAAACAAGUAAUCAUGGUCAAAAAACAUUAAAUGGAAGAGAAACAUAUUAAGCAUGAUCGUAGGAGUAGCUUGAGCUUAAUCCAAACACAUGAAUAGUGGCUUAUGUGCUAAAAUUGGGGUCAUAGCAUCUGCUGAACAUCAGUCGAGAAGACGGACCUGAUAAGAGGCCAGACAUUAACGAGGCCGUCAUCCGCUCCAGAAAUGAGCAACGAGUCGUCAUCAGAGAACACUAGGCAGCUGACGUUCUUGUAGUGGCCAGACCAAAGCCUCAGCAACCGCCCGGUCGCCACCUAUUCCGCCAAAAACACAAAGAAAAUCAGAUUACCGGCUCAACAGACGAAAAAGAUCCUUCGGUAAAAAGACUGAACAAACGAAUACCUCAUCAACAACUCCUCUGCUUUGCAUGCCAUAUGUCUCAUGAAACGUUUCGGUUCAUACAGUGCCUUUCGUGACAUUGACAUUCUCAGGUACACAUCUACGACUCACCUCCCAGAAAUAGAUUCGACCAGACGCACCACCACCGGCAAGGUAAGCUCCAUCGCUGGUGCACGCCAGAGGACCGAUAGGCUCCACGGGAUAGCUCUUAAAUGCUACUUGACUCUGUUUUCAGGACAGAUAAAACGAAAAUUACAGUCCGUCACCCACCGCAUCACUUCACGACCUCCGACAAUUGUCUUUGAAUGACCUACAUUUCCAAACGAUUAUGCUCUAUUCAACAAUACCCAGAGCCAUGCCAAGGUAUUCCAGUUUAUUGCCCACAUUGAAAACAUAAUGGGGUUAACAUGAAUUGUUGUGCCUGUGGAAGAAACCACCUUUCCACAAAACAGAAAUCCUACAAAUGUAAGCCAACUCAACCGUGAUGAUAUAAAUUGUUCCAGAAAGCCCAUAGCGACAGCAGAAGCGAAGGCGUUGCCUGAAGUUUAUAGUCCUUCAAUGCCACCCGACACAGAAACAACCCCAAUGCAGUAUCAAUAUGGGAUAGGAGAGGCCCUUACCUUGUGCCAAGCCCAGAAGUAGAUGGCGCCACCUCCAGCUCCACCCGAGGGCUUAGGCACCUGGGCAGCCGCCAGAAAGUGGGAUCCAACGGGAGCGAGUGCAUUGCGCGGCGAGGCGCAGGAGCGGAGGUGUGAUAACACAAGGCCGGAGUGCAAAUCCCACACCGUAACCCCCGCAUCCGCCCCUGAGCACACCACCACGACUUCUGUUACGGUAGCCAGCUUGCUCCAUCCACCCACGGCCUCUCACGGCCGCCCCCCACCCUUUCGGGCCAAAUUCACUCUAAGGAAGCCCCUCCUUAAUCCCCUGAUCACACACCCAACAAUCCCUUCCUCUCUUGAUCGCAAGCCCACGCCACUCCCUGCAUGCACCGUCAACGCUAUAUACUCGACAGAAGAAUCGACCUUCCGGCUCUUCUUCUUCAAAACUUAAACCCAAGCACCAUGAUGCAACCCACCAAAAUGAUCUCUGUAGUUCAAAUUCUAUCACCACACAUAAUGAUUCAGGUGGCGGCCUCCAGAACGCCAAGGGGCGGCUGCAGCUCCACCCAACUCCCUGCCUACUAUCGCACCACGAUCCUCAACGCUUUCUUACGCAAUCAUUCGAGGCAGUUUCGAGCGCCCGAAACAAAGCAGAUAUUCGCCGAUUCCCACGGGAAAUGGUCACCGAGUAGGCGACGAUGGCAAUCUGUGACCUAAUUUGGCCACAGUAUGCACAAUACACCACGGGCAUUUAUACCUCGCUCCGAAAACCGAAACCUGGAAAGGCACGAAAUCUCCCAUACGACAGAAAAGACUGAAUUGUGUUCAUCGAAGGAUGUAUCUGUUAAACAGAAAAUCGGCCAACUCUGUGACCUAAAACUCCUGAAUCUGAUGCCCUUCUGCAACAAUUUCAAACACCAUUUCCACCCUAAGUAUGCGUUUAUCGGAAUUGUGCAGAUACGCGUUAACGCUUCCGAAACUAGGGCUUGAAACAUAUCCCUAAUUCCUUCAAAGCUGUGCAUCUGAUUUUAGGGUUUGCGGCUCUUCAUGGAAACCACAACAAUCACAUCGUUGACUCCCCUGAAUCUAAGAAUAGAAUCGUGUUUUCGGUAGCCGAUGAAACUUACGGUGAGACUCACAAUCUCACUCAAAUAACUGUGUGGGAGUGUGUGUGUGUGAACAACACCUGUGUUUGAGUUUAACCGCUUAAAGACGACGAGGAUUGGGGUUCAAUUCUUACACAGAGUUACUCGGACCGGUGUCACAUGAACGAGCAAGAGUUGAAUGAAGAAUUGGAAAAGCUUGGAAGCUGUCGGAAGCAACACAAUCAAGCCCAAAAUCACGUCGAAACUCGAUCUGAAUUGUCAGAAUAAAUAGACAGAUGGAGCACGAGAUCAUGAAAGCGAUCGGAGCUCGAUGAUGAAUUGCAUGUUGUGGAAUGAGGCACCACGAAGCCCUAAUGAAAGAAAAAGGGCAAGAAAGCAGUAGCAACUGUUGGCUUGAUCAUCCGUAGGAAGUAGACAGAGAAGGGCUGAUAACUUUCUACUCAAAAUGUAGGACAUUGUUGUUAGUAAUCAAAACCCUUAAACUUUAGUGAAAGACAAAUUUAGAAGUUUGAGAUGGUGUUGGGUUGUCAGAUGAGGGCAUUUGUGAUUGCAUCAAAACAGUUGGCGGCUGGAAUGCCGGUUAUCAAAUUCUAAUCAUGCUUGAUUAGAAUUUUGAAACCUAACCUAAAAUCUAAUUUCCAUAUGUCCAGUGAAAACGUAACCCACAAAAACAACGUACACACUAACAAAAACAGAGGGAGAAGGAAACUUUAGAUUGUUCAGAAAGUAGACUUAUCUAAAUGUGUCUUAUAUCGAAUCUGCUACUGAGAAAUAGGAAUGUGUAUACAUAGUUGAAAACGAGUAAGGAGAUUCUUUAAGAUUUUGAAAAUUCGUUUCUUUCAGUUAAUAUUUUGCCAUUUCUUUUGUAUUCCAUGUUCUACAAUUCUGUUAUUUCUAAACUUUUUGCACAGAAGUCACGAUAUUGACUUUGAUUUUGAUUUUUAAGAACACAACAGGCUUUCAAGCUCAAUAAGAAACAGUACUUCACCUGAAAAUGUGAUUGUAAAAAAUGGUGAUAUUUCCACUGUCAAUUAAUUAUUUUGUUGGUGCAACGUUGUUUCAUUUACAUCAAAUUAGUCUUGUAGUAGUAGAAUAGUUAAACGCCCACGUUUAAAUUAGUUUUUGAUAGACGGCCUGUAAAAACAAAAAUUGUUUUAAUGCACCACGUUGAAGUUUUAGUUUCAAAUCACGAAUACAAUUUUACAAAGUCAUUGUAAAAUUUGUUAAUGUUUGACAAGUUUGGUGUGAUGAUAUAAAAAAUUGUUACUUCACAAACCACAUGCAAAAUAUGACACUGCCCAGAACAGAAGUAAACAGUUUCACUGCAUGAACUGAAUUGGUUUCUAACACCAUUACAUUAUCCAAGUUUAUUUUUUAACAUUUGAAUAAUAAAAAACUUUAAUGACCGUUUGGAUCCCUACAACACAUCGCAACAAUUUCAUCCCAAACGAACAUGUCAAAAAAAAAUAAACAAAGCUGGUGGCCACCUUCCUGGAGACUUGCAAGACAUCCUCCCCAAUUGAAAGGGUACAAUUUUCUUCUCAUGUUUUCAUAUUUACAUAUAAACAAUUUAACAGAUCGAAAAAAAGAUCAACUCUAGAUCGACAAAAAAAAAAAAAAAAAAACAAAAACAAAAAACAUUGGAUACAAUGGAAUAAAUCACAGAAUCGAUUAUAGAUUCCUGCUGAAGUCUAAAUGUUCGGCAGCAAUACAACAUCCUUGAAAUAUGCGUCACGUCCAUAAAGCAGUAGAUGCCCUCAUAACGAUCAAAUUCCUGCUAAAACCCUCUCAAAUCUCUUACAAAUUCACGCAUUGCAAAUAUAACACCAAACAGGAUGCUUAAUCUGACCACAAGCUUUGCUAGCAUGUUUCUAACAUAUUCAUGACGUUUUAAAAAUAUUUUCUCAUUGUCGGCGAUAUCUUACAGGAAAGCCUGGAACAUCAGCAGGAGCAAGCGGAUGACCGCUUCGUGAUCAAACGAUUUUCAGAAGAAGAAACCAGGCACUGCGUUAGUGAGCACAAAAUUGGGGUCAGGAUGCAUCAGUCCGAUUCCGAAUCUGGCCAGCUCUCUCUCAAAAGCGCCACCAAAGAACUGAUGUCAAUGAAACCUACAAACAUAUCUUGCCGCGAUUUGAUGAGCUCUGUCUGUUCACCCAGAGGCAAUGUCAAAAAGAAGCUCUUCGUGAUGUGGUGAUAGCUUUCUUGAGAGACAAAGGAUUCCAGCACCACAUGCCAGUUCUUCAAGAGGGCGACCCUUUCUGCAGUGCUUAAUAGCAGGUCCCCUUCCAGCACGGCCGUAUACAACCGCAGAAUAAGCCUGGCCAUUUCCAUCCCAGCCGCAUUGCAAUGAGGCGCAUUGAAAUAAUUCAUUCUUAUGACAAUUGAAGGAAGAUCCUCCAUGUGGACAAUGCACAGAACCAGCUCUUCGGCAACCCUAGCGUUUAAGAGAGAUCUCAACACCCAGCAGACCGCUAAAAGCUUCUGUGCAAGCUUAAAAAUCGUGGACUGUUGAGGUUGAAGAGUCUCAUUAUGCUCUUUGUCAAUUGCACUGAGCGUAUUUUUUGCCUCGUUACUGACAAUUGUCACCACCGUCUUGGCGACAUUAACAGGGGUCCCAGAUCCAACGCCAUGCAAAAAUUCCUCAAUCAGUGUGCGAGUGUUCUUGAAGUUGUCAUUAUGGGACAUUGCCGAGCGAAUCCAAUAUUGGUAAACGUCGCACAAGUGCCUGUAACGAUCUCUAUCGUUCAUGUGUAGUCCUAGUCGAGCAAUAAGGUCUGUGGCGUGACCACCGUGGAAAUCUGGGGAGUAAGAGUAUUCUCGAAUCCUGACUUCAUCCUCGUUGGACCAGUGGAUAGCGGAUAUGUACCGGGAGAUGGAGUCCAUUAGUUCGUGAAACUCAAUCUGCGAGGCCACCUUCAGAAGCUCUACGGAAUGUUUGAUCUCUCCGAAGUCCUUUUGAAACGGCGAGUACAUGCGACUGAAGCAGGCUGUGUAGUAUUCGACAUCCGAGUGAACCUCCAGAAAAAAUUCGCUCACAGUGGACAAUGGAUUUGGCUUCCGCCAUCUCUCGCUCAAGCACGUCUCGAAAUACUUGCUGUAUUGACUCAGACGCCUGGAAUGUAUCUUUACCAGCACGAGAGUCUUGUCGCGAAUUUCACUAUCGCUGCAUCCUGCGAGAUCGGUCCCGCUAGGUACUAGGCGGAUAGAAACAUCUUGAUCUACCUCAAUUCCGCCGCACCACACAAUCUGUCCCGUUUCCAAAGAGUCCGCUACAGCCGAAUCCGAACUCAUCUUUAAGCUAAUCUUGGUGGACGAACGGAAGUGCGAAUAAACUGGUCUUGCUCUCUCCACUCAGCUGGGCAAGAGUUUCACAUCUUCGACAAGUAGAACACAUGCUCAAAGCAUAGAACCUGCAAGCAUUUGAAUUCAAAGCCACGGUAUAGACCUACUUGUAUCUUUAUCCCUCCAUCGUCAAGGAUCCUAGUAGUAACUUCAAGCUACAGUACAUGGAGGGAAAGGGCAGGUCGAAGGCAACAAAGAGAAGACCAAAGGAAGAGAACAGUUCCAAAACAAUCCCUCGAACAAGCCCUACUGAAGAGGUGAAAUCAUGCAACAACGCAAGAUCAUGGCCACUAGACUAUGGCAACAAGUAAUCCACUCACACCAAGCAUGUCUCGAUCAACUGACCUCGAGAAUCUCCCUGUCGCUGCACCAUGCUCCCGCUGAAAUGGUUCGAACUGGGUGGAAAGUCGGAGAUGGCCGGCACAACUUCUAGAGCUCGAUGGUCUGAAAACAAUGGCGGUUCCCUGUAACUUGUGAGAAUCCUCAAGCUUCAUGAAAAGCUUUCAAUGGAGCAGCCUCGUCAGGUGGGUACCCCCCGAUUCCCGUUGCCUUCACCGUGAAGCUUCAAAGGGAGGGGGAUGAACAACCACGUCGGCAACGUUAGCCGGUUGGCAGCAGGCAAUUCGAGUCUCGCCGCCGUCGUCUCUCGAUAAGUGAAGUUCAUGCAAUGCCAUGCGGUGAGUGGGCUUGGCAUAAGCAUCAGCAGCGAUGGACUUGGCGGAUGAAACAGGAACAGAGAUGGCGUCCUCUCCCUCGCAGGAAAAAAGACGACAAGGAAACAACACCCCAAAAAUCAACACACAACAACGAAAGGAAGCAAGCAAGAUAGAAAGACAGAAAGACAGAACGAACGAACGAAAGAAAGAAAGAGAGAAAGAAAGAAGUGUAAACCCUAAAUGUGGACUUUUGAAUGUGAGAGGUUUGAUGAAAAGCAUGCUUACACUUACUCUUUCUCUCUGGAUAUGCAUUCAUGUAUAUAUGACACUUAAUUGGGUUCAUUUUGAUGUCAGAAAUUUUAAGGCGAGUUUCUAUGUAGGUUUGAACAUUCUAAAAGGAUAUUUGUAGUGUGUUUGUGGAUAUGUACACACACACACACACCCCCUAUAUAUAUAUAUAUAUAUAUAUAAAUAAUUGCAAAACAAAACUUAAUAUAUUGUGCUACAAAACAGGGAAAUAUUGAGAUUUCUUUUGUGUUACAAUCAAUCUUCUGUUGUAAAAUGAAUUUUGGUUUCAAAUUUUGGAGCUGUUUUAUAACAGUUAGAGGAUUUUCUGAAUCCUUAUAAAUCAUAUUAUUAGAUAAAGUAUCAACAUAAUAAAACAUAUUAAAGUUCAUAUAUAUAUAUAUAUAUAUAUAUAUAUAUAUUUUUACAUUUAUUUUAAUGUUACAAAAUUAUAUAUAUAUAUAUAUAAUUGUAAUUUUCUAAAUUAGUAAAUAAAGUAUCAAGUCAAAUUCAUUUAAGUAUAAUAUUGGUUAUUUAAAAAAUAUUUAUUUUAUUGAAAAAUAAAAUAUAUAAAAUAAUAUAAAUAAUAUUUCUUUACCAAAACCAUAUUUAAUAAGAAUUUUUUUGUUUUAAAGCAUUUUAUAUAAACUUUUUAAGAUGUUUUUGCUACAUAAGGUAUGGUCUCCUCUCAUAUCAUAGUUAUAUUAUAAAUAUUAGCCUUGAACAAGGCUUUAUUGAAAGUGUUUAUAGACCUUUGUGAUUUAUUUGUAUUCUAAUAUUCUCUUUCUUUGCUAAUAUUUUUAUUGAUAAUAGAAUUUUUAUUUAAUAAAAAAUAUUCCAAAAAUAAAAUUUUGUGAAGUGAAAUAAAUUAGUAAAUCAAAAAUAAUGUGGAUUUAAGAAAAAUUAAUUUAUAAGUUAUAAUUUAUUUUGAUGUUCUUAAAAGAAAAAAGAAAAACUUCUACCUUAUUGUUAAAGAAGAUUGAGAUUUGAUAUUAUAUUUAUUGAUCUUAUUAAAUUAUUCAAUUAAAAAAAUCAAGAAUAAGUAGAUCAAAUUUAUAAGUAAAUUCUAA